RNAcentral lists this long non-coding RNA (90906 nucleotides) under Coffea arabica (coffee). RNAcentral describes it as "long non-coding RNA (CARA_LNC006538)". The record is from RNAcentral. Lineage: Eukaryota; Viridiplantae; Streptophyta; Magnoliopsida; Gentianales; Rubiaceae.
UUUAAAUUAAUCACUUUUUAUGUGUUUCUUAAAUCAUAGACCAAGGAUUUUAGGUAUAAGUGAUCAAAUAAAUGCCAAUUAAACCACAAAAUAAUUAGAACAUAAGGAAUGUGUUAAAUUAUGAAUAAAUUUGGGGAUCAAAUUAGUAAUAAUUUUUAAAUCAUUGAGGAGCAUAAUAAAUGUAUUAUAAUUUAGGAGCCCCAAUUUGUAAAUUAAAAAUUACAAAAUCACUUCCUUUGGGAAAAGUCGGAUUUCAUUUUCAGCUGACAAUUUCAACAACCAUUGCAAUAUUGCAUAGUGCCUUCACCUCCGGCUUUCACAGUACUAACACUCCCUAGUCCCAAGUCCCAAGUCCCAAAUCCCAAAUCGAAGCUGCUCUCUGCCUCUCCGGCCUCCGCCAGUCCGCCGCACUCUACGUCUCCUAUCGGCUGUCUCCAUCUCAAUCCUCAUUCGACCUCAUUUCUCACUUCAUCAGUUCAUCACUGCCGUGCUGGUUUAUCGCUGCCGAGUGUCGAAGACGAAGCACCAAUCACUGCUCAUCUCUGGCUCGCUUAGGUAAGUGCUCCUCUCUGGCAGUAAAAUGGCCAAGAUCGACGAAAUCUGAGCUUCCAAUUGCAAACUCUAACUGUUGUAGUAGUUUAGAUUAGAUGGGAAGUUUUAGCAGCCAAAAAUUGGUAAUCUUACUAGUGGUUAAAGAGAGAAGAGCAUUGAUAUUUGGUCACUUAAAAGUGCAGAGUUAUUCUUAACUUGGAUGCCUUCCUUUGCAAUGGAAAUAUAUAUUCCUUGCUUGGCAUCUUCACUUUAAGUUUCUGGCUUGGGAUUUUCCCUUUAACUUUCUUGUUGGGGCCUUCAUCUUUAUUCCAUUAAGGGCUGACAAUUAUAUUUGCUGUUUACUUAACAUAUAUUUCAUUCGUUAAUCCUUGAAAGAUGAACUUAAUUUGUUAAAGAGAGAAUACUGGAUUGAUUACAGAUGAAUUCGGGAAAAGCAGCGUUGCAAACUUAAUUUGCUUCAGGGUAUUUUUUUUAUUUUAAAUAAUAGAUGAAUUCGGUCUAACCGAAUUCAUUACCGUUUUAGAAUUUGAAAUCGGUUACCGAAUGAAUUCGGUUAUCCCCAAUUCGAAAUUGAAAACGGUUUAGAUUUCUAUAGGUGCAAUAACCGAAUUCAUCGAAUUCAGUGCACCGAAUUGCCGCAUUUGCACCGAAUGCUCACCCCUGUCUCCAGGACAAUCUUUUUGGUUAGGUAUAGAUUAGAAACUCCCUUACUUUAAUUCUUUCUCCAUCGUGUUAUUCUAUUAGAAAAUAAAAAGAUAAGGAGGGAAGAGACAUAUUGGAUAGGGGUGCAAAUGAGUAUAAUCAAAUCGAGCACUCUAUUGUUUAAACUUGUUUGACUAUUUUAACGGGUUUGAAAUUUUGUUCAAACUUGACUUGUUUAUUUGCUAAAUCGAACUUGAACUAGAGUUUAAAUGUUAUCGAAUAUAAAAUGCUGUUCAAUUUUAGCUUGACUUGUUAGUGACCUAAUCUCGGACGAACUCUUACAAAGCUAAACUCGAUUUAAGUAUCAAGUAGUUUGGUUCAUCUUUUAAUCCUAAUAUUGGAUUCAAUUUCCGCUUGAUGACAUUGGUUAGUAGCAAUUCUAUUAAUAUUUCGCUGCUUAGUACAUGCAUAUGUACAUUUUGUAUAACAAAAUUCCCAUUCAACACAUCAUCUAUUAGCUUCUAAUUAGAAAAACCAUUGUUAUUUUCAUUCGAGAGAAAAACAUUAAAAAAUAUCAUUUGUUAAAUAAUCACAAACAAGAAAAAAAUUGUCAUCAUUAAAAGGUUUUUCAAUUUAGUAGCAUACAACCAACAAUCUUUAUCUAUAUUUCAUACAACACCAACACCUAUUUUCUAUGACAAUAAAAGUAACAAUUAGGAUAAAAAAAAAAGAAAAAACACUAUUUUUUUUUUUAAAACAUCCAUUUUUAUUCACUAGAAAGUGCAGGAGUACAUAGCAAUUAAACUCUGAGGUAAGGGAAAUUCAUCCUAUCCAGGCUAACAAAGCCUCUAACUCGGCCUGGCAAACUCCGAGGGCAGUAAGUGACCGAUGAGUGGGCUACGCUUGCCUGACGAACUAGGGCAUUGGCUGCAGAAUUCACCUCCCUAUAGCUGUGCUGAAGAUGAAAGUGCCCGUUCCAAACUAUACUCCAGAUCUGCCGGUGUGUUCGUUGACGGGACUUGGAGUCCAUCUCAACCACCACUCUAGUGUGGCCAAGCGCAAUGCAUGUCUUGAGGCCCUCCAGCAGAGCCUGCGCCUCUGCCUCCAGACAAGUGCUAUGGCCGUGAUACGUAGAAAAAGCAGUGAUCACCUGUCCCAAGUAGUCUCUAAGGAUUCCUCCCCCACCUGAGUGCCUCGGGUUUCCCAACGAAGAGCCAUCCACAUUAAGCUUGAGAAAUGGAAAUAUUGGUGCCUGCCAGGUUAGGACAGUAACUUUGUGGGGAAUCCUUGGUUUGAGAUAUGGAACCACCCUCGUUGAGAGGAGCCUCAAGUCAGCUGCCACCGUAUUUGUAAAGAAAAAACACUAUAAUUGAAUACCAACCAAAAAAAAACACUAUAAAAAAAAAAAAAAAAAAGAAUACCAACCAUCAAAUGGAGUAGAUCAUAUAGAACAUAAUACAAACUUCAUGAUGUCAUUUUUUUUCAAAUUUUGUUUAAUCUAAGCUAUUCUUUUUCACUUGUAGGGUCACUAUUAAGCAUGACCAUCAAGAAUUACCUUAAUAUCUGCAAUCAAAUAAUAAAAAUUUCCAAAAUUUAAGAGUAGAAAAUCUUAGAGGCUGACCUUGAGAUUUUCACAAUCACCAAAAUUUUGAGAAAAAUUUGAAAGUAAAUUUCCUUUUCAAGUCUCCUAAAUCCUUAUAUAUGCCUAAAGUAUUUCUCUUAUUCCACAAAACUACUAAAGUCUGAAUCAUUGCUUCUACUCACACACAUCAAUUAUCAAUCAUAGAAAGGCACCUAUAUUUGGCUCCGCUUUUGUAAUGGCAUAUUAAAUUUUUUUAAAAAAAACUUAUAAAUUGUCAUUAUUUUUGUUAAACCAGUUAAUAACAAUUUUAACUAAUCAUGUGAAAUAAUUGCGAAAUAUCUCUUAAGUUGUGUGGGUAAUUAAGUCAUUUCACCAUGAUUGAUGUAACAAUUGAAUCCCAAUAAUCUGAUAGGGGAGGAUAGUGAGACUAUCAGACUAUCAGAAACCUCAUGGGAGGUUUCUAAAAUUGUCCUUUAUAUAUUAAAAGUUUCAUCUUUCUCCUUAAAGCACUUUUUCACUGGUAUUUUGUCUGACUUGGACUAAUUUUGUUACUAAAAGCUUAACCUCGGAGGAGAUUUGUGUAAUUUUACAAAUCUCAGGGAAGGCUAGUGAAAUUGUUAGAAACCUCAAAGGAGGUUUCUGAAAUUAUCCCUUUUGCUUAAUCAAGUUUUGCAACCGUUGUACCAAACAUCCCAAAAUAUCUAGAAGAUGGAUUAAAUUGUAAAUCGUGUAAAUCAAGUAGAUCAUGUUGUUAGAAACAAACAAUAAGAAAAAUAUAUCCCCUAUUAUCAUCAAGCAAGAUGUAGGCGUUUGGGGCUUUUCAAGUGCGAGUUCGCCACAAUGUGCAAUUUACAAUUGUAGGUUCCAUCAUUGACAGCCUCCCUUCAUCCCGGUGGAGACUUAACCCAAUUUCCAAUACUUGGCGCCAUGAAUGGCUCCAUUUCUGUUAAUCCCUUGACACACAAAAAGCUAGAUAAACCUUUGCAUGUCCUCUAUAUUGAUAACAGCUUCUAAGAGGCACUGAGAUUUACCAACAGCUCUUGCCAACUGGAGGAAACAGUCCAAGAUAUUCCAUAACUAGCCAAAGUUGAAACACAAAACUGAAAAACUAAACUGAAAUAAGGUCACCUUCAAAAAAUAGAGAAGUUAGUCGUCCAUUAUACAGUAACAAAUACAUCUAUUGACAUGAAUGCAUCACCUUCACCAUGGACAUGGCAAUGUUCAUGCAUGAGUUUCCGAUGGGAUUGCAUAUUAGUUCCACAAGCUAUACAAGGCGGAAAGUCACUCAUUGCAGCCUCAAAACCAGUAAAAAAUUUGAGAGGGGCUGAAAAGCAUCUAACAAUAUGAACACAAGCUAUACUAUGGUCAAGAGAAGAUGACAUUCCAGGAACUCUAGUGGCUUAGAAGUUCUUACAAUGUGAUGUCCUGGUCAGUCAAGAAACAUUGCUACCUUGUCCUUGAGACUGGUCUUCUUCUUCAUAACAACGGGUGGUUCUUCUUCACCAAGCACAACACUAUAUGCCUGUUUUUUAACUUCACGGGUGAAGUUUAUCUCCUCUGCAAGUGGUACACCAUCCUUCUCUUGUUCUUGGGUUUUCUUGAGCAAAGGACCCAAAAACAGAUCCAACAUGUCUUGUGUAGGAUUUCCUGACAUAGUCGGCUUACAGGUCGGACCUUCACCUGUCAGAUUCUCCACUGCAAUACUAGAAGAACUAGUUCCUCGAUCUUGAAAUGAUCUGGUGUUUCCUUGAGGGACUCUAAUGGAGCUUCCACACUGGAUGUGUUGAGAAUGAGCAUCCUCGUCCCUAUGUUCAUGUUUUAAUGACACAACUGGUUGAGCAACCUCAUCAUCUUGCACAAACUGCAAAGAUUAAAAAAAAAAAAAACAACAACAUAAGUCCCCAUCUUUCAGUUUGCUUUAAGGCAGCCUACUAACUGAAAGAACAAAAAAAUCAUUCUACUUUUUCCAAUAUUAAGCACCUCAUAUUACAAAAGAAUCGUAAGCAUUCAUAGCACAUUCUUAAGUAAAGCAAGAAGGCAGAUUUCUGACGUUGGACCAAGGUUGUCUGCCAUAUACAUUAGAAGCCAGCAUCUUAACCAAGGUUAGAAGAACUGAAUGCAUGAUCUUUCUAAAAACCAGACCUGUCUCAAAAUUAUCAACUAAUAGUGAGGAAAAAUGAGACUGAAUAACCUCUUUUGCAAUGCUCAUUAGGUCUUCCAUUGUCAGAUCUUCAUCUUCUCUGUUCUCCACACAACCUUCCAAAUCAUCAGUAUUACUGUCAACCUCAAGACUUUUCUUAGCUCUCCCUUUACGCUUUUUCUGGUUGAUUGCAACUUCACUGUCCAUGUCAACAUCGUGACUGAUCGUCUCUCUUCUAGUCUGCUUUCUUACUCGACAUCUUCUAAGCACACCUGUGGACUUUUCUUCCAACUCUAAACCAUCAUUAUCAUUCCCUAUCUCACAUGACUUCCACUUCGGCCUUCUACGACACUUCGUCACUCUUUCCUCGUCUGCCCUGCUUCCUUUGUCAUCAUCAUCAUCCCUACUGUUCGAACUUGCAGUUUCAGAUUUAUUUAAUGCGUGAUCACCCAGCAUCCAUAGCGGCAGACGCCUUUUCAUACCAUCACCAGAAACAACUUUAUCAUCCAUUUUUGUUCAGACCCUCUUCGCUAAAAACUACUGGCAUCCAUACCCAACUGUCAUCAUGAACUCUAUUCAAACACUCUUUGCCAAAACCUACUUGCAGCCAUACUCACUCAUCAUCACAAACUCACAUGCACUUGACUAUCUACACAAAACAAGACGACUAAUUGUGAUAUUUGAUAAACCAAUUUUAGACUGAAUAAAAAAAGUCAAAAGCUAAGGCAUACUUUGAUAAAACUGAAUUGCAGUUGGAUGGAAGCUGAAGUACAAAAUCAGAGGCCUCAUCAACGAAAAUGGUAUCACAUUUUUUUCACCUUUUGCAUUGCUUCCUUACUCUUACAGCUUUUAUGCACAUACAUACAUACAUAUAUAUAUAUAUAUAUAUAUAUAUAUGUUCACACUAAAAAGGUAGCACAAAUUCUUGAAAAGUUUUAUUUGCACAUAUAUAUAUAUAUAUAUACCAUGGCGGACACCCGCGGCCACUUCUCCUGUCAAAAAAUUCACCAAAAUACACCUCCCCACUCGAUUUUUUGCAUGGAAUCAGUUUUCAGCCUUAGUUUUUACAAAAAACGAAUGAAAAGAGGUCAAAAGAGCAAAUUACAGCCGAGUUUUAUGCUUUUUAAAAUCGCUCAAAUCUUCACCAAAAAUCAUAAAAUUUAUACCAAAACACUACCUGUGAUUUCUACAAUACAACUAUGACCUUUAAUCAACAAAAAAACAACAACAAUAUGAUAAAUUAAAGCAAAACAGCCCUAAAUGAAAAAAAAAAUAUUUCAUUGCUUUUUAGGCUCAAAAAUUUCAAAAUUUUGAAUAACCAAACAUUUUCCAGACCUUGUACUAGCUAUAACCAUCUAUUUUAGCAAAAUAUAUACACCAAAUUUACUCUUUUAAUUCGGUUUUCACUUAGACAUUUUUCCAAACACUUAACAUGCAUGAUUUUGGCCUACACCAUCCAUGGAACUUAGGCAGACUUAGACCCCACAUUUUCACCAACACAUCACUAUAACAAUGAGAAGAAACUCAUGUGAAACCUUCCAUUUACAACCACAAGCAAAAAAGAAGGAAAAAAGAAAGAAAAGAAAGAAAGAAAGAAAAAAAAUGAAGAGCAUAGAUUAAAAAAUUUUUAAAAAAAUGUUCCGCCAUGACAAUGAGACAAAGACAUCACCUUGUUUUUGUAGUAGAAAAAGGCAAACCAAUAGAUGGUAGUGAUGAUGGUUCGGACUGCCGGUGAUAUUCUCCACUUCCUUCACCUUCUCUUUACUUUUCUCUUUGUGUGAAUUGUGAGAUUGAGAGAGAGCCGAGAGUAUGAGGGAGUUUUUGAGUGAUGUAUGAAUUUUGAGGGGAAAAGAAGAGAGGGACCGAGUGAGAAGAGUUGUGUUGGUGACUUUUGUUGGAGUGGCAGCAACUAGCAAGUGUAGCGUGUCUUGAGAGAAAAAGAGAGAGACCGAGAGGGAGAAAAAAAUAAUUGGUGGAGUGGUUACGUGAUCCGAUUUGUAAUGAUGGAUUUUGUAUCAAAACAGAAAAAGAAAGAGGAAUGGAAGAUUGCAGGGUUUCUGGAGUUGGUGGGAGGUCUUUAUCUCUUAGUAAAAGCCGUCCUACAGGUUUUCCUGUGGGAUUUCUAUCCCACAUUGUUUCUUGGGGGUUGGGGGGUUGGGUAGAUAAGUCCCCAGGGACCUCAAAAAUUGCCGGCUUUUGAGGUCAACCCUUGGGAUUAGGUUUAUUUGUGAAAUUCUUUACAUUCAUAAGAAACGAAAAAAGGAAGAUUGAGUGGUAAAUUGGGCUAAUAGUGUAUUUAAUGAAAGAGAAAUGAUUAGGGUGUAUGAGUAUAACAAAAGUUUGUUAAAAAUUUUCUUCUUUUUCUUUUUUUUUAGACAAAAAAAAUCUUCCAAAACAAGAAAAAUAGACAUUCAAAUCCAUACAAAUAAAUGACCCCAUAAAUAGACAAAAAUUCAAGAAAAUAUCAAAAAUUGACAAAAAUUUGGUAUCUACAAGAAAUCUAAAGAAAAAAAUCAAGAAAAUAGACAACAAUAAAUGACCCCCUUAAUUGACAAAAAUUUAAGAAAAUAUCAAAAAUUGACAAAAAUUUGGUGUCUACAUGAAUUUUGCCUUUCUUUUCCCUCCUUUAUCCUUUACAUCCACGAAAUUACUUUAAAACUAUGACAAUUUUAAAAGUUUUAAAGAAAAUUUCCUCAUGAACAACUUUCUUUUACCCUGUGUUUUUUCUUCUACUAAAGCUCUUCUUCUCACGUUAUGUACAACUAAUUUACAGUCAUUGUCAGGUUUUAUCAAUCAUAAAAUAGUGUCAUUUGAUACAUCAAUUGACAUUAUUUUGUAAUUGCAAGUCAUCGUUCAUCAUUAAAGAAAUUUUCAACAGUUAUUUCCGUUAAUUAGUGCUCUAAUUACUCAAUCAUUAGAUAUUAGUUUCGAAUAUGACAUAAUGUCUUAGGAUAUAUGAGUUAUUUCCCUCAUGUGAUGUAAAUAACUAGGCCCAUAAUUUUGUCAGGGGAGGCAAGUGUAAUUUUAUAAAUCUCAGAGAAGGCUAGUAAAAUUGUUAGAAACCUCAUGGGAGGUUUCUAAAAUUACCCCUAUUAUUGUGUUUUUAAAAUGGCGUUACGAGCCAAACAUGUUUUAUGUUUAUUUUAAAAAAAAAGAAUACAAAUAUUUUGUUUCAUUCAUAUAAACAAAAAUACAUUUUCGCAUUUUCUAUUAUGGCCUCUUUUUCUUUUCUUCUUGGUAUUUGGCAUUAUCCAUUUUGAUUCUCUGAAUCCGUCAAGUUUAUUUUGCUCUAGAAGAAAAUAGAAAAAAGAGUAAACUUACUUUUCAAUUAAGACGUUAAACUUGUCUUAAUUACAGGGUUAAGGUAUUGACAUUCCCAAAAAUUUGUGUAAAUUAGACGAAUUUCUUACUAGUUUUUCAAAUGGGUUAGUUGACAAUUCAGUUUCUUUAACUGGUGACACUCAAUUUACUUCUUGUUCUUUUGAAAAAACAAUUAAAGGAUAGAGCGUUGUUAGCAAUUAUUGAAAUGUGAAUAUCAUCAUGCUAAUUUAAUAGUGGUGGAUAAUAUGAUUCACUACUAUGUUGACUUUAUUGUACAGGAGAUUUUCUAAAUUUAGAUGUAAGGAAAAUAACUUGGCAAAAGUUCGUUGGUGGAGUGAAAAUUUCACUGUGAAAUGCAGCUUUAGCUGCUCUAGGAGAGUACCUAAAUGAUGGUAACCCUCUUAAAAGUCGGCAUUAUAAGAAGCGUCUUUGGGACGGAUGUCUAUUGAAUACUUGUUAAAAUAUACUUCAAAUGUCAUAUUUCUGGAGAUGAACAAUUAAUUAGGAAAAGUAAAUAAAUAUAAGAAAGGAUAGGUGAGAUUAAAUAGAUAAGUAUAUAAAUAUAAGGGUGAUAAUAAUUAUUUGUGUGUGUAUGUACAUUACAGGUUAUGUAAAUUUUGGAUACGUUAACUAGUGUCCAAUCGACAUCUGUUAGAAAAAUCCUUGUAAAAUUUGUCCCUAUCAUCAUACCACAAUAAGCAAUUUUUUUUUUUACUAAUUUUCUAAAGGAUUAAUCUUCUAUAUACUGACAGUGUAUACACUUUCACCAUUGGAUGCAUGACACAUAAUCCAAAAUUGAAUUUGAAACCUAAAUUUUGCAUAUGUGUCUUAAUGUAUAUACUGUCAGUUUAUAUAAGAUUUACUCUUUUCUAAAACUCUCCCGUGCCUUUGCAUAUCCUUUCCAUCUCCAACUGUCGGCAACAACAGAAUAAGAUCAUUGAAUCUGACACUCAAGAGAAGAACUUGUAAGGCACAAUAAGUAACGAUACUAAAAAUAUACAAUUGCCAUGAAGGACAUAUCUUUUCAUGGGAAAAAAAAAAAAGAAUUUAGUGUUUUCACCUCUUGAUGAUAGCAUUAUGCAACAAUAACGAGGAUGAGCUAACUAAAAUUCGUUACUGCUAAAUGAAUUAAGAAGAAUUUAUACUCAAAAACUCCUUUGGACAUUUUAUUAAUGCAUACAUGAGUAAGGCAUAAUUAUUAAAGGUUGAGACUUCAAGAAUUACACGUUUUGAAUUCAAAUUUUUAAUCUCAUUGCUCACUUCUUAAAUCUCAUCUCUUUCGUACUUUAAUUAAAUAAAGACAUGAUUAUUAAGCUAAAAUUUCUAGAUUUCCACAAACACAUGAUUCAAGUUCCAAUUUGUUGAGUUUUCAUUACAAGAAUUCAAGAAUAUUACAGACGUUUGUGUUUCUAAAGGUUAUAAAUAUAGAUGCAAUCGCAUUGUGAUUAUAAGGGUUAUAAACAAAGGAUGAAAUCACAUUCAAAUUCUCACUACCUACUGGAUGAGAUUUUAGACAAAAUAUGCUGAAUUCUAAUCCCAUCUUUCCCAUUUACAUUCUUUCUCAUUCAUAUCUCUUUCUAACAUUCACAAGAAGAUAGUUUGUAACAUAGAAUGUAAAAUUCUUUAAUGCCAGAAUCCAUGUGAUUUUCUGGCUCUUAAGCAGCUGCCUUGAAUUUAUAUGGUCCACAUGAGGACUAAGGAAGAAUUGAUGUUGGCUUCUGAGGUUCAUUUCAUCAUACCUACAAAGAAAAUGGCAGGAAGAGUCCAUAUUGAAAAAUCUCCUCCAUUAUGGUGGAUGAAAGCUUCUUUGAGAAUUACCCUUUAUAUUCCUUAUGCCUUGUGAAAUUUCCUCUUUUUGUCCAAGUGUGUGGUUCACCAUAAUGGUUUCAUAUGGUAAAGAUCAAAGCUGAUGUAAAACUAGAUGAAUGUAGAAGUCAAGAAAAGUGAAACUGCAUAUCAUCAUAUUAAUUGAGCACUUCAUUUCCAAAUGGAAAUCACACACAAGAAUAAAAGAAUGAAAAGAGCCUUGGAGACUCGAUAUUUAACUAGAAUAAGCUUGAAAACUAAACUUUCCCGCUCUAUUUUAGACUCUCUUCUGGAAAUGCAGAUACAGAACAAGGAUUACCGAUGCCGAAAGAAAUUAAAAGAAUUGAGGCCUAUAAGAGCGUAAAGUAAGUACUACAUGACAGUCAUGCCUUUUUAGAUCAUCACCUCCCUUGCAGACUUGAAAUCUGCGGAAACUCUUCAGAUCCUCCAACAACUAACUGAUCAGGUUGAUCAGCUGUCACUGCUGCAGAUUCACCGUUUUUACAUGGUUUAUCCAAACCACCUUCCUUAUCCAGUUCUGUAGUAUCAUUAUCAUCAGGAAGCUCCAGAGGUUGACUACCAGUGAAGGACAUUUCUGCUGCAAUUGUACUCAGCCAAGCUUCCUGAAUUUGUAAGACAUACUCCAGGUGCCAUAAAACUUCCCCCAUGGUUGGCCUGCUUUUCCCUUCUUCUGCAAGACACUUUUCAGCGAUCUCUCCAAAUCGAGUUAAAGAUUCUGGAGAAUAUUUCUCAUUGAGUCGUGGGUCAAUAAUGGUUUCAAGUGAUUUCUGGCGUUGCCAUUUCAUUGCCCAUUCUGCAAGAUUGAUCUGAUCUUUUGGCAACGUUGGGUUGAUAACAGCUCGUGCACAUAUGACUUCAAACAAUACCACCCCAAAUGAGUAGACAUCAGAUUUCUCAGUCAACUGCUGCCUUCUGAAGUAUUCAGGGUCUAGAUAUCCAAAGCUCCCUUUGACUGCAGUGCUCACAUGUGUGUGCUCCAAUGAUGGACCAGUUUUGGACAGCCCAAAAUCAGCCAUCUUUGCUACAAAGUUCUCAUCCAACAAUAUAUUUGUAGUCUUGACAUCCCUGUGGAUAAUUCCCCGUUCUGAUCCUGUAUGAAGGUAAUGCAGGCCCCUGGCAGCACCAAUGCACACUUCUAUUCGUUGCUUCCAUGUCAAUGAUGGAAGGUCAGUCCCAAAGACAUGGCUCCUAAGUGUACCAUUAGCCAUAAACUCAUAUACCAAGAUCAUUUCAUUUUGUUCUUCACAGAAUCCUAUCAUUGCAACCAGAUGCCUGUGCCUCAGUUUGGAUAGCAUCUCAAUCUCUGUUUCAAAUUCUGUGAGACCUUGUUGAGACUGUGGAUUAGCUCGCUUAAUCGCAGCCAGUGUGCAAUCUUCAAGUUCUCCUUUGAACACCUUGCCAAAUCCUCCAACACCAAUCACUAAACUUUCGUCAAAAUUGUUUGUGGCUGCUCUAAUCUCUGCAAGGGUGAAACGCCUUCCGGAUCUACUGGCUGCAAAUCCACUGGGAUUUUGACCUCGUAGUGAUCCCUUUGCAUUAGUAGUGCUGUCAAGAAGGAAUAUAGGUCGCCAUCCGGGAGAGGUCUUUUUCGUAUCACCCUGUUGAGUGCUUGGCUUUCUACAUAACCAGAAAAUAAGCACUACGAUAGCUGCAAGAAUGACAAUAGAAGCAAUGCCAGCACCAAUUGCCACCCACAGUAUCAAAGAUCUUGAAGACUUCUUCUCUUCUGACUUCUGAUAGCUCUGUACAAAAGCUAGAUUACCAUCCCGACUCAACUUGAAAACUUCUAAACCAUUCAAGAGAGCAUCAGUUCCAGCAGCAGCAGCGCUUGCAUCAGGACCAAGCUGUAUCCACAGGUUGUUCGAUUGGGAAGGCAUCACAUCAAAGUAAUCCUCAUGGUAUGCCUUGUUCAUUCCACCAGCUCGGGUGAAGAUGUCAAAAUUGUCGGCUGCAGUUUUAUUGUUUAUAUAGAUUCUGAAAUUUCUUUGAUUUGAUAUAUUAUAUACCAGCUCACAGAAAUGUAAUCGGACAAGGUAAUCAAAAUCAGGAUCCACUUCCAAUUUCCAUGACAUAUUAAACCUUUUCUCCAAGACAUCAUUAUUGGACAUAGUUCUAGCCGAUUCAUAUACGGGAAUGGGAGCAAAAUAGGUGUCAUUAGGUAAAGCAUAGACUAUGUAGGAUUUGUUUCUGAUUUCUGACCCUGCAUCUACAUUGAUCAUGUAGCCAGAAUCCAGCUCCCAUAAUCUCCAGAGCUCCGAAUCCUGAUCAGGAUUGAUUGUUGAUCCCCCUACAUUCAACCUAUACAUAGUUUCAAUCCCCCUUUUGCUCAAAUUAAGAGAACUAUUAGCACCAUUUCCACCCACUUUCUUUACAGAGUCAAGAAAGAGCUUAUCUGCAACUGGAAUAACUUCUAUUGCAUUCACAAAACCAAAAGAACCUUUGCUUGGAAUAAAGUCAAUUGCAAUACCAUUGCUUUCCACAUUGAAGAAAUACUCCUUCACCAAGGAAGUAAAACUAGAAUUGCCUUUAGAAGCCUGCAAAUUGCUAUUCUUGUCUCCAAUCUCACCAGGGACAUUGAACUCAGAAACCAACUUUAAACCAUUGGCCUCCACAGAAAAGUAAGAUUGAUUUGCAUUGAAAUUUUCAAAUGCAAAUGGAUAGAAAUGGAGCCGAAGAAAAUAGCUGCCCUGUGCUCCUUGCAACGUGUAAUUUAAUCUGUCGGUAAAAAUUCUAGCAGUUUUGUAUAGUGAUGCAUAAACUGUAUCUCCACUGACCAUGGCAGUGGAUGCUUCAAUACCAGGUGCACUCAUGGUGAUAUUGUUCCCUGGAGAUGAGUCACCAAUCCAUUUUCUGCCAUUCACAUUAAUACUGGAAUUCGAUCCACAAUUAACUAAAAAUGCAUUCAUCUGAGCAUCUCCUAUUCUAACAAGUACACAUAUCAUCCCUAUAACAAAUAGGCCAAAGAAUCCCAUGCCUUGGACCCUGAUGCUUCACCAAUAUUUCUUCCUUCGCCUUCCUAAUUUACCUGUUCUUCUCUUUCUGUGUUCACCCUUUAUCCCUUCAAAAAGGAUGCAGAAAAAACCACUAACAGCUAGUCAAGAAAAGGAGCAAGAACAGAUAAAAAGCUCAAAUCUUGAAUCACAGUAAUGACUUGACAUCCAAAUACAUCUCAGUAAAGAUAACAAGUUUCUAUCUUUCUCAACAUCUUCAAGAACAGAAACAAAAAUUAAGCAAAAGCAUCUAAGUUACCUUCACUGAACCCUUCUGGGCAUUUGCCAAAUCUUGAGAAAUGGGAUGAAGAAACACAAUCCCACAGGCAAGAUGCUUCAAAAGAUAAAUAUCUUCAACUGACAAUAGCCAAUCAAUAUGCAGAUCUGGAAACAAAAUUUUGUGCAGAAAUUGCAAAAGGAAAAGAAAGUUCAAGAGAAAACAAGUAUGGCACGAGUUUUCUUCAAUAAUUAUGCUGAAACUGCAAUGGAGAUUAACUAUAAGUAGCUACAGUGAUUUCUGGCAUAAUGCAUCCAAGUUUCUACUCCCCUUUGUAGAAAAAGAGAAACACGGCAUUGGCUGGAGUGGUUUGAAACAGACUGGAAACAUUCAUGUCAAUUGCAAUGGUCUGUUUUGUGUGGAAAAAAGAGUCAAGAAUCUUACAUAAGCAUAUCUUUUAAUCAAGUGGGUUAUUACACUACUUAACUUUAAUACUCAUAUAUUUCUUGUAACUGCUGUAACAUCAAUUUUCUUUCCCAACAACCCAAAGUGCAAGAAUUCUUUUUCUUUUCUUUCUUUUUCCAAAAAGCAAAAAAUCUGCCAUAUAGUGGUAUUUUUUAUUUUUUGAAAACAAAUUUGAGUGGACAAGUGGAUUUCGACUUUGAUUAUUAUCAUAGUUAGGACAAGUGGAUAUUUAUAAGUUACUCACCAACUAAGUGCUUAUGGUGAUAUUAAAACUAAUAGACGCAACCUAUUUAAAAAAAAAAUGUUCCUUUAUACCAAUUGAAUUAACAUGAAUAAAAUAAGUUUGGAUUGACCAUUUUUUUAAAAAUAAAAUUUUUAAAUACAAUACUACAGUAAUACAUAAAUAAAAAUAAUUCAAAAAAAUCUUAUUCAUACAAUAUAUCAAAUAUCUCAAAAAUUUUAUAGUAAAAAUUUUUUAUAUACACUGUUACAGUAAAAUUUUUUAAAAAUACUAAAAAAAAAAGCAAUUUUUUUUCCAAUUUUAUGGGCAUGAAGCUGACAAGUGACAGGUGUUACAAGAAAUUAUGGGCAUCUAUUAUUGAAGGGCAGGAGAAAUGUUAGGGGGGAAUCACAUGGAUGUGUCUGGAAGAUAAUCAACAGUUGAAAUAAUUUUGAUGCAAUUUGCCGAAUAAAUUUCAAGGAGGACCUUGUGGGCUGUCUUGUUUUGUUGUCUGAGUCUUUUGACAUUAACAAAGGCAAAAUCUUGUCUUUUUACUUUCCGUACAAGAGUACUCCAUCCAUCGGUUGUCAACAUUUAUAGUAAUUAAUUACUAGUAGUGUUUAAUAAAUAAUUGUACAGCUCCAAUUACUAGCACUGAUUAAUGUUUCUCCUAAAUUGUAGGCAUCCGGGAUUAAUUGAGUAUUAUUUAUUCAUUUCCUAUUGAGAUUAUGGUUUCAAGUUUUAUUUCAAUUUUUUUUUUCUAUUGGAUUGUGGUAGAUUUGAAGCAAUUUUGUUUACUUGAUUAUGUAGUACAUAGCAUUUUGUCGUGACUUGGGAGAAAUUUUUCUUAAUUUUUUUUUUACAAAAGGAGAAUUAUAUAAUAAAAUUUGAAGGGCACUAAUUAAUAAUUCAAUUAAAUUAGAUUUAAUUUAUUAUCUAAUUAAAUGCAUGUAAUAAUUAAUACCCACCUCUAAUUCCUCUUGUCUAAUGUGGCAAUUUUCAUUGAGUACCAAACUUACAACAACUUGGGAGAAGUUGUUGUACUGGGGUCUAGUUCUCAUGAUUAUGCAAAUUAAUUCUCUUUUUGAACAACUAUAGGAAACAAUUUACUUAUUCAAGUGAUUUUUUUUUUUUUUCAAAGAAGUUGUCAAACUUAAGCUUGGUCAAAUUUUUUGAAUUUAAGAGCAUCAUAUUGUACAUUUUCUUCAAAAUUUCAAAAAUCUCCAAAUUGUGAUCAUUUUCUCAUCAUUCGAAAUUUGCAUGUCUAUAUAUUUUUAACAAAAAAAAGGUACAUGUAAGCUGGCUUUUCUGGCAUAGUGGAUUGUGAGUUGGUCCUUCUACACAGAGCAUUAACUGAUUGGAUAUUGUCUUCUUUUUUUUUUUUUUUUUUUUUUGGGUAGAGGAUUGGAUUUUGUUUUUUAAAGGGAAGAUUACUUUUUUUUUGGGGUAUGUUUUACAGAAAUGUAUUUCUGAAAAUUUUCAAAUAUGUUUUUGGUUCAUUUUUUUCUCUUAAAUAUAUUUAUAAAUAAACAUGCUUUAGUAAAAUUUUUUAAUAGAGCCCUUUAAAUUUAGCCAUCCAAACGAAGCAAAGUUUCAUUAUGGGUCUUAAAAAAAAUUUGCUCUCAUCAACUAUUUAAGCAAAGAAAUAACACAGUUAAGCAAAGUUCCCAUAACCAGCAAAAUAUUAUUUUGCUUGCAUCGCAAUUGCAAUUCCCAAUCGGUUUUUUUUAUCUUCCGAACAACCUUUUUAUCUCACACAAAUUACAUCAUAAAAAGUGUUAAAGUAAUUAUUUCAAAUAUUAUGUCACAUAAUCUACUAUUCAAAUACUCUAUGAUUAACAAUUUCUACAUGGCCAAUUUUCUUUUACGUCAACAUUCGAUGUGUAUACGAGUUAAUUGACUAGAAUGUAUAGUGCUUCCUCAAUUUUGUCAUAUUAGCUAACUAGGAGUUUUAUGUCUCUCUACCAUAAUAUUUUUUUUGCAUUGCUUUAAAUGGCUCUUUUGUCAAAGUUUUAGUUGCAUGCUUCUAGAUUUAAUAUUAUUAAUCAAUUCGUCCAAGCAUAAUAUUAAGAGUAAAGGGCACAAAUAUACCUGGCAAUUGGGCGGGUUGGGUGGGUUUUGGGGGGGUUGAUGUUGGGUUUUCAUUUAAAUGGGUUACACCUAAUCCGCCCAACUUUAGAUUGGGUUAAUUUUGGGUUGGGUCAUAUUGGGUUAUCUUAAACCCAUGACCCAAAUAUGACCCAAUAUAUUAAAUAAUAGAUUUUGAUACAUAAACUCUUUUAAAUAUAUUUUCAUAUACAAAAAAAAAUUCACACACAUAAAUACAUUUUCACAUAGAUAGAUAUAUUUUCACACAUUAAAACACUCACAGAUACAAACACACACUCACUUUUUAAGUUCUUUUGAAAUAUUUGAUUUUAUUAUCCUUUUAGAGUAAUUAUUUGACAUGUUGCUCCCGAACCAAUGAAAGAGUUUGACAUAGAUAUACAAAGAUCUCACUCGAUCUCAUUUAAUGUGUCAAGUGGAUCCCACCUAACAUGUAAAUUUCCAAUGUAAAUUUGUUGGAUAGGAGUGUUUUUCAAAAAUUAAUUUUUCAAAUACAAUAAAAACUUUUGAAAAGUAUUCUAAACGGUAAUCUAAAAAUUAGUUUAAUUUUUUUAAAAAUUUUAAAAACUAUGUCAAAAUAUAUUUUAGAAACUCUUCUACUCUUAAAUAUUCUAAAAUAUUUUCUGAAAAUAUUCCAAAAUAUAAUCUAAAAACUCUAUUACAGCAAAGUUUUUUAAAAACACUCUAAAAAACAACUAAUCCAAACAGUGCCAAAGCUAUUGAAAAUCUAGAUAUUACUAACAUAUGUAGAUGUGGACGUCCAAGUCGAAAUUUCAUCUGCGUCCACAUGCAUGUUCUAUUGCGUUCUCAUUGCCUCUAGUCAACUUCUAUUUCCUACUUUCUAUGCAACUAGACAUCUGCUUAGUAUAAGCCAUGCAUUCUCAUCAAGUUUGGUUGUACCUUCAUCAAUUAUAAUCACUUUCUAUUAUCACAUUUAAGUAGAAACAUUUGUACCUUUUGUCCAUGAAUGCUAGAUAACCUAUUUCGUCCGUGAAUGCCGGAUGGCCUAUUCCGUCGGUUAAUUAGAUUAGAUUUUAAUUACAAAAAAAAGAUUAAAAAUUAUGACAUGUCUAUUUGAUAGAUACAAAUAUGAAAGUUAAAUGUCAUUCCAACUUAAUCAAAAAGCACUUAAGAAAAAUAUAUUAUCUUCAUUGAGAAUUUUUGAGGUAGUUUUGACAUUUUUCACAUUUUUUUGCUGAUGAUUCCCUUAUUUUCUAUAAAGCAAGUGCGUUUGAUGCCACAAAAUUGAUGAGAAUUUUAAAAUCUUGAAGUGGCCGCAAAAUUGGUGCAUUUUGCGUUUAAUUUGUUUUUUAAUUUAAGUUGGGUAAUGGGUACCCAACACAAAUACCCAAACCGCCCAAAAUAUGUAUGGGUUUUUAUUACCCAACCCAAAAUUGACCCAAUACCCAACUUACCGAACCCAAUCUCUCAAAUAACUUAUUGGUAUAAUUGCUAGGUCUAGGCACAAAUAACUUAUUAUUAUCCAAAAUGUUUACUUAACUAACAAAAAAAGCACAUAUUUAGUCACUUAACUUAAAAAAAGCAUAAUUUUUAUCACUUAUUUUAUGAAAACAUAUACCUAUUGAUCUCAAAAUGUAUGUUCUAAUUCUAAUUAGUUGAAUGACCUUUUUGACUAAAAUUUUUUUUGAUAACUAAAAAAGGGAUGUUAAAUAAUUUUUUAUAGCCAUAUUUGCCCCAUUUGCUCUAAAAUAAGGAAGUGAGAUAAAAGGUUUGAGAAAUGGAAUCAAACAAAACUUUUUAGUUUGUGUGUUAUUGUUACGACAAUGAAUAGCAAGGAUGAGUUCAAAUAUUAAUAGAGUUCUUCUUAUCCCUAAGAAGAUAUUAGUCACAAGUAUCAUUACUUUCGCUAUAAUAUCUGAUUCCCUACUUGUGACUAAAGAAAUAUAUUGACACUAUGUAAUUUGUAAUUUCUAAUUGGUAAUAUAAUUUAGUAGACGAACUAUUAUUGUUUCCUUGGGCUUCAUUUGGAUUAAGGGAAGGAAAGAAUGUCAUUAAGUAGAUAUUAACAAAUAAAGUAGAUGUUCUGAUAGAUGGAAGAAAAAUAAUGCAAAGACUAAAUGCAUACUUUGGAAACAGAAAGGUAGUCUGAAAUAUAUCCAUACCUCCUCAUUUCCUUACUUUCCAUUUUUUUUGGUAGUCCAUUUGAAAUAUAGAACUAGUAUCUGUUGAAAAAAGGAGAAGAGUGGGAAGAGGGAGAGGGAAGGGAGAAGAGUGGGAAGAGGGAGAGGGAGGGGCGGCGGCAGAAGGUGGUGUGUGAUGGUAGAAAGGAUGGGAGUGAUGGUGAAGGGUGGUUGCUAGGGGACGACCAAAAAUUUUUUAAAUUAUCUCAAUAUAAAUUUAAAAUUUAAAAAUACCUCCAAAUAUAUUUACAUUGAAAAUUUUUUAUGUAUAAAAUUAGAGUUAAGUUUUUAAAAAACACGCCUAAAAAUACUUAAUUCACAUGGAUCAAUGUUUCCCCUAAAUUGUAGGCAAAGGCACAUGGCAGUAGUUUGUCUGUUCCAUUUGGUCACAUUUAUGUGGCCUAAAUUGAGGCUGCACUUCUAAAAUUUAUGAAUAAAAAAAAUAAAAAUUUGAAAUUGACUAUUUACAUGAUCGCACUAUUAUCUUAUCGAUCAACGACCUAAUUUAUAAGAUACAAAAUUUUGAAUUUGGCGAUAUCAAAGAAGGUAAGAGGUGAGGCUAUUAAAGUUCCCUCCUAAAAGUGAGAGUUUCUCUCUCUGGGUAAGAGCGCGAGUCUCUCUUUUUUGAGAGUUCAAAACUUUUCAAAAUUUUCCGCAAACUUUUACACUCAAUCCCAAGAAUCAGACAAAGAUCAACAACAUUAUUGCUGAUGAAAUUAAGAAGUUCGGUCUGUAAGUGAUGAUUUAGCUAAAGCCGAACAUCUUGGAAAGAUUAUUGCUCCCCAUUAGGGGGACAGUUUUUCUCUAUUAAGAUUCCAGCUCAACGUCGGCAAGUGUCUGCAAGCAGAAGAUAGCUCGGUAAUUCUGGUUCAAGGAAACAGACUCCAUGGAAGAAGAUAGGGUGCUGACAGGUAUCCUCACAGCCAUAUUUUCCAUGGUUCACUCUUGCUUUUGUUACUUUUUUCUUUAAAAGUUUUUGGGGUUUACCCCGAUCAAUCUCUUUGUUUCAGGUUGUUUAGGAUUUUAAGGUUAAAAGUUAUGGUUUUUCCUCUUUGUUGAGUAGUUUGGUUUUUUCUGUUUAGAGUCUUUCUUUCUUUUAAUACAUCUUUGUCUGCCGAGGUAGUUGUCGUUUCUGUUUUUCUUAGGCCUUGGCCGUCUUGUCUUGGUUUUUCUCAGUAGUGGAAGUAGGUUGUUUUUAGAAUCUGUUUAUACCCCAUGGCGGAAGAACUAGCAGAUGCGAUAAGGAAAUUUGCUCUUUUUGACAAAGAGCUGGAGGGAACUGACCUGGGAGGAGAAGAGAUUGACAGAGGUAUUCAAGAAUGUCAGUCAAGCUUAGUGGGUAGGAUCAAAGGUGAGAAAGUGGUGAAUUUUGUUGGAGUUAAGAACUUUGUGAACUCAGCUUGGGGGUAUCCAAGGAAUCUUAGGAUUAUAGAGCUGGGUCCAAAUAUGUUUCAGUUUUAUGUACCAAGCAGGGAAGAUAGAGACUGGAUAGUAGGGGGAGGACCUUGGGUCAUGGACAACCAAAUUCUGGUGAUAAAACACUGGUUUGAAGGUAUUGAGGAUGACUCUUCUGCUUUUGGUCUUGCACCCCUUUGGGUUCAAGUCUGGAACCUACCUGUGCAUUGGAUAUCAAAAGAAGCAGGAUGGAAAAUUGGAGCGAUAUUUCAUGAAGUAAAGGAUGUUGUGGUGCCUCAAGUAGGAGGAAAGGAAUGUAGACAUCUAAAGUUAUUAGUGGUUAUGGAUACCUCCCUACCUCUCUUAAGGGGAAUGACAGUUAAAGUAAAUGGAAUCCUGAGAUGGUUGAACUUCAGAUUUGAGAGGUGCCCAGACUUCUGUUACAAAUGUGGAGUGAUUGGACAUGGUGAAAAGAAAUGCAAGGAAGUAAUACAGGUAAGCAAAGGGAAGCAGGAACACCAGUAUGGCCCAUGGAUGAGAGCCAACAUAGGUAAAACAUCACCCCAAAAGGAACAACAGAAUAAGUAUAACUCUGAGAUGAAUUAUUGGGGCUUUAGAGAUGGAGAGAUGGUACGGUUAAAUCCUAAGGCUAAGGAAAAUAUGGAACAUGGUCAUAAGGACUCUAUGUCAGGAAGGAAUGAUGAAACUAGGAAGAGUAAUGAUGAAAAUAUGACAGGCAAGGAGAAGUCCAAAAAGGAUGAAUCGCGGGAGGUUCAGCAACUAAGAGGUGAGGCUAGCAGUAAAGAAUUGGAAAGAAAAAGCUUAAUCCAAAAUAGCUGGAACAGUCAGAAGGAGAGCUCUACCUCAGAAGCUACAGAAUCUCUCCCAAAGGGAAUCAGUAAAUGUGUAUUAGAGGAAGCAAGUUUGAGUAUCCUAGAGGAGGUAGAGAUAAAUGGUAAGAACAAAGGUGCAGUGGAAAGAAACGGACUUGAACAAAUAGCACAAGAGCUUAUGCAAGUCACAGUAAUGGAGGAUGAUUCUGGCAGCCCUGAAACAGCUUUAAUGAUAAUCGAUCCAGGAAGUUCUGAGCUGGGUACUAUGGCUGCCCAGAAACAUAACAGGAAAAUGAAGAAGCAGUUGAGAUCUCCCAAAAUCUCUCGUCAGCCUUUGAGGGAUCUGAGUGGGAACAGGAUAUUGGCUAUUCAACAAGGAAAAAGGAAACUUAAUUUGAUAGAUGAGGAGAUGGUGGAAGUGCAGGUAACGGAGAUUGUUCACAAGAGAAACAAACUGGGAGUUGGGGAAGUGAAUCCUGGAGAGAAACAAGAGGGGGAAGGGGCCAACCUAAACUGGCCCCUCAAGUUUCAAUGAAGGUUCUGGUGUGGAACUGCCAAGGAGCAGGGAGCCCCUUGACAGUUCCCCAGUUGAGGGAGGCUAAUAACCUCCUCUCCCCAAAUAUAUAUUUCUGAGUGAAACCAAAAAUAGGUAUAAUUACAUGAAAAGGGUCCAAAAAAUUCUGAGGUUUGAGGAAAGUGUGAUUGUAGAAGCUAUGGAUAGGAAAGAAGGUAUGGCUUUGUUUUGGAAUAAAGAUAUUGAGGUCAGGGAAGUAGUUACAACAGCUCUCACUAUAGAGGCUUUGGUUUUUGAUCCGGAGCUGCAGAUUGACUGGUGGUUUAUUGGUGUAUAUAUGAGCUGUGAUGCUAAUAUUAGGAAACAACAGUGGAAAGUUUUGACUGCGAGAAGACAGUUGUGGGGAGAUAAAUGGCUUCUGGCAGGGGACUUUAAUGAUAUAUUAACUAAUGAAGAGAAGUGGGGAGGUAAUGCAAGAGCAGAGAGGAGUUUCAAGUAGUUUAACAGCUUUAUUGAAUACAACAAUCUUGUGGAUAUAGGUUUUACUGGUAAUCCCUGGACAUGGAGCAACAAUUGGGAUGGUGAAGGGGAGAUUAGGCAAAGACUGGACAGAGGAUUAAGUACCAUUAACUGGAGCCAAUUUUUUGACAAGGCUAAAUGUGAUCACGUGGAAACUGUUGGGUCAGACCACAGCAUGUUGCUCAUAGAUAAUUGGCCUAGAAUGGAUAAAAAAAGAUCAAAAUUCUCUUUUGACAAGAGAUGGCUCAAGAGGGAAGGGAUCAGUCAAGUGGUUGAGCAAGCUUGGAAACAAACAGUGGAAGGAAAUAGGAUGUAUAGGAUUACAAGGCAGAUUGCUAACUGCAGAGUGGCUCUACUCAAAUGGAAGAACAAUUUCACAGGAAAUUCUUUGCUAAAAAUCAAUCAAGUGAAGCAACAGAUUAAGGAGAUAAAGGAAUCUAAGGAGUCAGGUGUUAAGGAUAAAAUCUCAGAGUUAAAAAUUCAGUUAAAAGAGGCCUACACAGAAGAAGAGCAGUUUUGGGCUCAAAAAGCAAGGAUUGACUGGCUGAGAGAAGGGGAUAAGAACACAAAAUUUUUUCAUGCUUGUGUGAAGGGGAGAAGAAGGCGAAAUAGGAUGCUCAACAUACAAAGGGAUGAUGGUUCUUGGACUAAGAGUGAGGAGGAGCUGGGAAAGGAAGUGGCUGAAUACUAUAGAGUUCUUUUUGCUAGUUCUGGUUGUGAGGGUCUGGGUGAGAUUCUAAAUGGUAUACCUACCACUAUCACUACUGAGAUGAAUGCAAGGCUAACUCAGGAAGUGGAGGAGAAGGAAAUUAAAUCUGCUCUUUUUUCCAUGAAUCCAAAUAAGGCACCAGGCCAAGAUGGCAUGAAUCCUUUGUUCUUCCAAAAAUUUUGGCACGUUGUGAAAUCUGAUUUAAUUGCUGCCAUUAGGCAUUUCUUUUGGUCUAGCAACAUGCCUAAGUCUUGGAAUCACACUGUCAUCUCCCUCAUCCCUAAAAUCCAGAAUCCUACCAACUUGAAGAGCUAUAGGCCUAUUAGUCUCUGUAAUGUUGUUUACAAAGUGAUUUCUAAAAUUCUGGCCAAUAGACUCAAGAAUGUUUUAAAUCACUGCAUUAGCAAAACUCAGGCAGCUUUCAUCCCAGGCAGACAAAUUCUUGACAAUGUCAUUCUAUCUCAUGAAUAUUUGCAUUACAUGAACAAUAAGAGACAAGGACAGAAUGGACUUAUGGCUGUGAAGCUAGAUAUGUCAAAGGCCUACGAUAGAGUGGAGUGGAAAUUCCUUGAUGCCAUGAUGGAAAAAAUGGGCUACUGCACAGUAUGGAGGAAGUGGAUUUGGAGCUGUCUCUCCUCAGUUACCUACUCUUUCAAUAUUAAUGGAGUACCACAAGAAUUUGUAACUCCAGAAAGAGGAAUAAGACAAGGUGACCCACUGUCACCUUAUCUUUUCCUUUUGUGCUCAGAAGGUUUCUCCAAUUUACUAAAGCAGGCUGAAGGAGAUAAAAGGAUCACAGGGGUGAAGAUAUGCAGAAGUGGGCCAAGAUUGACUCAUUUAUUCUUUGCUGACGAUUCUUUGAUUUUCUGUAAUGCUGACAAAGAGGAAGCAAGUGAACUUGUUCAAAUUCUGAGGAAGUAUGAGAAGGGGUCUGGUCAAUCCAUAAAUCUGGAAAAGUCCUCAGUUUUCUUCAGUCGCAAUGUCAGUCAUCAGAGGAAAGGGGAAGUGAGACAAAGCCUUGGCACAAUCCAGGUGGCUACUCAAGGAAAAUAUCUGGGGCUCCCUAUGGUGAUAACUAGAUCAAAACAGCAAGUUUUUGGUUUUAUUAAGGACAGUAUCAGCAAGAGAAUGAAGAACUGGAAGAACAAGCUGCUCAGCCAAGGAGGGAAGGAAGUCUUAUUGAAGGCAGUUUCUAUGGCAUUGCCAGUGUAUACAAUGUCCUGCUUUAAACUUCCAAACACACUGUGCAAAGAAGUGACCUCCAUUUUUGCUAAGUAUUGGUGGGGAGAAGCUGAAGGGAGAGAUAAGAUUCACUGGUGCUCGUGGGGAAGAAUGGCCAUGGAGAAAAAAGAGGGAGGUUUAGGCUUCAAGGACUUACAGAAGUUUAACAAAGCCUUGCUGGCUAAACAGGUUUGGAGGCUGAUUACCAAACCAAACCUCUUAGUCAGCAAGGUUUUGAGGGCAAAGUAUUUCCAUAGGGACUCUAUCUUCAAGUGCAAAGUCCCAAAGUGUUCUUCAUGGAUCUGGCAAAGUCUGAUGAACGUAAGAGAUUUGGUGCAAAAGGGAACUAGAAAGAGGAUAGGCAAUGGCAAGACAACAAACAUUUGGGAGGACAUUUGGAUCCCUGGUAAUGAGGAUGGGAAAGUCACUUCUGCAAUGCCUCAGAACUGCAAUAUCAGAAGAGUGGAUGAGCUCAUCAGUGGUUUUAGGUGGAAUAAACCAUUAGUGCUUAGAACUUUUAACCAGAAAGAUGCGGUGGAAAUCUUGGAUAUCCCUAUCAGUAUCUCUGGUAGGGAAGACAGUAACUAUUGGGUACAUAGUGGUCAUGGCAGCUACACGGUCAACUCAGGAUACAAGGUACUGUGUAGAGAGAGAACUCAAUCCAGGGGAAGAAGAGAAAACGAAGCAGAAACAAGUUCAGCAAAUUCCAAAGGUAAACAAUGGAAGUGGCUGUGGAAACUGAAGCUAAAAAGCAAGUUAAAACAUUUCAUUUGGAGGUGUCUAAAUGGUAUGUUACCAGUUAACGACCUUGUUUUCAAAAGGACACACCAAGGUGAUCCAAUCUGUGAUGGUUGUGGUGAAAAGGAAGAGUCAACUGAACAUAUGUUUUUCAUUGCAGCAGAGCUCAAGAGGUUUGGAAGAUGGCACCAGUACAGUGGGAUGGUUUGUCUGAUCAGACAGGGAACUUCACAACCUGGUGGACAGCUAUGCUGGAUGCCAUAUGUAGGACAGAGGGCAGGGAACAUAUAGAACUAACCGUGAACAUCCUUUGGCAAAUUUGGAAGAGGAGAAAUGAAUGGAAGUUUAAUGCAAAACGUAAACAUCCCUGGAAAACAGUCAAAAAGGCUCAACAAGAAUGGCAUGAACAAGCAACAGUUUGGAGCAAAGAGAAUACGACCCCUGAGAUUGCUGCAAGAGAUAAAGAGGAAGCAGAACCAGAGGAGGGAGGACGUGAUGAAAUGCAGAUCAGAAUCUCAACUCAAGUGCAAGAACCAACUAAUAGAAUUGGCACAGGGAUUAUAGCAACUAACUUCAACCAUCAGCUGGUGGCAGCCUGGGCACUUAUUGACAGGAAAGCAAGGAAUCAGGUGCAGAAUAUUGCUGAAUCUGUGAAGAUGGCCAUUAUAAAAGCCAAACAACAGCAAUGGCAGAAAAUUACAGUCUACAUACCCAGCCCUCAGCUGUUGAAAGGGUUAACGGAAGGAAUAGCCAAGGAUAUCAAAAUGGCUACCCUGACUGAUGAUAUUAACAAUUUAAGAGCUUUGUUUCAGAAAUGCUCCUUUUGUUUAGAUAGGAGAUUAGACUCCAGAUGUGAUUUGAUUAGUGGUUAUGCUUUAGGCAUAUUUCAAGAUGAGGAAUGGAUCAAUUCUCAGUAUGUCUAACACUUGUGUAUAGUACUGCUUGAGCCUUUGCUCAUAUAAGUGUAUAUCCUUUUGUCUAUUCAAUACAAAAACUACCGUUGCUGAAAAAAAAAAAAGAUAUCAAAGGUUGUACAAUUAUUUGAUCAAACAGCAAGGCUUGUUUUGAAAUUUGGACAAAACAAUUUGCCUCUCUAAAGGUAUGGGGUGGGGUAUUCAUACUUUAUCCCCCUCCAAAUUUGAAAAGUGUAAAUCUUAUAUACACUGACAGUGUAUACACUUUCACCGUUGAAUCCAUGGCACAUAUGCAAAAGUUGGAACUCAAAUUCAAAAUUUGCAUAGUUGUCAUUCAUCUAAUGCCGAUAGUUUAUACACUUUUACCGUUAGAUCUAUGAUACUGUAUUUUAACUUCGUCACUCCAAUUAUAUAUUUCUCUUCGAAGAGUACCAUUGACUUCUUGUAGCCUAAUAGUCAAGUUUAUGGCUGUUGUAUUAAUACCUUUAUACCUUUCUAGCUAGGAAAUAUUCAUCAAGAAGUGCAAUGCAUGCCAAAAAUAAAAAUAAAAACAAGGUCAAACCAAAAUUUUUUGUGGUCUAGCUUCACCAGAUGAACUUAAAAUUCUCAACUUUCAGAUAUCAAACUUCAACAAAUGAAUCACGGACAACUGUUUUUCGAGCAUAGCUAAAUGCUCGAUAGAAUCACUUCAAUACUUCUUAAAUCUCCUAAUUCGUCCUUUCAUUGAAUGAAUAAACCUUUUAAUUGAGUGAAAAUUUAGCAUAUUUUAAGGGAUUAGGCAAACUUUUCUGGUUUCUCUCAAAAAGGUUUUAGGACUUCUUUCCAAGGGUUUAUUGCCCUACAUACGCAUGGCAUGCCUUUUUUUUAUUCCAGUACAAGGGUACAAUUGUACCUUCACUAACGAAUCUUCACUAUUUAAAUCAUUUGAGAGAAAGUUAAAUUGGAUAGUAAUACGGAAUGAAUUAUAAGUUGAAAAUCUUAAAUUCAAGACUGGGGGAAGGGGGGGUGUGUGUCGUUUAAUUGGUCAACAAGGGGGUAAAGUGUAUAUUUUCGAAAUUCGGGGCGAUAAAGCGUGACCAUCCCAUAGCUUCACUUCAGGGAGCAAAGUGUGAUUAACCCUUAAUAAACCCCAUUGAAAAUGAGAAAAUUGUGCAAAUAAUCCAAAGAAAGGACAAGAAAUAUGUGUCUCAAUCCUUGAACACGCACUCAAGAAAAAGUAGUAGUACAUUCAAAAGUUCCGAAUUCCAACAAAUAUCUUAUCAUUCGCAAGAAAAAACAAACCUUUACGGUUUCUUCUUCCCUCUCAAAAUUAUACUACUGCUAGAAUAACCAGGAGUAGGUUGCUUGCUUGCUUUGUCAAUUGUCACUUCAUUUCUGAUUUCUCCAUCAAAAAAUAUUUUCAAGAAUUAGAAAAAUACGGGGGAAAAGCAAAAAAUUUGGGUUGACUUUCUGGAUGGGGUCAGAGUCAGAAUGCGGUAAGAGUGAGGUGGUCUUGGGUGUGGAUGGCGGUACUACCUCUACUGUCUGCGUUUGCAUGCCCCUUCUCCCUUUCUCCCAUCACCUGCCGGACCCUCUUCCUAUUCUUGGCCGGGCAGCCGCCGGGUGCUCCAAUUACAACAGCGUCGGAGGUAUAUUCUUGCUAUUGUAUUUCAAUAGGAAAUGAUUUCAUGAUUUCUGGACGGUUAUGUAUUGUGAAGGGUUAAUUGAUUUUUGAAGUUAAUUGUUAGUAUCAGGUUGGUAGAAGGUCAAAAUGAAAACAAGGAAGGGGGAAAGAGGGAUUUGGUUAUCAUGGAUUUUAUUGUGGCCUGCAUUUUGUUUUCUGGGUUGAAUUUAGAUUUUGAUGGCUUUCAUUAUGAAGUUGAUUUCAGUUGAUUUCUGUUUUUUUGGAGUUGAGGAAUAUUAUUGUAUGUAUUAUAGAAAUAAUUUGCUGGUUUUUAGUUUCUGACCUGAAAUGAAAAUUCAUGACAAUUGGUUGUAGGCUGUGGUUUGACUCUCAUCCCUGCUAUUUGUAAGACCUAUUCCUAGUGUGCUUGAGAAAGGGGAAAAGAUAAAACACCAGUUGCUCGUUAGCGAUAAAUGUCAUUUGCUAUUUUUGCUGUUUUGUGUUCUCAGAAGAUGCUGCCAAAGAUACAUUGGAAAAAGUUAUGGAAGAAGCGCUUUCGCAAUCAGGUGUGAAAAGAUCGGCUGUUAGAGCUGUCUGUUUAGGUGUAUCUGGAGUUAAUCAUCUGAAGGAUGAGGAAAGAGUAUUAAAUUGGAUAAGGUAUGGUAUCUUUCUGUUUAAGUAUGAUCUCUUUUAUAUUAUCUUUUGGGUUUGGUAAGUAUUAGAUCACGUAUUUGUUAAGAUACAGGCUUAUAUUUAAAAACUUCAGUUGGAGUUAAUGAAUCCAUUCAUCCAUUAUGGUUUACAAUCCGUUUUAUCUUCCUUGAUGGUAAAGGAUCCUAAACCAAUGAAUGAUUAUUUUGAAUAGUGCUAUUUGAACCUUGUUGAUCAUCAUAGUGUUUACUGCAUAGACGGCUACAUGGAUUUUGGAACGUGCCAAAGAAGCUGCUCUUGUACAAUUUUUAGAUGAUUGUAUGUAGCUACUCUAGUAUAUUCUUCCAAUGAUAAUACUGAUUGAUGAGUUCUAGGACAUUAGCAUGCCUUAGAAAGUUCGGGCAAUAAAUAGUUUUACAAUCUUGGGUCAGUAUGCUUGGAUGUAAUAUUAUGUCUGCCUACACUGCUUUUUCUCUAUUGGGUAAGAAGGAAUUGAAGAACCAAUGCUUUAGAAGGUUUCUCGUUUUGCUUGGGGCAAUCACUUUUGGCAUUUAUGGUUGUUAUUAAAGUUGAAGCAUGCAUACUAGCAUAUUUUGCUUGCUAUUACCCAUGGGAAGAACAUAAUGCCCCUUCUGCAUUGAAGGAAAGACUACUUUGUGGUACUUUUUUGAAAUAAUUUUUCUCUCUUAGAAAUCUUCUUUUAUAGAAUAGGAAUUGAAAUAAUGUUUUUUUGGGUGAGUCAAUAAGUAAAAUUUAAGAGUAGGAAGAAGAUUUUAGAGAUGGUUGCUGAUAUUGCCAGAGCAAUUCUUAUAAUCCUGGAGCGAUUUUUUAUCAAAUGGAAAAUUACCCUGUUGACGCCAACAUUUCUAUGGGACUGACCAAUGAAUUUUUCUCUUACUUAUACUCCUCACUCUCCCGUUUCCAUUUUCAGUUUCACUAUGAAUCUUUUUCUAUUCUCAACCAACCACCUUUAAUGGCUACUGACAUUCACACCUGAUGUGAUGUUGCUGGUUAAACUAACUAGCUCCAUUUUCAAAGUGCAAAGGUUAAAAUCAUAUAGAGCCAUCACUUCCUAAAACACUUUUUUGAAUGUAAAGGGGAAAAAAAUUUGAAACAUUAUAAGACAUCAAGGGCCUUGAUUUCAUAUUCCUAAAUUUUAACUUGAAUCAAUCUUGGUAGAACCCCGAAAUAGCUUAGUAAAUCAAUAUUUGGUGAAUAAAGAUCAACCGCACAACUUAGUAAUUUUACGUGAAAGCACAAAAUGUAAGUUGGAAAUGUACAGAUCUAUCAUGAAUGGACUAAGAUUCAACAAUACAAAUGAGAUGAGCACCAUAUAUAACCAGAAGGAAAAAAUCAUGGUAUCAUACAAUACCAGUCAAAAACCAUUCUGAUAACUGUACCAAACUUGGGAGGAAACAAAUCUGGAAGGCAGCAGGGUAGGGAGGUUGUAGAGAGAUACUCAUCGACAAGAGCAAGAGAGAAGCUGGUUGGGAGUGGUACUUGUUGAGACCUGGGAUUGGGGAAGGAAAUAAAGUGGAUGGUUGGUGAAGGGGAAGCAGGACUGAGUGGAGCAGCAGCAGGGCUGCUAGGAGUAGGGUGUCAGAGAGAGAGGUAGAAGAAGGGGGAGGGAGUUGAAUACGACAAACAGAAGUGGAGGGAGUGGGUUCCAUAUGAAUUAAUGAAGAUGUUGGGGUUGACUUGGGGAAGGUUAGUUUGCCAUUUAAUGAAUAAUGGCUCUGGUAUUAAAAGAAUUUCUCAGGCAAUAUUGCCAGCCUUUUAGAGAUUCGUCAUUUACUUGUCUUGCUCAUGCUCAAUACUCCUCGAAAAGAAAGUAAUCAUGGGCAGUAUUGCCAGCCUUUUAGAGAUUGGUAGUUGACAUGUCGUUCUUGUGCACAGUGCUCUUGAGAAAGUAACCAAUUUACCUUGAACUGUUUAGCCAAUGGUUUAAGCUUCAUGUCUUAUGUGAUCAUUUAGUUUUUCUGUUCUUUCUACCUUCUCUUUCAUGCUUGUGGGAUGUUUGUUAAGGGUAUCAUAACUUAUAUAUCAUAGAAGGCUUGUUGUGUUUUGAAGUUGGAGAAACUGUGAGCUUUGCAAACUGUAGUGUGAAUAAGUGCAGCAUUUAAUUUGGAUCACAUGAUCCUGAUUUGAAACCUCUGUUCUCUGAAUUUUGGUAUUAGAAAAUUAUGGCUCCUUUAGGACAAUUGAAGAACUGUUAAAGGCCUCAUGACUUGGAUGGAAGCAUUGCUAGAGCUUAUGGGAGUCGAAAUUAAUGGAGAGACUAGCCUGUAUUCUAGAAUUAUUGCUUCAUGAAAAUGGAAAAAACAUCUCUUGGUGUACUUCUCAAGAAUUUUGUUAACAAACGAUAUUAACUGUUUGCUCUAAAUUUUUAGGCUGCUUUAUUAUGUGUUCCUUUUGAGUUAUUAUUUAACGGUGUGUAUCAACCCCAAACUUUUAGGCUGCUUUAUCUGUGUGUUCAUUUUGUGUUGACAUUUUAUGUUCAGAAAAGGUUACAAGGCCUAAAGAAGACAAACAUAAAGUACUUUUUAUUGAAACAUAUGGCAGAUUCAAAAAACUCCAACAAGUGGUUCUAAAUUACUGUAAUUUUGCAGGGACUUUUUCCCUGCUCAUGUGAAGAUAUACGUUCACAAUGACGCUGUUGCAGCUCUUGCAAGUGGGACUAUGGGGAAACUUCAUGGCUGUGUGCUUAUUGCUGGUACAGGGAGCAUAUCCUUUGGAUUUACUGAAGAUGGAAGGGAAGCUCGUGCUGCCGGUGCUGGACCUGUAUUGGGUGACUGGGGCAGGUGAUGUUAGGAAAUGUGUUUUAUUGUAUAAAAAGUUGCUCUUUGUGAUUCUUUUUGUCUUUUAUCUAAGUGAUGAAAUGGAUGUGAUAGUUCUAGCAAUCAAUAUUAGUCUAUCCUCUUAAAUUUAAGUAGAAAGCAAAAAUCAAUAAUUUGUCCUUCAUCAUAGCUUGAUUAAGAUAACUGAAACUGGUGCUUAUUCGACUCUUCAUUUGGCAAUUGUGGGCGCAUAACAAACAUCUAGGAAUACGAAAGUGGCAAGGGCAUUGGGGAGACGGGGAAAAGAGGGAUAUACAACACGAUGUAGUUCCCAAACAUGGUACCUGUAGUUCACCAUGCUGGAUGAGGGAUUUUGUUUUCUUAGCUGUGACUCAAAAAAUAUGCACACUGAAUCAACUUUGGCCCUCGAAGUUUAUGGAUUAAUUUAUCUUCUGAUUUAAUGAAUCAACUUUCAUAAUUUUGUAUUUUCUUUGUUUAGAAUGCUUCUACUGAAAUUCAGCAGAGACUGCAAAAUAAAAAUUGCAGAUUAUCAAAUGAAAGUGAGCUAAAUAUUCUUUCUCGCAUGGAGAAUCUUUGAGCUAAAUAUUCUUUCUUGCAUAGAGAAUCUUGUGAAAUAUAUUGAUCAAUCUUAGGACAAAAUGUCGGUGUCCUGCUGUUACUUUAAAGCAAUGGCAAGGAUAUUUGGCAUAGGUUUAUCUUAGGUUGCUGGAGCUCUGUGAUCAAAUUUUAAAGGAAUGACGAAAAUUAACAUUAAAGUUUGUGUUGUUUACAACCAAAUGACAGGGACUAAAUGAGAUGGCACAAAAAUUUAAUGGACAAAAACUGAAUUUCUUCCCAUCUCUUGAUGAUUUUGUUUACUAACUUCAAAUAAUUAGAAUCUUGAAAAAGAAAAUGACAGAGAGCCAUUGCAGAUUUUCCUUGCAGCAAUCUUUUUUUUUUUUUUUGGGUUUUGUUGUUGUUGCUACUCAUAUAAAAUCUAUGUUGGACUUGUAUGCUUUCAUAGCUCCAAACAUUUGCAUUUCUGCGAAUGGAUGGUCUGAAACAUUUUUGUGAAAGGAUUCCUAUAAUUACUUUUUCUGGAAGAUUGUUUUUGCAUUUUUCUCCAAUCAGCUUUUGUGUCUGAAUUUGCUUGUCUGACCUGGACAAGACAGAAUUAACAGUAUAGCUCAGAAAAUGCUCUACGUUGGACUUAUCAGCUUCUGAAUUCCUUGUAGCAUGUUUGUGAGAUGACUAAAGAAGAUGGUGUUUUUAAACUAUAUGAGUUGACCAUAUAUAUAUAUAUUUAUAUAUAUAUGUAUAUAUUUUAACCGUAUAGUUGGUUCUUUUGUAUCUAAGAUAUAUCUGAUUCUGUGCAGUGGCUACGGAAUUGCUUCUCGGGGAUUGACGGCUGUAGUGAGGGCUCAUGAUGGUCGUGGCCCGCAGACAAUGCUGACAGAUCAUAUUUUGGAUUCACUUGGUCUUUCUUCACCUGAUGAACUCAUAGGGUAUCUCUUCAAUACCCAUAAAAAAUUGUUGUCAGUUCUGUCACAAGUCAUUGAUCAAAUACUAAUAAUGAUCUAAAGUUCAGCAUUAGGGUUAGUUGUGAGUUGGCAGUUUGCAGAUGUGAGAAUGCAAAGACCAUCUCUGAAGUUUUCCUGAGUCAUUAGACUGAAGCCUUCUCACAUGGAAUGAUAGUUCUUAAACAGGGUGAAAUCAUCUCUAGAAUAUUAAAUCAAAGAAGUAACAUAGCAGUGCUUUUGAGGUUGAUCAGCUUAGAGCUUUCUCUUGCAUUUGGUUUUAAACCUAUAGAUCUCCAUGAUCAGGGAAGGCUGUUCAUAUUCCUGGCUAUUGUUUGGUUUUGUGGCUCACAUAUUGAAUUGAGGUUAGUUAUACUAUGCUAGUGUUAAUUGCUCUGCUAGCCAUUUAAAAGUAAAUGUGGGUCUAAUGUAUUUGGGAGUCUGAAAUGAAAUGGAAAUCCAUUUAACAUGCCCAUGGAAGAGAGAGAGAGAGAGAGAGAGAGGGAUCGCUAUCAAUCAAAUUUUUAGUCUUAAUCUACGGUAUUCUUUUUUAUUUUUCAAAAGAUGUGUAUCGCUAGAUAUUCGAUAUGUAUAUCAAGUAUUUUCUUUUAAAGUCGUUUAGGCCAUGAUAUAGAUCUUAUUGUGAUUUUAGGGUGUAUUUGAUAAAACUGAAGUCUGAAAUUUGAAAUUUGAACUCUGAAUCCAUUAAGUGUUUGAAUUGUUAAGUACUAAAUCUGAUACAUUUGAGUGGAUAUCACAUUAAGUGAUAAGUGAAUAGCUUAUCACUUAUUUUUAGGAGCAAGUUUUGUCUCGAAAAUUCAGUGUCACUUAAUUAAUUUAGAUCAAUUUUUGGUUAUCAAACGCAUCUGAACAUGGUAAGAUCAGAAUCUAUUAAGUUUAAGUGCUGAAUUGGGCCGUCUGAUCAAACAAGGCGUUAAUGACAUAUCAGACAAAAAUUACUUCAGGCUUUAGUCAACCAUUACUUGUCUAAGAUUUGAGAUAACAAACAGUGUGAUUGCUGGGUUCAAACUGGUGUUUUUUCCUAGGAGUUUAAUGAGUAAUUUGCCACUUACUGAACCAUUAAAUAGGACAAUCCAUUACAUUCGGAAUGUCUGAAUGUAGUUCCUCAAAUUUCUGAUUUGGCUUUACUUAACUUGUAUAGUUUGCUAAAUAAGGACAACUAAAAAAUUGACUCUCCAUUUUAACCUAUUAAAUAUGCUUGAAGGUUGAGACUGAGGUAAAUGUUCACAGCCUUUUGGAUAAAAGAGAAGCUUUUAGUAUAAUGUCAUUUGUUUCAUACCAGCUUUAAGCAUAACGUCAUUCGUGUCGUACCUGGUUGUAGUCCUAUUUUGACUUUUAUGUGGGUCUAUUAUUAUGUGUUUCUCAAAUGUUCUAUCCUCUUAAUAGCAACUUAAUGUCUCUGGAAGAUACUUAAGAGUUCGAAAGGGAAAAGUGGAAAGUGUGGGUCAAAAGCUACAGUUUUCAUACAAGGGAUGUUUUUUAUCUUCCCAACAACUGUUUACAACUUCUAACUUAGGGUCUGUUUGAUAACAUAAAAAAGUGCUGAAACUGAACUUUUUCAGACAUUCAGGUGUUUUGAGUGUUUGAUAAAUGAAAAUCCAUUUGCUGAACUUGUUAAGCACUGCUGAACUUGUGUGUAUUUUUUUCAGUACAAGAAUCCUAACUGAAUGCUUAAUUCUGAUAAAAAUCAAUAGAAUUACUUGAACUAUCUUAUCUUAUAUACCAAAUCUACCCUUAUUUGUUAAUUAUGUUCAAAAUUCUUAUCUAAUUAAACAACUUGAUAUUCUCUAUAUAACAGUUUUCUAUUUUUCUUUUCUUUCUUUUUAAUGACUUUCACAUCUUCUCCAUACUCCUCGUUUAAUAUAUUUCAUCUUUUAUAUUAAUUUGAUUUAAAAAUAAAUAUUGUCAUUUUCAUACCUAACAAUUUUAAACUAAUUAAAUCAUAGGUUCUAUUUCUUUUUUGGAUGAAAAGAUAUAAGGGCAAAGUUGUCAAAUUUAAUUUAUUAAGCAUUCAGUUAUAAAUGUUUAUCAAACAGUAUAAAUAGGUUUAGCAUUAAAAUUCAGACAUUCAUAUAUUUCUUUUCAGCGCUUAAAAUUCAGCAAAUUAAUUGUUUUAGUAUUCAGACUUCAGAAUUCAGAUUCAGUUUUAUCAAACGGAACCUUAGUCUAAAAGUGCGUGGAUCUAUCAAAACUGAGAAUAAUUCUAUUGACUGUCCUAAGUUAAUGAGCUUUAGAAAGGUAAGGGACUCUACCCUAAUAGAAGUUUGAGAUGGCUAAAUUGCAGACCUUCUAAACAUAACGGACUAAAAUUGCAACUUUACUACUGGAGUAUAAAAUUUUUCUGAUUGCGGUAUAUUAAUUAGAAGCACCGUCAAAAUUUCAUGUUCUCUUUAUUGGAAUUUAGGUGGACCUAUGCAGAUCCAUCUUGGGCUCGUAUUGCAGCCCUUGUUCCUGUUGUAGUAUCUUGUGCAGAAGCUGGUGAUCAAGUUGCAAUUGAAAUAUUAAACAAUGCAGUAGAAGAAUUGGGUUCAAGUGUAAAAGCUGUUGUUCAAAGGCUAUCCUUGGCUGGGGAAGGUCAAUGCUUAAGCUUAAUAUUUAAUUGCAUUGAGCGUGCACACAGGCAUGCACACCCACACACACUCACUCUCAAAUACUUGAAUGGAAAUGUUGUUUUCGUUUUCUCUAAAAGGUUGGAUUAUUUGAAACAGCAUAGAAGAAAUCUAAGCUCUUGAAAUUUUCUGGUAAUUACAUCUUGCAAUAUGAGGAUAGCUUUGAAUUCUCACAAAUUUUGAUCCAGCUGUACUCAGCUUUAGGAAAUGGUGGUGGGGGUGGAAGAACAAUUUAAUUUCCUAUGGACAUGCUCAUGGGUUUCAUUAGAACUGCAAAGCUGAAAAGCAUGGUUUUAUUUCCAGACGGAAAGGGUUCUUUCCCUGUUGUCAUGGUAGGCGGUGUUCUUGAAGCUAAUAGGAGUUGGGAUAUUGGGAGAGAAGUUAUCAAUGCUAUAUUGAAGACCUAUUCUGGGGCUUGUCCGAUUAGACCAAAGGUUAGUAAAAUCAAGUCUUUUGUUUGAUGCAUGACUUCUUUCUUUUGCCCCACGCCAAUGUAGCAUUGUUACCCUUGUGAGAGUGCAGAAAUGUGUUAAGGGAGAAUCUUGAAACUUAGAAGUGUUCAUCUUUCAGUAUAGGGCUAAUAAAUUAAUGCUCAUCUAGUUUUUAUUCAAUUCAACAUUUUCAUAAAUUUCUGGAGGGAGGAGGUCUUUUAUAUGGUUGACAAUUUAUACACAUUACCAUUUUAACUCAUUCACCUCCUUUCCCUGUUUUCCCCCAUUCAAACUCAAAAUUAGCAAAGUGAAGGUGCAUGCAUAUUUGGAUAUGAUGGUGAAAGAGAAAAGUUAUUGACAAGGUAUAUGUAUCGGAUGUCGCAUCUAUUUUUGUGGAUUUGCAUUAACAAUUAAGUUGCUUUAGCUUAUUGUUCCCUUACUUGCAAAGCAUGGAAGAAGCUUGGGUUGAAUUUUAAUAAAGUGAGAGUCUGGGUGAGCGGUUGAUGUAGUUUUUCAGGUACCAAAUUAACAAGCCUUAUGCUGUCUUUAGUCUCAAAUAAGUUGGACCAAUAAAGACCUGUCUAUAUACGAUUAUUCUUCUCACUUUUAUUCUUUUGAGGGAAUGCUAGAUAUGAGAACAAUGAACAAAAAGCAAAUAAGAAAAGCAGGAAUCCUUGCAGAAGUUGCUUUUUCUGACUACUCAAUUUAUAACCAUCCACUAGAACUCUAAAUAGCAACGCAUUCAACUGAAUAGUUACAAAAGAUUUGCACUUGUUUUAGUACGAGGCAUCUGGGAUUUUAACUUGGCCUGUUUGUGCUUGUGUUUCUUUUUAGUGUUAAGAAAGCUUUUCUCAUCAUGCAGUUCUAGAGGUUCUUAAUUUCAAACUGUUAAAAACUUUUUAGGUGGAGCCUGCUAUUGGAGCAGCCCUUGUGGCCUGGAACUCCUUGAUGAAAGAGCUACCGGCAAAUGGCCAUAGAUGACUUGGAAUGGAAAAUUAUUCAAUUGUACAGAAAUUAUGUAUUACAGAUUGAUACCAAUCAUCAAUAAAUUGUGGAAAUUGAUAAAAUAAUCAGCCACAGAGGGAUAAAAGUUCUCAAUGAAUAUUAAUUUCUGUGAUACUUGUUCUUGCUGCUUUGCAUUGCUUUGCCGUCUGUAUUUUAUUUUAUUUUUAAUACAAGGGAUGGGUGGGAUUUAAGAAACGAUGAAAAGAGGGAGAGGGAUUUGACCUAAUGACUUUUAAUUCUUAAGGCCUACCUCGGACAAUUUUGGCAGUAAAUUUUGGCUGACAGCCCAAAUUUUCACCUAUUCUCAUUUGUGCUCUUUACGAGUGUAGUUUCUUUUCUCGGGUGAUUGAUUUCCAAUUUCCUCUCUCUGAAACAUUACUUAACCAUGGGGAGUCAAUUGAUCUUGGGAUUAUCGAUGAAAAGAAAAUAAAAUUCUGAGAAAUGCAUUUAAUUGUGUUGGUUUUUAACCAAACAAUGAAAGAAAAUUAUAAGUUAUAAGACAAGGGAUGCAUGGUUGAUUUUAGACAUCAAUAACCUGAACUUCCGGUUAUGUCUUUACAAAUCAUUUUUAACUCUAAUAUCAAUUAGUCUAUUAGGGAAAGUGUUGUUCUUGUUGAUAGAGGUUCUCUCUCUCUCUCUCUCUCUCUCUCUCUCUCUCUCUCUCUCUCUCUCUCAAUUUUGGUAUUGUGGGAAAAGGGGAAACAGUGGGACUAAGGAAGUUAUUACUUCUAAUUGGUCAAAUGCUAUGUGCCCUUUUGUGUUAAUUGUUGUCAUAAAUGGAAAAAAAAAAAACAAUUCUGUUCAGAUGAUUAAAUUCUCUUGCUUUACACAUUUUGCCAUCAAGACAUCCUCAUCUUGGAGAUGGCAAGGGAACGAUAAAUGGUCUCUUUUUAUUUCCUAGCCCUUUCUUCUCCUUUUAGCUUCUGCUUUUUUCUUGAAUGGUUUUCAUCUCUUUUUUUGUUCAAUGGUUUUAAUUUGGAAAUUGGGAAAAAAAAGGUAUUACCCUUUUUCUUUUCUUUUUUUCAUUAACUAAAUAGUGAAAGAUAGAUAAAUCCAAUCAUAGGUUAGUUAAAUCUGUUGAGGGUGGAACUCACUCUCAACACACAACAAAGGUAUUUUUACGAUCAGAUGUUAAGAAAAUAAGAAAUUUUAUUGGAUGAGUGAUAGCACUUUCAACGCAUCUAAAAAAGGAUUUUUUUUUUCUCUUUUCAUUACAACUUGUCAAUUGUAGAGACCUUGUACUUUGGUCUGUACAUAAUUAGGAUGAAGUUGGUUUUUUUUUUUUUUUUUUUUUGACAUAAGUUCAAUGUUUUUUGACGAGAAAUGUUGAUGAAGGUUUUCAAUGCAAUGCAAAUUUACAGGAACUAACGCUUAACUUCCAUUCCAUAUUCGAAGCAGAAAUUAGGUUCUAUUAAAUCAUUUUCGCAGAAAAAACACCAUUAAGACGGACAUCCAAAGGGAUGCAUGCUCCCUUCUCUUCCUGCCGAUCAGAUAAGAAGGCUUUAUAUUAUCUCAAGGUUUUCGUAGUAUGUUAUACUGGUACUUCUGGUCAUUUGAGUUGUGCAGAGAAUCGAAUAAACCAGCAGAGGUCUUUAGCACAAACAAUAUAAGCAGCCAGCAAGGUAGACGGUGUAGUAAACCAUUUUUUUAUACAUCAUUCACAGAAAUUUACAGUAAAUGCUAUACAAUCAACUGGUCAAGGAAAAAGAAAAGAAAUGUUACUACUAUAGACUGCUAUUGAAACUAAGAAACUUUUGGCUACAAUAGUUGAUGAUACACCUUUAAAUAAUUGCACAACAAAAUUGAUUUCUGCACCACAUAUCAGGUUGGACAGUAGUGUAACUUGGGAUUCUUGGCAUCUGUCGUUCUGUUGCAGCUGCAGGUGCUUUCCAGAAUUCUGGUGAAUAUGAUUAACUAAUGUUCCACCAUCAUAACUGCAAAAUACCUCCCUUAAAAGUAAGGGUUAAAAAAGAUUGUGCUCUCGCCAAAGAGGAUUGAUUGGCUUGGAAUUGGUUCCAUGCGAACCCAAAAACUAGCAGCAGCAGGAGCAGCAUGCAAUGAUGUUUGAUUCUGCUCACCAGAAGAAAUAUACAACCCUUUAGGAGACACCCUUUUAACCAAUUCAAAAUUAAGUAUGUCAGCAAGAAUCCAAGCAAAUACCCUGUAGGCUAUAGAACAUAGCUAGGCAGUAAAAGGCAAAUAAGGUGAAGAGAACAUAUUCUAGGCUAUUUGUCUAUUUCUUUCAUCCGAUUAACUGUUUUACAAUCUAUUUCUGGAAAUGCCCUUUUCAUUUCUUCCCCCCCGGGGGGAGGAUAUAGCGGUAUAGUGGUUGGCUUUGGUGCCAGCCUCUAAGACUUACUGCCAAAAAUAGCACAUAAACAGGAAGUAAAAGGUAAAUCAGAUGAAGAAAACCGUUCCUAAGUUAUUCUUUCAUCUUACAGCUUUAAAUUUACUUUUUAGGUUCCUUUUUUGUUUCUAUAGGGCGGGUUAAGUAAUCGGUUUUUGUGCCUGCCUUUAAGGCUUCUACAAUAAAAGAACCUACCUUAGCAUGGGGAAAAUUGUCGUUGCUUCAUCGAUUCUCCAGUUAAUUCUCGUCUAAUGAGUUUAAGGGUCUCCAUAACCUGCAACAUGAUAAAAGAAAUUCUGGUAAAACAAACUGAUAUCAGAUAUAUAACUAGAUGAUAGAAGCAUUAUCAUGUGGCAAACAGAUUCCCUAGUCUGUUAACAGAAGACCAGGAGGCAACGGGCUAGGUUGUUGCAUGAGGGGAAGACGUUAUAUAAGUUGAGUAUGCAAGAAAGAGCUUGCGGGUGGGGGGUGGCGGAAGGUUUUCACUGGGCUGUUCUUCAUAUCGUCUACUCACAAUUUACGGUCCUUCAGCGGGAAAAUUUAAUAAUUUUGCAUGCACAGAAAAGCACGAAUGUCUAUGCUCCUCAAGUUGAGGUUAAGAAGGUCUUGACAAAGGUUGGACCACGAAUAACAAUAUAUAGGUCAAGUUUCCACCCUGUGGGAAAUGAUCCAUCCUCAGUGAAAAAGAAGUAUCGACUCUGACCAAUAUGGAGUACUCCUUUAAGACAUGUUUUGAAAGCAGCCUUUUUCACACUGUCCUAAUAUUGAAUCAGAAGAAUCAAGCUGUAUCGCAAUACUAGAAGUAUGGGGCAUUUUCCAAAAAGCAGAAAAUGUAGAAAGCAUUACAGAAGUCACAAUCCGAACAAGCAUGGCGAAGCCCAUGAGCUUGAGGGCAAAUAGCAUUCUUAUACAUUUUUGAGUCCCAACCCCCUCAAUAUUGCAGGUCUGACCCAUAAAUAGCCAGUAGAUCAAGUUACUCACAAUAGGUGGAGCGUGUGUACUCACAGAAAAGUAAGUAAGAGUGCUUAUAAUGAUGAGAAAAUUUGUGAAAAGCCACAGUUUGGGGAGAAAUUAUGUCAGGAGAGAUACAAGCCAUCAAUCAAAUAACAAAAUACUUCAGUUAAUUUUUGACAUGCAAAUUAAAAUGUGCAAAACCCAGCAAGAAGGAUCUCACUUGUGAAAUGGAGGAGACCUAUGAUUUAUUAGAAAAAUGCAAAUUUAGACAUAUGCUACCACAGUUCAUGGAUACGCUGCACAGCCAGCACAGCCAGACAUAUGACAUUAAGUUUUAGCCCCAGAGUAGCACGUCAUGGUCCCCACUAGGCAGUGCUAGUUUAAGUAUUAAAGACUUUCCAAAGAUUAUUUGGCAUCUUUUCAACCCAGCAAUAACAAAGCAAAGAAUAUACAAAAAGAUUGUUAAUGAUAAUCUCCUGGUUACAUGUAAAGUCAAUUAUCUGUGUCACCAUUUUCUCCAUUUCAAUCCAAAAGAGCCUCCCAGUUCUUCAAUAAUACUCUCCCCUACCACGUUGAGUUCUAAUACCACAUAACAGAUGACAAUUACUCCCAAUUUCCCUUACUUCUUUUGGAGUGUACUCAGUACGUGAUUACCUCCCAGUUCUCCAGUUAUUUCUCUUGUCCACCUGUUUGCUCACGUGGUUAGUAUUAUGUGACAACAGAAACCAUUGAGCUUUUUCUUCUCUGCCAUCUUGGCAUAUUUGGCUUCAGUUUAUAUACAGUUUACUACAUAUCCUUCAUACAAUUUGGUUUAGAAGAUAACAGUUCUUAAAUCCCAGAAUUACACAUCAUAUUCCAAAUUCUUCAUCCUCUUUUAUGGAGUAAUUUUUAUAUGUUUACUGCAUGAAAUUAUUUUGGACACCUAUUAUAUGAAAAAUUCCAGCACAGAUCACUUGGGAUGUAAUUUUGGUCCAAAUAAAAGAGUCUAUAAGAGUAUAUUAUCUUCCCACAGACAAAUUAAUUUAGCUGCAGGCUGCAAAUCAUCUUCUACUUGAAAAAGUCUUUGGCAAAAUGAGGUUGAAGAAGUAUUGACUCUAGACAAUUUUGCAGGAAAAAAGAAUGAGAUUCAUGCUUGUUUGGCCACAACUCUAGCAAUGGCAGUACAUCAUAUGAUGACACUUAGUAGUUAUUCUAGAGUGCUAACUUUGUUACGCUUUUGGGCUUUGAAAAAAAAAACCAUCACUGCCUGAAUUCCAAUAUAAGUAAAUUUUUUAAUCUAUUACAAACUUGGAUUGGAUAUAAUGGAUAAGUACUAACUAGGUCUACUCAAAUUUCCAACCCAGGCCUAAGGCCAUUAUCCUAUCUUUACUGUAAUCUGAUUUUUGACAAAAGAAAAACUAUUACAACUAUUCCUAGUAAAAUGUUGGGUUUAUCUUUAACAAAAUUUUCAUGUACUUUGAACAACAAGCCACAGUAUAUAUGAAGAAUAUAAGGCCUUGUAUAGUUGCCUUGGGCUUUUUCUAUUUCAAAAUUUUUGUAUAUUAUAUUUUCAUUUUCUGUUUAAUCUGGAUAAACAUGUACUCAAGUUCUUAGUGCGAUAUAUUUUGUGGAACACACUACAUUAUCCAUAUGCUAUUUGUUCUGUCUAAAGGAAAAAAUUUUGAAAUUUUUUCCACUUUUAUUAGAAAAGUCCAAAAGAAGUAAUCACAAUUAGCUCAUGACAGAACACAAAUUCAAAAGUGAUUGUAUGUUAUCCUUCUGUAAUAAAUAAUGGUUCAAGGGGGAAAACAAAUCCAACAAGUAAAAGAGACAGGUUUGAUGGUAAAUUAAGUGGGUUUUGCCCAGCAUCAUAUCCACGAAGGGGUUCAAGCUCAGUGAGAUUGAAAGGAAUGGAUCAUUUCAUGGGGUUUGGCUUAGCUGCAGGUUCAUAAGGAAACUCCCCCCCCCCCUCUCUUCAAUCGCAUUCCAAGCAAAAGGAGAGAGCACAAACCAUUCAAUUGAUGCAAAAGUUAAAACUAGACAUGUCUAACGAUACAAAACUUUACUGCUUGCUCUAUAAGGUGAAAAAGGAUCACAAACAACAGAGCAAAAGAUGUUAGCUAAUACAGCAUGGGAACCUUCAUGGCCAUAGCAUCUCAGAACUGUGGUUAAUUCCAAUAGAUAGGCUUUUAGAUGGUAUAUAUGAACAACUAGCAACACUUUCUGUUAUGUAGACCAUAGGCAAAAGCUAACUCUAUAUUCAAUCUUAAGACUCAAACCAUCAACAUCUAAGGUAGUAAACAAUUGAUGUGUUGCAUGAUUUCAUUUCAAAAUGCCAUAACUGGAGAUGAAGUAAAUGUUAACAUGGAGAACAUGGAGAGUUUAAACUCAAACAGAUUGGCUUAUAAACACGGGAAGAAAUUUUAAAACUGGUGUGAUUAAACUCAAAAAAAUGCCUCACAAAGACCAAAACGUUUUUUCAGAAAUUUAUGAGAUUGGGCUCGUGAGAAGGUUAAAAUUGCAAGGUUUAACUCAACAAGUUGGGAAUGAACUAAAAAGGAAUUCUUUCGGAAAGGAGAAGAAAGCGGUUAAAUAAUUGCAGUAUCCAACUUUUGCGUUAAGUUCAUUUGAUUAACCAGACAGAUGCAAAUAUCUAGAUAGCUGAAGGUUGUCUAGGAAACUGCAUAUGCUUGUAUUAGUCUAGUAGAUCUAGUAGAUAGAUGAACGGUUAGACAACCAUACAAAAUGGUCACGGUGUUUGAAGUGCAUACAUCUAUAUAAAAACCAACAAGGUCAUGUGACAUGAUGUAACAGAGAGUAGUGAACUUACCCCGGGAUAAUGUCGUAAAACUGGAGAGUAGUGAUCUAGGGCUAUGUAUAUCUUCUCAAGCAAGUUGUGAAACUUAUCCACCUUAUCACCCAAAAGAUCAACCUGAAUUGCAGCAGAGUACUAAGUUAAGAAGCGCAAAUGGAGGACCACAAUAUACAUCUAGAUUAGGGUCUAAAAGUUCCUAACAACCAAACAUUGUGUUUCCUUACUGUAGGAUCUAAUAUCUUCUUACUCACUGCUCCCAUAAUCUAAACCAAUGCCAUAAAUAUGGCUUAUUCCCAAUGCUGAACAUUAUACUAAGAUCCUCCUCAGUCUUGCUCUCAACUUUAUUUUCAAGACACCACAUCUUUGAUGCUUGUCAAUUAUCAGAAGAACCAAGGACAAAUUACUGCACUAAUAUUCUGGAUGUAGCAUGAAAGGAGUAACUAUAUUAUGUACAUAAACACUUUGCUGUUUGUUUCUUGAUAAUAAACGCACCAUUUCAAUUAGCACUAUCAACCAAGUCAUAGGGCAAAAGACGGAGAAAUAUCAACUAAGAACAAUAUCCUUCUCAAAUACCAUAAAAGGCCCUAUCUCUACUUAGGUACUUCUGGUCCAUUCUACAAGUUAUUGUAUCUUUCUAAUGUGGACACACACAUCAAUCAACCAUUAACUAGCAUCUUAUGCAUGAUUCAAUAAUCAAGUUCCUCUGUUAUCAAAAAAUACAAUAUCAGAAUUUACUCAUAAUUGAUUGAUUUACCAAAUUUUCUCAGUUCACCAUCCAUAUAAAAAUGCACCAACUAGUACUCAUUUGACAUGAUGAGCAGACAAAACCUUGUAUACAGGGCAACAAAAGAGCAUAAUUAAUAACCUCAGCCUCAGCCUUUUGAAGAUGUGCACGUUUCCUCUCAAGCCUCUGCUGAUACAUGCGCCCUGUCCUUUUAAGCGAGUUAGCUUUCUUGACCAGAGAAUUCAAUUGAGAAGAUGAAUCUUCGACCCUGAGAGGAUAAAGGAAGAUUUCAAUUGUACAUGAACUCGAUUGCUCAUUAAGACUAAUCUGCAUCAGAGGAAUACUUUUGUUGUAAGUAGUUGUAAGCAGGGGCCAAUAAGGAUUAAAAGCUCCAUUUUAAGUCAAAGCACUUGACUAAUGUUUGACCAUAUCCAACAAAGAUCACAUAACAGCACCCAUGCCAAGUCCUGUGGACACCUGUUCUUUGGGGUUCCCUUACUCUUAUUACCAAUGACUAAUCUGUUCAACUCAUAAUUACUUUAAUAGAAAAGCAAUUCCGGUUGGGGUCAGGUGAACCUUGUUGUUUAUGAUGUCAAGAAUGCAAUUGAUGCUAGUUAAUGGAACUUAUUCCUAAGAGACAAGGAUAUUAGAGAUGCACAUCCAUCCUCAAGCAGGGACAAACACACAUAACACACAAGCGUGAAUGCAUAAAGCCUUAGAGUUUCAAAAUGAACUCACUACAACUUCAAACAAUGCAAAAUAAGCACUAGAUAAUAGCAAACUAGUAGUUUUUUAAACAAACUCCAACCGAUUACUGUGCUCAUGAAAUAAAAAAAAUGAAAAAACCUAGCAGAAUAUAUGUACCUCAGGCUAUUUGCUUUCAUUUUCCCUGUUACUUUGCAUUCAAAAUCAGCAAGCAUCUUCAACAGCCCUUGGACAUCAACAAUUACCGCUUCCAUCUGUUCCCUUUCUUUAGAUUUCAUCAGUAAGAAACUUGCAUGCUUUGCUUGGUUUAGAGCAAGUUCCAUCUUUCUUUGGUUGUCAGCCUCCUCUAAAUCCUGAUAUGCUUCUUUGAGUUUUUUAUUCAAUAUCUGGAUUUUCACUUUAUCUGCUUCAAUUUGUGAUGAUGCUUCUGCCAAUUGGUCCCUUACCAAUUCCAAUUCAUUAGUUCUCUGAGAAACUAGUAGUUUCUGCUGACUUGCAUCUGUUCUAAGCUCUAGAGUAGCUAACUCAAACCGCUCUCUCUCUUUUGAAAUGUCCAUUGCAAACUUCUCUUUCUCUUGCACUGACACUGCUAAUUCUUGCUUCAGUCUUUCGUGAUGUUCAGCCUCUGAUUUCAAUUGAUUAUCUUUUUCCACAGCCUUCACCUCAAGAGAUCUUAGACUUUGACUUUCUGUCAAAUAUUUCCCAUACCAUGUAUUGAGUUCUUCAACAGCAUUCUUAAGAGAUUCUCUAAGUAAUACAUCAAAGAUUCCUUGUGCAAUUAAUGACUCUAAUUCAGAAUCUUCAAAUUCAAAUGUUGGUGCAACUUCAGCUUUGGCAACAACUCCCUUCAAAACAAUAUCAUAAACCUGCUGCGUUAUUAAAUACUUCAGGUCUGAUUCUUCAGUUGCACAUUUCAUGCAUCUUGCUAUCUCACUUACAACACAUUUAUAUAUAUCUUCAAUAACUGCAGCUUCUAUAUGUGCAUCUUCCAAAGCAGAGUUGGCCUCAACUAUUGAAUGCUCCAACCUUUUUUCAGCAGCAUCAGCAACUUGGGAUGACAGAAGCUUCACCUCAUUUUUCCUGUCUCUAAGUGAGUCUUUUAGUUGAUGAUUUCCAGAGAGCAGGCCAAGAGGUCUGUCUUUUAAAUCAUGGAAACUUCCAGUAUUACUAUUAGAUGCAGGUGGUUUUUCAUUUUCCUCAAGGAUGUCAUCCAAUUUCAGAAUAACUGCUGGGAUCCUUUUCCUUAAUAGAUCAAAUUCCUUAUCCUUCUUGUGUGGCAAACAGGAACCCCUUUCUUUAAGGUAUUCCCUUUUUAGACUAUAAUAAUCCUCAGUCAGCUGAUGCACAGUUGAUUCAUGGUCUCUCCUCAACUUUGUUAUGAUGUUAUUGAAAUGAGCCACCAGUUCUUCCUUGUUCAGGUGUUUCAGUUGAACUGCUUCAUAGUUCUCGGGCACAUCUGUUGUAGAACCCUCUAACUUAAGGUAUUCCCUUUUUAGACUAUAAUAAUCCUCAGUCAGCUGAUGCACAGUUGAUUCAUGGUCUCUCCUCAACUUUGUUAUGAUGUUAUUGAAAUGAGCCACCAGUUCUUCCUUGUUCAGGUGUUUCAGUUGAACUGCUUCAUAGUUCUCGGGCACAUCUGUUGUAGAACCCUCUAACUUUCCAUUUCCAUCCCAAAGAGAUGAUGAGGAAUUAAUGUGGUUGCUCAAGGCCCUGCGGUGGAAAUGAUCUGCAUCAUGAGAUCCAUGGGAUGAUAGUUGCUCUGUUUCUGAAUGGGACAAUGACUUUAACAUGGCAGCUAGCUCCUUGCGUACAUCAGAAAUUUGACUGAACUUUUCGAUCCAAUCAACACUUUGACUGCCACUUAACAGAGCACUUUCACUCCAGAGUUUUUGCUCAAACUCUUCCUGAAUAGUCUGAAUUGAACUGUGCAUGACCAUAUUCUCAAGUUCUUCUUGCAAGUCUCUCUCCCAAUGCCACUGACUAAGUGUUGACUUGGACAACCUUAACAUGUCAUAUGCCUGAUAACAGAUGUUUUCUAGUGUCAUCGUCAAAGUGUCUAACAUCCUAUCUACAUCAACCCAGCUUUCAGAUUCCUUCUCCCACAGAAUACCACCUAGUCCUACCAACUCUGAACCAGAAUUAAUGCUCUUAAUUGAACUACAGCCUCCAGCACCAACAAUUCCCUUCUCAAGGUUCUUAAAUUGCUCUCUUACUAUACUACUUAGGCCUUUCAAGGACUCCCCCAUCUUAUCAUGCACUGAGCAAGCCUCCUCAAAAGUCACACCCCUCCCACUACGAAUACUUUCCAGCUGAUCCUCUAUCAUGGAUGGCCCAAAAGACUCAAUAGCGUCAAAAUCCACAUUAUGAAAUUUCAAAAUCUCCUCCAUGUUGGCCACCUUGAGUUCUUUUGCCGCAAUUUUCUCAGCUGCCUCUUGCUCCACCGCAUUCACCAUUCCCUUAAUAACAGAGUCACUAACCAUCCGUGAAAUCAUCAGUCGGUCAUCGAUAUCAUCCAAAUAAGUAUCCAAAUCCACCAACAGCUCAUCCUCCAAAUUCUCCCCUACAUUUUCACCAAGCCCCGCUUGCUCCCCCUCAUCCCCAUCCAAUCCACUCACAUUCCCUUCUUCCACUCUCUCACCCUCCAUCAACUCUUGACUCUCCAUUCCUUAUCCAACCUAAAAUAAAUUUAGAAAAGGAAAAAUAAAAAAAAAUUUAAGCACUUAUAAGCUUCAAUAUGCUUUAUCAAAAAUCUUAAGAUUAAGCUAAAAAUAUAAUAAGGCAAAAGUGAAAAAAUUAGAAAAGAAAUUUAAAUAAAUUUAACUCUUGACUCUCCACUCCUUAUCCAACCUAAAACAAGUUUAGAAAAGGAAAAAGAAGAAAAAAGAAGAAAUUUAAGCACUUACAAGCUUCAACAUGCUUGAUCAAAAAUCUUAAGAUUAAGCAAAAAAUACAAUAAGGCAAAAGUGAAAAAGAAAAAAGAGUUGUUUCCUCUUAGCUCAAGUUCUAAUGCCUAAUUUAGCUCAACUUUGUACCGGAUGUACCAAAUUUAAAUGAACUAAACACAAAAUUACAGUUAAAAAAAACCAAAUAAGAAGUUCAAAUGUAACAAAACUUAUGCAACAAAUGCAAAACAAAAAAAGAAAAACUUAAAAGAAAUGAAGAGGGCUGCUCCUUCUUAAACCUUAUUCAAAUAAAAAUCAGAACUUUAUCCAAAAUUAACGGUCAAGAAAGCAUUUGAACCCAACCUUACCGUUAAAAAAAUGUGGGUUUUGCUCUCUGGCAACAGCUUUCAAGUGGGUUUCUUUUACUUCUGCAAGUUGUUAGGGUUUUUGAGGGAUUUACUGCGUGUUUGUAUGUGUGUUUGCGGGAAGCUGUUCGAGGUUAGACUGAGCGGGAGAGAGAGAGAGAGAGAGGGCUGUGAAAGAACCUUUAAUAGCUAGUUUGGGAGUUCAGAAUAGGAAGGAAAAGAAGAGAAAAGAAAGGAAGGGAAAAAAAGGAAAACAUGUUUUAAUGUUGUUUGGAAAUUUAAAUAAAAAAUGAGAUGAUUUGAAAUAUAUAAACGUUAAUAAAAAUUUGUUCAAUAUAUAUUUAAAAAUAAAAUAGAUAUUUUAAAAUAUUUUGUUAGACUUCCUCAACAUUCCUUUGCUUUUCGAUCACAUUUGGGCGGAAAAGUAUAUCAAUAAAAGCAACAACAUACUCUCCAUCCAAAUUCUUUGAUUUCUUUUCUUUUCUUUUGUAUCUCUCGAAAAUUCCCAAAUGACAGAAAGAAAGCCUUUUGUUCUUCUUUUCUUUCUUUUCUUAUCAAAUCCAAUCUUCCAAGACCACAUUAAAAAGAGGGGUACUAAGUUACUAAUCCUCUCCACAGGAUGACCAUCAUAAUUCAUAAGAAUAUUUAUGACAUGAUUUUUAUUUAUUAAAUUAUAUGAUAAAAUAAAUAAUAUGAGUGUUAUUAACAAAAAAAAAAGUGGAAUUUUAUUAAGAUUUUCCAUGAUUAAGGUUGUUGUUUGUUUAAAAAUUUUGUUAAGCAAUCAUGGAAGCUCAUAAUUGCAUUGAUGGGCCCGCUCGAAAGCUUCCAAAACCAUAAAGUGAAAAUUUCCCACCGAGUUAAGUAAUAAGCAUUUACUAUAAGCAGACGCGUUUUGCUUUCCAAUUGAUUGUGACCACUGAUUGAUGGAGAUUUAUUAAAUGUUGGUGGUUGCUUCUUUUCUUCUCCUUUCUUUUUCCAAAAGAUCCUUAGGAUGGUUGAGAAAGUAUUUUAGAAUCUUAACAUUGGUAACUUUCAUUUUCAUCAGAGGAUUUUUUUUCUUUUUUUUUUUCUUUAAAUAAAGAGUAUCAACAGUGGCACUUCACUUAUCCGCUCAGGAUUUUGAACAUUGUAGGAUAAUAAAAUAGUAUUAGGUAUGUUAAGAGCUGACUAACCUCACCUUUCAUUGAAGUUCAUCUUAAUUAUCGAGUUUGGUUAAAGGUUAUUAUUUCAAAGCUAGAAUGUAAUUUUAGGUAGCUUGUUAGCCAAACUAAUAUUGCAUCAUAUGAAUUGUUGAUCCUUCCUCUUUAAAAAAAAAAAAAAGAAAAAAAAAUCUGCUUUAUGAAUGCCAAGUACUUGGGAUUAAUAGCCACUGGCCAUUUGGUCCAGUGGUCAUCACCAUUAAAGGUGAUGUUGGAGGUCAGGGGUUCAAUUCCUGACUCCCACAAAUUUGUCACAAUUUGUGGCGGUCUUAAUUGAUGUUCAUCGAUAGAGUCUGUACUCACAUCGAACCCCCUCCCCUUCCCUUUAGACUAGGCUAGAUUAGAUUAUAGGACAUCUAUCGUUGCGACAAAAAAAAAAAAAAAUACUUGGGAUUAAUAAAGUCUCCACUUUGCACCUUCAAUUUUUUUUAUUCAAUACUUACUUGGCAAAGACUUAUAUAGAUUUGGUCCGUCACUUAAAAAUAGACCCUGCAAAAAUAAAUAAGGCAUGUCGCCCCUUUUACUUUACAAAUCUUCAGGCUUUUCGACAAAAAAAAAAAACGACGUGGCGAGUUUUCGGCUACAUGGUCCACAGCCUAGGCGGUAGACUGGGUCUACCCAAAGUAUUUGCCUACUUGGUAACUUUACACCUCAUUCUCUUGAUUUUGGAAAGUUUGUCCACUAGUAGCCACCUUGUCUACUUGGAAAGUUUGUCCCAAAGCAUUUGCCUUGUCAGUGACUUGACACCCUAUUCUUUUGAUUUUGGAUGAUUUAUAUGUUAUGUUGAUAAAUGUGUAAUAUUCUCAUUUUUAUUGGCUAAAUUUGCAAUGCACAUACUAAGUUUAAGGGCUUAAAAUUUAGAUUUGGAGUUGAUUUAAAGCCUAAUUAACGUAAUUUUUCACACAUUUGUUCUAUGCAAACUCUUGACCCGUGUUUCUUCCAACUCGAACACAUAUUUCUUCUUCCGCCAAACCCUACAAAAAUCAAGCAUUUAACACAAACUCAAUCAAUAUUCAAAAAGUAAAAAGGAUUUUUUUAAUAGGCGUCCAAUGGGCACUCAUUAAUAUAUUUAUAUCACACCUAACUUAUCAUAUGAAUUCACACACAAAUAAUUAUUAUACUAUCUUACAUUUAUAUAUUUCCCUAAUUAACGUUAUCUUUUCAAAAUAUGAACACUUGAAAUCCAUCUUAACAAUGUCCGACACCCGUUAGACAGGUCCAAUAAAAAAAAUUUGAACUUUUGUAUUUAGAAAUAAAAAAUAAAUAUAUUUUAAAAAAAGCGCUGAUGGGUCCGGCAAAUUAUUGCUUGGAACCCAACGCAGAUCGUUAAAAGGUUAUGAAAGUUAAGCUAUACUUGGUUAGAGGAGGCCCAGUAGACUUUCAAUUGGAUCCGUAGGCUGAAGUUGUCCUUAUUCACGGGUCGAACAAGUGAAUUGGUUUGAAGCAAUUGGUCCACCAAAAAACUAUUCAACACUGACCCGACUGAUGAAAUAUUUGCACAUUUUGGUCAUGCAUGAAAUUUGCUAAAUCAAGCAAGCAAAUACUACUUGGAUAAGUUUGGUUUUAUUGACCAAUAUACACUGAAUAAGGCACAAAUGCUAAUGCUAGUUUAAAGCACCUAAUAUAUAAGAUUAGGUUUACCCAAAUAUUUUCCUAUCAACUAACUAGACAUGGUAUUCCAUUGUGUUAAGAUUAGUUAUACAAUUGGUGCUCAAGCUUUGAGCAGCUUUCAAGAUAUGGAAUGGGUCUAUCCUAUUCCAUUGUGCUAAAGAUGCACAAAUUGUAUAGUGAUUAUUGAGUCUUUGCUCAGAUUGUACGUACUUUUGACAUAAUCAAUACAAUUUAUCGUUUCGAAAAAAAAAAUUAUAAGUGGUAUUCCACCAUUUGAGUAGUCUUUCUAUACUUACGUAAUCUUGAAGCAAACACAUUGAUGAUUUAGUAUUGAUCUCUUGUUUAAUGUCAGAGGAUUAGUAGUAAAUUAUCGGUGCAUGUUUCAUUCUAGAUUGAAAUCAAGUUGGUUUAUUAUGUGACACUUAACAAUUUGUCUAAUCUCUUGGCUUGCACUACAUUGAUAAGAUUGUAUUACCAAUUUUACAUUUUUUUUGGGGGUGAGAAAAAGGUUGUGGCAUUGAUCUUGGUCUUUGACAAUUUUAAGGGGGUAUUUUGCAAAUAUAGUACUAGAAGACUUCAAACUUGCGUGGAAUUGAUAAACAUGUAGACGCAUUUUAUUCGUGGAAUACUUUCAUCAUAGCUAAUUGAAUAAAUUCUAACACACCAGUGUUUUUUUUUUUUUUUUUGUCUAAGAGUGGACACUCGUUAACAUGAGAUUCAGGUGUUAAUUUUUUUUUUUUAAAAAAAAGAAUUAAGUUAAAUAAGCCAAGUAUUUAAAUGCAAGGGAAAAAGGGUAAUAACUAUAAAUUUUUGCAUGCAUAUCAUAAAUUCGGUGCAGAUCGUGUGUAUCAAUAAGUGGUCACUUGGUAUACCUUAAAACAUUAUGGUUUUUUUUUUCCUAUUAGAAUUGGAAUCAUGAUGAUGAUGGAAGGAUAUUUAUUUUCGUGACUUUAUAUACCACCUUGGUUAAAAUUGGAAACAUUAAAGUUUCAGAAUUGUUUUGUAGAAACGUUAAAACCUGCUUUAGAGCAGUAUCUAAACUUUGAGAACACAAAUCACAAUUCUCUCUUAAUUAUUACCUCAAAACUUACGCUACUUCAAUUGCUAUCUAAUUUCCACCCUUGCAUUUCACUUCCCAAAAUUUAUAUACUUUUUUAACCAAAUUAAUAUUGAGAUCACGAAUUAAAUUUCAUCCUUCGCAACAGAAUACUUAAAUCCUCCACAAACAUCGGGCCAGAAAAUGUCUGAAAUAUUCAUUUGGAGGAUUCUUUUCUCAUACUGGCUUCCAUUAGAUCCUUGCAUGUGUAAUUAAUUGGGCUCUCAAAAUAUGUUCAUCAGAUUCAUCUGGUGUAAAUAUGUAUCAAAAGCAUCGUGGAUGUGAUGAACACGUACCCGCCCCAAGUUGCAAAUCUUGGGUCCGCUAUUAUUUUGAGGACACUCAUCUUUGAUCAACAAUCUCAUUUUCAUAUGCUUCUCUUUCAUGGUUCAUUAAUUAAUUAACUUACCAUACAAAAUUGAGUAUUUAUUGUGCUUAAAUACUCAAUUUUGCAUAGGACAUUAGUCAGGCGACCAUGAUGUUCUUAGUUCGACUUUCAAAUCAUCUUCUUUUCCUUUUUCGAUUGUAAGGUUUGGAAUCUCACAUUAGAUAAAAGAAAUGUAUUUAAAUUUUCUCGCUUUUAUUUUUUAGGCAAUUGAGAUAGUAGAUGGAAUCAGAAGAGAGGAAUUUCAAGGGAUUAGAUAUGCUUGGAUAACGAUGAAGAAAAGAAAAAUUAGAGCACAAAAAAAGGAGGGAAAAAGAAAACAAGAAUCUGGUUUAUCGGCUUGGAACUUUUUUCGUGUAUAAAAACUUUGGUGUUUUUGGCAAUUCCUAAGAAGGUCAAUGCCAAAGGAUAGGAGAGAAAUUAUACUUUAGACUUUACUAUAUACUACCUAAUUUUGCCUGGAUUUAUGCCCUACUCCAUAUAGUUUAGUUUUGUACCUAAUUCAGACUGUUUUUUUUGCCUUAAUCCAUAAGCUAGAAAGAGUUGACAGACGAAUUUCCCAGAAAAGAAUCAAAAGGCUACUUUUGAAAUUGGAGCAUAUAAUUCGUGGAAAUUGUUAAAUUGGCACAAUCAAAGGGCUACUUGUACAGCUCUUACUAAAACUUGAAAUAAUGGUGCCAAAAGAAUUGUAAAAUUUCAAUUAAAACUUAAAAAACCAAAAAAAAAAAAAUUGCCACAAAAUUUAAAGGCCAUAGCAUGAAUUAAUCAUGACAAAUGUUUGAUUUUCUUCAUUUGGCAGAGCCUAAUGUUAUGAGCUUUCUUUUGUGCCCUUUUCCCAUCUCUUUGGAAACAGUAAAUCUACUUUGUCUUUCAUUUCCCUGUGUCUACUACCUAUGAACAUGUAUCACACUCUUCUUUAUGACAUCUUAUCAUCUCUUUUCUUUUCCUCUUCUCUAAUCGCACAUAUAAAGUAAUUCUUUAAUUUUGAGAGGUUUGAAUUUUUUUUUUUAUUUUCCCCUCUUUAUUGGACAAAAGAAGCUGGUAAUGAUCCUGUGCUGGAAUACAAUAUACAAAUACACUAUACUGACUUCACCUUUGACUUAGGCUACUAGAUGAUUCAUGCCAUGACAAAAGUACAUAAUUGCAAGACGGCCAUCUAAUGAUGCCAUCCUUUGCCAUAAUGUUGAGGAUACAAGUAACUUUGAUCUUUUUCUUAACCAUCAAAACAUGUACCAAACUUAUCCAUGCCAUGCAAAAAAGUGCUACUUAUUGCUAAACAGCCAUCUAAUGAUGUGAUAUCUUGCCAUAAUGUCAAGGACAAAGCCAGCAAAACACGUAAAAAAUUAUUUGUUUAUUCAUCUAAGUGGCAGGUUAGAGUCAACCAGUUCAAUCUGCCCAUGUUAAUUAAUGGCACUGUUUCAUUGUUUGGUGAGUAAGACACUGCUAAAUCUCUGAAUUCAACCCAUAUUAAAUCAUAUAAAUGCCUGAUUUUCUUCAAUUGGCAGAACCUAAUUAAUGUGAUUGCUUUUCUCUUGUUUCUUUUUCCAUCUCUUUGGAAAUAGUAAGUCCAGUUUUUCUUCCUUUUCUUCAUGUCUAUUACUACAAUAAGAGGCAAAAAGAAAAGGGAAAAAAAAAGAAAAAGAACAUAUGUCACAGUCUCCCCAUAUCUUACUUACAUAUCUCUUUUCCUUUCCUCUUCCGAUUCUUCAUACAUACAAAUACUUAAAUUUUGGGGGGCUUGAAGUUUUCGUUUCUCUUCUUCUCUAUUACUCCAUAAAAAGUGCUAGUAACGAUAACACUCUUGAGCUGGGAUACAACAAUCACUUCACCUUCGACUUUGACUCUCAUGAUUCAUGCCAUGCAAAAAAUACUACAUAAAUGCUAGAGGGCAAUCUAAUGAUGUGAUUUCUUACCAUAACAUCAAGCACAAAACUAAAUUUGAUUUUGAUCUUCCUAAUUCCCAUCAAAACAUGUUAAAAUAUUGUUUGUUUAUUCUUGUAAGUCGCAGGUUAGGGUCAACCAGCAUAAUCAGCCCAUAUUGAAUAUGACAAGUUUUCAUUGCUUGAUGCAUAAGAAAUUGCAUAUAGCACGAAAUCGCUGAAAGCUGCCUCUCUUCUACUCCUCUUCUCAAGCUUAAUCCCUUAAUUUAUCUAAAGAAGUUGCAAACUUUUUCAUAUGAAGAUCUUCGGUCCAAUUAUCACUUGGUCAGUUGGUUUAUUUAUUUAUUUAUUUUUGGUUUUCUAAUAACUUAUCUGUUGUCAGUAUAAAGAAUGUCAACGAGUUAUGGUUGUUAGGUCCGAAAACCAUCCCUAUCAAUUUAAGCCCACAAGUUUUCACCAGGAUAAUUUGGCAGUUGAGGUGCAAUCAAAUCCUCCUUCACAUUCACACUGCUGUAUAAAACUAUGUCCACUGAAGUAUAUAACAAGAUUUCUCUGGAUUUGUUGUUGUCAGCUAGUUGGCUUCCGGUGCGGUUUUUCUUGACAAUAUUUAUUAACUUACAUAUGCUUUUGAAAAAAGAGAACGAGAAAAGGAAGAGUUUCUUAGCAAAUGAAAGUCAGCACCUGACAAAUGACAAUAACCAUUCUUGGAAAUAAUUCAUGAUUGAGAUCUUCUGAUUUGAAUUUUAUGUAGCAAGAAGAAAGUUGGAGUAAUCUAAAAUGUGCUUGGCUACAUAAAUGAAUAGUAUUUUUUUGUAAUUAUUUAGAGUUAUUUGUAUACAAUAUUCUGUGCAAUUGAUACUCACAAUUAUGCAGCAUUGAAUCCCAUGAAACCCUAAGUAUCAGGUCAUGUUGCCAAAAAUGUCUAUUUCUGUUUGAAACAUGGGUCAAUCCUUAGCUGAAAGAUGCCAUCAAAAAAGUGUAGGUUAACUAAAGUGGUUAGUAAUUGAGAUGGCAAUGCUUUAAUGUUGGUUUGAAUAAAAGAAACAAAAGACGGCAAUGGAUGACAAAUCACCCCUCUCGGCAGACACCAAUCCGAACAUUUAUUAGACCUGCAAAGCAACCAAAGAAUCCUCAAAUUAUUAUUAAAACCUUUGCAGGUAAUAGGAAAAGUUCAAAAGAAGAAAAUCUUGUCCAUAUUUAGGUCAUUGACGGUUUUGUUUUUGGAUUUUUUAAAAAUUAAUCUGAGUUAUUCAUUCAUUUUGUAUCUGAUAGCUCAUAAAAUUUCAUUAGAGAAAGCUUACCAACUAAACAUCAAAAUGGAUAAAUCAUCUUCAGAUUCUUACGUUGUGGCCUUGCUAGUAUAAUAGGUUCUUGGGGUUUACAGAUUUUGCUUUCAAUUAAUGUCUCUUCUCUUAAAACCUCAUAAUACAACUGGCAACUAACAACAGCUAUUUUGCAGACUUUAAUGUCGUUUGACAUCUUAAAACCAACAUCAUACACUUGUACCCUCUUCAUAUGCUUGUCGGUUUACAUUUUAUUACUUUCGAGUUGGUGAGGAUCAAUCAUUUGUUGGCACAUUAAAUUUCUUAAUUUGUGUAGAAGUAUGAAAAAAUAUUGAAAUUCCUUGUCUUGUGUACAAGCCAAAUACGUAAAAGGACAGCCGACUUGUCAUGCAUGGAGUUUGAUGCGUCUCCUCAUAUGUAUUCAUUAGUGCCCACCGUUAUCACAGUUGGAGAAUUGACAUUGGAUGAUUCGAAACGCCACCAUUCAUACAGAUGCGUAGAAGAAAAUGAACACUAUCAUUCAUAGAGUGUAGAAUGAUAAGUAUAGGCUACAACAAAGCAGUUUUUGGGGCAAAUUAAAAUUUAUUAUGAUUUAGUAAGCCGAAGUAGUCUUUUGCCAAAGUAGUUUUUGUUUGACAUUUUAAUUUUGACGGUUAGUUUUAACCAAAAAAAAUAAAGAUGAAAUUUUAGGCCAAAUUAUAAUAGGGUUGAGUAUAGAUUUUUAAGUUAAAAAAAUUAUGUAAUAAAAUGCUAAAUCAUAGAAGGGUUAAAGGUAAUUUGGCCUUAUUAAUUGUGCACUCCUUGAUUAAUUUGAUAGGUCUACUAUGAAAACAAAUAUGGAACUCUACACGAAAUCAUUUUAAAUUAUCUUAAAAAAAAGGAAAAAAACAAUGGAGGGCUUCGACUUUAUCUUCCUAAUUUUCCCCUCACUUCCAUUCCCCAAAAUAAAUAAAUAAAUGAAUGAAUAAAACGAAAAAAAGAAAAGAAAAGAAAUGGGAUAUCCCUUGAUGUAGAAGUAGCCUACACCAGCUAGAGAGAGUUUCCUACAUGUUUGGCUAACUAUAAAUAUUCAAUGAGCUAUACAUCCAGCAAAGCCAAAAGGACACGAAAAAGUAUGGCUUCUUCCCAUCCCAUUCACCAAGCUAAUGAAAACAGCCCCUAUGGAGAUCUUACAAGAGAGGAAUUCUACAAGAAACAUCAAAUACUUCAUAAAGAAAGCUUCAUGCUGAACAAGAAAAGCAUGAAGAUUUUCACUCAAUCAUGGCAGCCAGAUUCCACAGCUAGGCUAAAAGGGUUAGUGGGAAUGGUUCAUGGCUAUUCUUCAGAAAGCAGCUGGCUGUUUGAACUAAACGCAGUAGCCAUAGCCAAAGCUGGAUACUUCGUUUGUGCUCUUGACCUUGAGGGCCAUGGAUACUCCGAAGGCUUACCUGGUCAAAUCUCCAACUUUCAGUUUCUUGUCUCUGACUGCAUCCUCUUCUUCAAUUCAGCAAGAGCUGAGCAUCCAAAAUUGCCAGCUUUUCUAUAUGGAGAAUCAAUGGGAGGUGCAAUUGCCAUCCUCAUUGGCUUGGGGCAAAGAAAUGAAUGGAAUGGUAUAGUUUUGAGCGGUCCUAUGUGUGGAGUUUCGAAUAAGUUCAAACCAUUAUGGCCAUUGGAGAAACUUCUCCCAGUGGCUGCUUUUAUUGCACCUUCUUGGAGGAUAACUUUCAUGAAACCUCCAGCAAGAGGGUCUUACAAGGAGGCCUGGAAGAAGCAGCUGGUGGCCAAAAGUCCAAACCGGCCGAGCUCGGGAAGACCACCGGCUAUUACUGCUCAAGAGCUGAUGAAAACUUGCAGUUAUAUUCAGAGGAAAUGCCACGAAUUGGAGGUUCCUUUGCUAAUUUUGCAUGGGGAAGAUGACAGGAUUUGUGACCCUGAGGCUGCUAAAUUUGUGUUUGAGUCAGCAGCUAGCAAGGAUAAGACUUUGAAGAUUUUUCCUGGAAUGCGGCAUCAGUUAAUUGGAGAACCAAAUGAAAGUGUUGAGCUUAUUUUUGGUAUAGUAAUUUCUUGGAUUGAAGUGAGAGCUGAUUUGGUUCACGUAAAUUAGAUUAGGCUCACUCCUUCGAAAUUCCUAAAGUUCCCCUGAUUGAUGUAUUUCAAUAAUUUACGAUAUAGAAAGUCCAUGAGAAUUACCGUUAUCUUGUUUAUAGAAAGACACAGUGAAAAUGUAUAAGAGAUUACUAUACCUAUAAAUACAUAAUACCUAUAAGAUUAGGCUUAUGUUUUCACACAGACACUGUGAAAUUCAAAUGUUUAAAAUCUUGUCCAAUUAGCCUAUUCUUUUAUUCAGUUACUUUAAGCAAAUUAUGCUAGAAAUUAACCGUUUAGAUUGCUAUUUUUUGAAGUAUUUGUAGAAAAAUAUGUUAUAGUACUUUGUUAUAUGUGAAGUAAAAAGAUAUUUGAGAAAUAUGUUCGAAAAAAAAAUUUUGAAAAAAAAUGACAAUUCAAAUUUGUGAGAUCCCUGAGCUAAGCAGUUGCAGUACAUGGAGUAAAUCUUGAUACAGAAUUUAUUUGGUUUUCUGUCAAAGGCAUAUUCUUUUUCACUUUAAGGACAAAUAGUAUGACAUUGUCAUGAAUGUCGGUAUGCAAUUAAGCUUUCUUCUGACUUAAUAAAUGCAACGUUUCAGGUUAUCAUUUAUAUUUUUUAGUUUCAGAAGAAAAAUUGCUUCACUUGUGAUUUGUGAACGUGUAGAAUGAGUAGCUAGAGUCAGAGAGUAGUGAUUACUAAACUUGGACCAGACCGGUCACUUUGACCGGUUCGACCGAGAAUAGGCUGAUUGAAACACCAGCACUUCAUUGAAUUGGAAAACACCAGCACUUCAUUGACCCCUGUUUCUUGAUUGCAAAAGACCAGGAAGAAAAACAAUUUUAUUCUUUUUUUUUUUGGGUACUUUAGUUGAGUUACUACCCGUUUGAGAUUCAAAACACUGCUAAAUAGAGAAGCAAGAUCCAAGAAACUCUUCUCAUAGAGGAAGAAGUAGAAAUAUCAGUGGCAUGGCAGCCUCCGCAGCAGGGAUCUUUCAAAUUGAUUUCGGAUGCUAGCGUGGUAGGUGGCCGUGUGAGGGGUGGUGGGAUAGAUCGGGAUCAUCGUGGCUAAGUAGUAGUCGCUCAUUACGAGGAGUUUGGGGAGAUGGAGGUGUUACAGGCAGAGGCGCAAGCUUUUGUGUGUUGGAUUGGAAUUAUGUGUUGCAAGACAAAUUAAUGGGAUUGUUGCGGAAGUUUGAUUCUCAAUUGCUGCAACUGUUGUUUACUUCGUCCACGUUUUCUAGAUGGCCUUUGUGCAAUGUGAUUUCUAAAAGGGAUAAUUUCAGAAAUGCAGCCACCUCUCUCUUGAGAUUUGAAAAAUUAUGGGAACCUCCCCUAGAAAGUAUGUUUUGAUAACAAAUGGUGAUGUAAGUACAAAAAGUCUAAUGAAUAUCCUAUAUUGCCCCUAUUUGAUUUACAAAACAAAUUAAAUGACAAAAGAAAUCAAAUAUCAACAUUACUUGCCAAGCAAAAAAUUUUAAGGUAAUCUUUGCAGCAAAAUUUUGGCCAUGUUUCAAGACAUCAUUUUUUUUUUAUUUUUAAUGUUUGGACUUCUUUUAUUCUUUGCUAAGUAAGUUGUGAUGAAACUAAUUUUAACAAAUGCAUCCCUACCAGUCAGCUAUUUAUGAAACUAAACAAGAAAUCCAUUUAAAUGACCUAGAAACCUAAUAUAAUGUAUUAGGUGAGAUGAGGGUAGAACUUUUGGAUUAAGAAAUAUUUGAAAAAUAUGACGGUUUUCCUUUUCUUUACACCUACUUUUCAUUUAGGAUUUGUGGAGUCGUCAAAACUAUUAUAGUCUUUUCACAAUACCAAGGAAGAUAAGUGUAGUUUUUCAAAUCUCAAGCAAGGUGGCUGCAAUUGUCGUGAAUCUCAAAGGAGGUUUACGAUAAUUCUCAAAGGAGGUUUACGAAAUUAUCCCUUUCUAAACUAAAACACCAAUUGCAGAUUUUAAAUGGGUCUUCAUUUCACAAGACAUUUUCUCUUCCACUCUGUCCAGCAAUUACCAAAAAAAUGUAAAAUCAGUAGUACAACUAGAUAGUUUUAGUUUUCCUUAUCUGAGAAUUACAAAUGUAAGAGAGUUGUAGUCCUAGUUUGCUACUUUCAAUUGUACUGGAGGUUUUCCCCUCCUUCAAUUGCUUUUUAAUAGUUAUUUAAUAAAAUAAAAGCUGGCAUCCCUCCCCUGUGUACAGAUCUGCCAAAAAAAAAAAAAGGAAGAAAUAAAAAUAUAAAAGAUUUGAAGUUUGUAUAAAGGAUUUUUUCUAAUGAGCAUUUAAUUGACAUGGUUUAGUUUGAUUUAGACCCAAAUAUGAUUGCCAUUUAAAGAUCAAAGGCAUAGACCUCACAAUUAUAGUUCCCUUGCAUUUUGGCACUUUUUGGUUUAACUUAACUUCUUGCAAGAACUAACGCCUCAGGAAAAAACCCUGUCUACAAAGUUUAUUUUUCUUUUUUCUUCCUCAUUCUUUCAUUUAAAUAAAAGCUGUUGAUGAAUUCUCCAAAAGAAAAAAAAAAAAGAAAAAAAGGAUUAUCGAUUCAGUAAUAGCAGAACAUAUGUAAUCAAAUAGUACUAAUUAUUCCACUAAUUCCGAAAAGUUACAUGAAUUUGGUUUAUUGAAGAAAACUUAAUGGUCAAUUUUACCAACAAGAUCCAGUAUCAAAAAGGUGUUUCUGACAUGCAUCUGGUUUAUUGGAGGAAAAACUAAGGUUAUACCAUGCUUUAUGUUAAGAUUUAUUGUUAGAUAGAUCUUCCUGAUCUUUUUUGGCGGGUGGCCCGUAGUCUAACUAGUAUAAUACAGUAAUAAGUUUUCUCUUACUGUUUAACCAGAAGACACCUUAAUCUUUAGGGAUGGGCAAAAGAAAAUAAUCGCUGAGAUGCAGAACCUGUCCUGUUCCUUCUUAAAUUUGGAGUAUCUGUACUUUUUAAUCAAAGCAAAGGAGGAUUGGGUACCCAUAGACAUGUAGUGCAGGCUAAGGUUAGAGGGUUGAGAACCCGCGAGUAGUACCCGACUUGUGGCGUUUAUAUACACAGACAAAUUUUUGAGAAAUAACUAAGGUCCGAGUAAUUUUAUUUAGCAAAUUGCAUACUAAUUGUAAAAAACGAUAAUUUGUUUACAAGAUUCAAUUGUUCAUGCCAUCACCUUUUUUUUUUAAAAAAAAAAACAAAAUUUAGUUGAUCUAGAAUAUGUAAAAAAGGCAAUACUUAUCACACUUUAUAUUUUCAUGUGAAAUUUUUAUCUUGUUGAAUUAGUCAUAUCUAACGUUAAAACCUCAUGCUUAGAUUUGAAAGUAUUUGAUUAAGACAUUGAAGUUGAGGGACAACUUGAAAUUUUUAUUGCAUUAUCUUGGAGAUUGGAUCAUGAAUUUCGAUGUAAUAUAUUGUUCGCGGACACGUAACUUUAUUUUGGUAAGAUCUCUGUUGAUUGAUGAACAUGUGAAAUUGAAAAUAAAGUUGGUGUACCGUUCUUUAUUCAUUUUUUGAAUUAAAUUAUAGGAGGAACAAAAAUAGCAAAGAAAAUUAAAACAAUGAACAUAUUGGGGGAACCCUAGGAAUGCACAGCCAAUCAUGCUCCAAGAUAUAUUUCUUGAGAAUAAUUUUUUAAUACGCAUGGCAUUUCAUUCCUCAAACAUUUUGGGAUUAUAUAUAUAUAUAUAUAUAUAUAUAUAUAUAUAUAUAUAUAUAUAUAGAUUACUUGAAAAAAUCUGCCCUCUUCUCUCUUUCUUUCUUCAACAAUAAGAAAAGUUUUUGCAUCUUGAUCCACCUAAAAUUUAGUACUCUGUUUAAUGCUUUAAAAACAGACAGAAAAUAAUACAAUUAGUUUUGUAAAACUCCAAAAUAUGCAAAAAAUGGUCGAAUUCGAGUUUCAUUUAAACCUACUCCAAGUUUUGAGGACUAUUUAAGUUUUCUCAAAAUAAGCAACAACUUACUACUUAAGACUUUCCCUAAUUAUAUAUAGUCUCUGCAAUUUUCUUGCAAGCCAAACAAACGCGUUAAAAAAAACAGGAAAAUUAUUGGAGGAAUACUCUUUUUCUUUUUUCUUUCCCACAGAAUCCAACAAACACAAUCUUCAAUAAUGUUUCCAUAUUCUCUUGCCUAAAAUAAACAAUGAAGCUAGCUGGAGGUGGUUUUCUCAUUAUUCUGCAACUUAAUUUAGUUAUUAGGUUAUUAGAAAGCCCUGCUGCACAUAAAGUUGAAACACCAUCUCUUUCGACAAUUUCUUUGAAGUCGUCUGCAAGAUCUUGAGGUAAUUCAUAACUCACAAGUUACAUUAUUCUAUGUUGAUUAGGCUACUUUUCUCUUCAAUAGAGGUUUAAUGUUUUCAUAAACAAUCUUUUUUAUUUUAUUUUAUUUCACACUAAAACCUUGUUCGAGUAGAUGAUAAAAUUUAUUGCAGGAAUUAUACUGUCUGUUGCAAUCUCUUCCCUUGAUCUAUUUAUUGCAUAUGAGUUCUUUAUUUCUUUCUCUUGCUCUACUAUGAUCCCAGCUUGGUGUUGAUUUUUCUUUUCUUUCUUUUUUUUUCCCCCCUUGUUCUAAGCCUAAACUAACUUCAACUUUCUUUCCAAAAUUAACUUUGCCUUCUUAUGCUGAAUAUUUUUUUUGUGUAGCUUUUUUCAGGAAUUUUUACCUCCACAAUUUUCGAAAAGAGGUUAGUGAUUUGAGAUCAGUAUGAUCACAGUUGCAUACACACACUUCAGUACAUAUAUUUGCCUCCAUAAUUCACACCAUCUAACUUCCCCUUGCUUUACAUUCUUUGUGUGUGUUUUUUAGUUCUCUGCUGAAACUCUAAAAUCUUAAAGCUUUAUAGAACUGUUAUUAAAUGUAGGUCAUACAAAGAAAAUAGCAAUUAGAAGAAAGGCAAUGCUUGAUUUCACAUGAAGAACUACAUACAUUAAUGAAUUACUUCAUAGUUAAGCUACGAAUACAUCUCUCUACGAAGUAGAUUUGUAAUGUUUAGCUGUAAUAUGUAUCACUUAAAAGGUUAUCAUUAAGUUCAUUCAAAUGCAAUAUUAAACAUGAUUACUGGCCUUUAAUCCUCAGAAAAUACUUUCAUUUGGAAUUUUUAUCUGUGUUUCCAAUCAAACAAUGCUGUCACUUGCAGGUUUAACACUCAUCAUUUGCUGAAUUUUUCUCUUAAUUGUAAAAGAGUACUGAGAAGAUGAUUCUUAUUCUUAUUAACAAAUCCUAGUUUUGGAUUUUGAUCUCCUAAUCUUUUUUAUUGGAUUGGAAGUUUUAUCUAUGCCUCCAAUUAAAAAGUGCUGUCACUUAUAGAUUCAAAACUGAUCGUUUAUUUAAUUUGUCCCUUGACUCUUCUUCUUUCCACCCAACCAACCCUUCUGGUAAAAGAAUUUUGAGAUGAUGAUUCUUAUAUAUUCUUACUAACAAAACCUAGUUUAGUUUUGGAUUUUGAUGAUCUCUUAAUCUUUUUUAUUCAUGUUUUCAGCGGGUCAUACAUUUGAACCAUAACAUAGAAUUCUCAUCGAUGACAAAGACAACAAGCUCAAUUAUUGCAAGAAACCUUGCUUUUGUAUCAGCCAUCGUUGCAGCAAUUGUCAUGGCCACCAGUUCUGAGAAAAUUGAAACAGAUGAUUACAUAUUCAUAGCAAAAUUCAACUGCUGGAAUAGCUUCAAGCGAGCAAUUUUUUGUGUCUUUUUUUUUUUAUUUCAAUUGUGCUGUAUUAUAAUUUGGGUCUCACUUUGAAUUUUAAGAUAAAAAAUUGGCUUUUUUCUUGUUCUUUUUUUUUUUUCCCUUUAAUUGUCUAAAUGGAGAUAAUGCCAUGUAUCUAGGUACUUCUUUGCUGCAAAUGUCUUUGGAGGCCUUUAUAACCUUCUGGUACUUCUUCUUCCUUCUGGGAGUUUGCUUUGGCGCUCGGUGCUCGUCCUAGACAUGGUAUUUAAUCCUUUAAUUAUUGGCCUUAUUUUGAUUGCCUUCUUGUGAAAAGUCUUUGAUUCCUUGUUGUGAAAAAUCUUAAUAAAUUGUCAUGUAUGUUAUGGGAUUCUUCUAUUCCGUGCUUUAGUUGAAUGAAUAAAGGUAAAUCCAAUUUCACCUUUUUUUACGAAAAAAGUAUACACAAUUCAAGAACUAGAUUCAAUUAUAAAUAUUCAUAGUUUUUUUUUUUGGUGUAGUUAUAUAGAGUCCCUAGAACACAAAAAUCCUUAAUUUAUAUGCUAUGAUGUGAUUCAAUAACUCACUUAUAGGGGGACAAAUAACCCAAAAAGGGCAAAACUAAUACCAGCAUAGAGGGAAAUGACAUUUUGCAGUUAAGAUGAAAAUCCCUCAUAGUACUCAAUGUUCUCCAUAAAUCUAUUUAAUUAUUUUUUGUAUUGGAGCCCUCAUCACGGGUUCUAUUGGAUGCACGGUUAAUUUUCUUCUUCUUUGUUACUCUUUACAUGUGAUUGUAAAUCCCCUUCUGCUUCCUGAAUGAGCUUAAUUAACUAGGAAUAAGAAGUGUAUGGAACUUUUCAUCAUGAUCAAUCUUGUAUGGAACUUUGUUUUUUCUCGUAAGCUCACGAGUCAUAGGUGGAGAGAUUAAUUGUUAGGAAAAAAAAAAGAAAAGAAAAAAGAGGUCAGGGUCUUGCUCUUGUAGGUGGAUUUCUAUUGGAUAUUUCAGUUUUUUUUUCUUGUUUUAGCAGGGCAAAGAUGAGAUUUAAAAAGCAGGGAGGGAGAGGGGAUUUGAAUAUAAAACCUCUAACUUUUAGGAUUUCGACUUUAGCUACUAGACCAAUACUUCCUCAAUUAGUGGAUAUUUCAGCUAAAUAUAUCAAAUUCUAAAGAUUUUGAUUACAUGUAGUCGAGUUUUGUGCAUAUGGUCAACUUCUCAAUAGGAAUUUACUUGCUUUAUUUGAAUAAACUAGUUUUUGGCCCCCGCGCCCAGCGCGGGUAGCCCGUGACGAAGCCAGGGAGUUAAACUUAAUUUUCAAAUGAUUGCUGUAAUAUGAAAGGGUAUUACUACAAUUAAAAGUCAAACAAUAUUAGAAUAGCUCCAAGUGAACACAAAUACUGAAGUGUUAUCAGAGUUGAAUCUUAAAGCUUGUAUCAUAAUCACUUAUCACUUGCCGCAGGCAUGCUCUUCUUCUAGCUUAUUUAUCCACAAAAAAAAAAAUCAAAUCAGAUAAGCUGGGUAAAGGAAUUAAAAAAAAAAAUCCCUUGACAGGCGAUCAAAGUAAGAAUUCUUGUAAAUGUUUUUCUAAAAAAUAACUUGGAUGAAUAUUUGGUGCAAUAUUAGUGCGACAUUUAAGGAUAACAUUCCCUAAAGCAAUAAAUAAAAAUUAAGGAGAUUUGGUGUUUCCAUAAUGAAAAAAAAGAGAAAAAAUUAUUUUUCUUCACAUAUUUUUAAAGCUUUGCAAUUGUAACAUUAGAAGAAUUCAAUGUAGAUAGCCAAAAGAAGAAAGAAUGCGUUAGAUUUAUUAGAAAACAAAGGAAAGUCGGUCCAAAAGAAAAGGGCGCAUUUUUGGGCUUAUAGUAAAUCUUGCACUUGCUUAUACAAUAUGCAAGCGUUUAAUUGUUGAGCAUAUAAACCACAGAAAAAGAAUUCUAAAGAUAGGAUAAGAACUCAAGUCAAUUUGUUUUCAAAGUUUCAUUUGCAGUUUGUCUUAGAAGUGUUUGGAUAUGUUAAUACUAAUAUAACUAUGUUUUCAACCAUGUUAAUACUGUUUGUGCAAAGUAUUUAAAUACUUAAGAGAAAUGUUAGCGCAAGCCCUCCUUUAUGUUAUUAUACUUCAUGAAAUGCAGAAAAGUUUAUGCUGGAUUUGACAAAGUUGUGUUUUGAAAAUGUAGAUAACUUAGCAAUACAUAUUUUAAGAGAGUCUGAGAUUUACAAUAACGGUUGAAUAAGUUGAGAUUUAUAAGUCGUUUUAAGCUUAAAAACUUAACAAUGAUAUUUAUCACAUAUAUAAUUAAUUUGUAAGAUUAUCAAGAAAUAAUUUGCAAAUUUCAAUAAUAGAAAGGCUACAAGUGAACAUAAAUACUAAAGUCACAACCUAUUACCCUCAAUCUUAGUAAGUAUAGAACAUGCCUUGUGCUCUCCGCAACAUGCCUUGAACCACAAAUUCGAACCAUAGUUGACGAUUUAAAAUAAUUGUUUCUUUUUCAUUUUUCUUUCAAUUUAUCUAAUUUUUAAUAUUCAUUUUAAGAUUUAAAAUAAUUAUUGAUUCAAAACUAUUUAUGGAAGCAAAGAUAUGAUUUUUAUAAAAUAAUAAGCAAAAUUUUUUUUUUUUAUUGCUUCAGGGUUAAUAAAAUAAAAAUAUGUUUUUCUUUAAUGCAACAUGGCCUCAAUAAGGGCAUUUUCGGCAUUAAGGGGGUUUUUGUUAAAUGUUUGAUCAUUCAAAGGGUGAGACUGUUAUUUGGACAAAUUACAGGGAUUGAUUGGUAAUAUGAUCAAACGUCAGGGGAGGUAAAUGUAAUUAACCCAUAAGAGAAUGAUUGAUGGGAAGAUGAGCUGAAGAGUGAGACAACGAUGAAGAAAUGAGAGAAAAAAUGGGCAUUUCUGACUCCUCGGACUCAAUCCCAUCGGGUAAUCCCGAUAAGGUAAAGGAAAAGAACAAUAAAAGAGCACAAACAUGGUCAAAAUUAUAAGAAAGGCUAUCCAAACAUUAAUAAACGGACACACAAGUCUCCAAAUUUACGGGCAAAACCUGACCACUAAGGGCAUUAUAGAGAAAGAAAAUGUAAAGUCAAUAUCAGAAAAUUCAGGAGCCACAAAUUUGACCUUUAUGCCACAUUAGAAAGACCAAAAUACCCCAUGAAGUCAUUCGAAUUACCAUCGAAAUCGGUCACUGUAGCAAAUGGGCGUUGAUCCUUUUAUAUAUUUUAGAUUAGAUUAGAUGUUAAUAAUUAAUUAAUAAUAAUAAGGGAAAGACAUUCUCGUAGGCUAUUGUAAGCCAUUGAGGGGAAAAGCUCCUGUGUUGACUUUUCCUUUCCUUGGUAGCAAAUUGAAGUCCAGCCGCAAUUGUGGACUUGUAAAGGAAACAUUCUCGUAGGCUAUUGUAAGCCAUUGAGGGGAAAAGCUCCUGUGUUGACUUUUCCUUUCCUUGGUAGCAAAUUGAAGUCCAGCCGCAAUUGUGGACUUGUAAAUCUUUCCUUUCCCGCAGCUUGGAUCGAAUUGGCAGAGAGCAACACAUCAAUAAUUGGCAGAGAAAGAUCAAAAUACCCCAUGAAGUCAUCCGAAUUACGGUGGAAACCGGCCCAUGCUGCACUGUAGCAAAUGGGCGUUCCCCCUUUUAUAUAUUUAAGAUAAGAUAAGAUAAGAUAAGAUAUACACGUUCAAGCAUAUCCAUGAGCUUGGUUGAAUUUUGACCAAUAAUAAUUUGACCCUCGAGAAAAAUAUGUCAAACUAAAGGUGCAUUUGCAGCUUAGUUAUAUGUAUCCGUUUGCCUUGUAUUAUGUACGAGUUUUACCUGCAAAACCAAUUAUGCUUAUCUAUAAGUUGGUGUGCUAAAACAAUGAAAAGUAUAUAUAAAGUUUUAUCAUUUUAUUUUGUCUCUUUCUUACGUGCCUUGACAACAUAAUAAGUGGCUGGAACGUGUUUCAUAAAAUAACUUAUGCUCUUCCAUCUCUCUUCUUUUGCCUUUAUUCGUUUUAUUGCCAUAUAAUUCUAGAUAAUCCUUAUUCUCUUGCCAUUUUUUUUUCCUUAACCCUUAUCCUAUUCUAAUCUUCAAGCAUAAAUUUGUUGUGAGGAACAUUUGGAAUCAAAUCGACAGAAGAAGGAAUAUUUUUAGGGCCACCAUUUUCUGUGUACGGGACAUCGUCCAUUUUCAAGUUCUUCUUUUUGGUUAGCAUUUAGAGUAAUGAGGAAUUGAACAGAAUACUGAGUAACAGUCAUAUAAUUACUACGUGUCGGCUAAAUUAAUUAACCAAGUAUUUAACUUGGGUUGAAAUUCCCAGUAGGAUGUUGUUCUGCUGUGGGCUAAUUUCAAAAACCUCCACUGCUGUUUUUGAUAAUUUCACUUGCCUCUCUUCAACUUCUAGAAAUCUCAUAUACUUCCCUUAAUGGAGAAUUGGGACCCAUGGCUGAUAUAAUGCGUGGCAAAAUGACUUUUAUAUCCUUAGUAUUUAGUGAUAUUAACUAACAAUCCCUAAAAAAUUGCUAUUGGACUAUAUUUGAAGAAAAAAUGAAAGAAAAUUGGCCAAUUAUCUUCGGUAAAUUGGUGCGAAUUUCUCCUCACAAUUCAAAUGGCACACUUUUCUAAUAGUCAGUUAUGUACUAUUAGAAAAAAAGUGUCCUACAUCAUUUAAUUUUUUUAAGUUUUUUAUUUUGGCUUUUAUAUUUAGUUGAGUUACUUUGCAAAUUUAGAUGUUGGUUAGUCUAAUCAUCUAAAGUUUUGCUAAUACAUAUGCUACAUAUUUUUGAAAUUUACAGGCUUUUACUUUUGUUUGCCAAGUUUUAAUUCAUUUAAUAAUUUCUCAAAAUUAAUAAAUAGUUGCAACAAAUAGUUAGGGCAUCUUUGGCACCAAAUUACAUUUUUUUUCUCCAACAAUUUUUUUUCUAUUCAACCUUUUAAGAUUUGGGCUUACAUGUUACAUAAAAGUUCCAAAAAGGAGGGCUAAGUGAGAUUUUCAUAAGUUGAGAGAUUCAAGUGAAAUUGUUAGAAACCUCAUGGGAGGUUUCUAAAAUUAUCCCUUCUGUUAUUACCUGACCACUAAAGAAAGAGUUUAAUGCCAAUAUAAGCCAUUAACCCAAAAAAGUUUGUGGGAAAUCAAGUGGAAAUCCACAAGUUAUAGAUCCUCCUUUUUUCUCGUGAGCUUUUGUUUCAUUUCAUGGAUUUGGAUGUACGUAGACAAUCUAAUGAGCAAAGCACUUGUCCCAGUAUACCAAGUACCAUAUGUAAUACCUGUAACAAAUUACAUGGCAAUUGUAGAUGAUCUGAUACAAUUUUCGUGUUACACUAUGUUAUAAUAAGGUAAUCUUUUGUCCCAUAGACUCACUGAAUCAUGUGAAACUACAAAUACUAUCUAAAACAUGGCAUAACACAAAGGUGAAAGCUAAGAAUUAUAACAUAGGCGUUAUUAUCAUUUUACCCUCUUAAACUAUACUACUACUAUCAAUUUACCUCAUAUUAUUAUCUUUUAGUCACUUCACCCCAUAGGUAAUUCAACUCAGCAUGUUAACAAAUUCUAGACAAAAAUACCCUUUAUUUUAUAGCAUUGCUACAUUAUUAUUAUCACCUUAUCCCUUUAAAUAAUAGUGAUACAAUCGCUUUGCUCCCUAUUAUUAUUUUCUAGGCAUUUUACCCUAUCGCUAAUCUUACCAAUAUGUUCAAAAAUUUUUAAAUGUAUUUACCCUUUUUUAUAUAUAAUUAAAAAUAAAAAAUUUGGAAUGGUAAUUUUGCCUUUUUCUCAUUCUAAGAGUUCCAAAAACAUAAAAAUUAAAAUAUUUUCUCAAAUUUCUUUUUCACACUUAUUAAUACUAGAGAAAUAAAAAGAGAGAGGAGAGAAUGAAUUAGAAAAAUAGAUUUUGCAAAGAAAGAAAAUGAGGAAAAAUCUAAUAUUAUCGUAUUACUUUAAUGUCGUUGGGAUUAUGAUUGAAAUUGGGUAGUUAACAAAAAAGUAAAGUAAUUUUAAAACAAUAAAAAUAUUAAAUUCUUUCUUAUUAUAUUUUUUCAAAAAAGAAUUGGGCUCUCUCUCUCUCUCUCUCUCUCUCUCUUUGCCUCCUAUCUUUCUACUUUCUUUUCAAUGUUAAUAAGAUUGUCAAGAAGAAAGAGAUUAAUGUUUUGACGUUUUUUUUCUUGGUAUUAAAAAGGAGAAGAGCCGCUCUAAAUUUUUCAUUGUUUUUAUUAUACAAAGAGGAGGAUAUUUUUUCUAAAGCUUUUUAACUUACUAAAUUGAUUUAAUGGUGGGAUAAAUUCCUCAAAAAAUAACUCUAGGGGGGGUAAAUUGAUAAUAAGGCAAUUGUUUACAAGCAUAAAGUGAUAAUAAUUUUAAGAGCUAAUCAUGUCUUUUCACUUGAAUUAACAAACUCCGUUAAAUUUGACCGUUAGUUUUAGGAUUAAAGUGACUAAAAAAUAACACUAAAUGAAAAGUUAAUAGCGACACCAAACGUUAAAAGGGUAAAGUAAUAAUAACCCUAACAUAGGAGAUAAAACCUUUCUGUGGCAACCUGUCAAAUCUAUAGAAGAAGGAAUAUUUUAAGUCCAACAUUUACAGGGCUUAAUAUAAGCUAACUUUAAUCAUCAUUUUGUAAGCAGGCGACAUUGUCCAUUUUCAAGUUCUUCCUUGUUUGGUUAGCAUUUAAUAUCGAAUUAAACAGAAUACCCAGUAACACUCAAAUAAUUAUGGAGAAAAAUGAUGUAGAUCAUAUAUGUUUGAAAUCUUUUCCUUUUUCUUCCGAUUCAAAGAGUAUGCUGGGUAUCAUUUUCAUAGUUUCUGAAAUUUAACUCAACCAAACACAUGGGUACCAAUUAUCAACUCGAUAUAUGUUCAUACCUUCUAAUCAAAUGCAUCAGAGCAAUUAUAAGUAUGUCUUUUCUUUUUCCUUCUUUUUUAAAGGUUACUCCUAUGAUUCAACCAAUCUUUAUAUAAAUUAACCCCAAAAAAGUAUGUUUAAAACUAAUGCCCUUAAGUCUGUAUUAAUUCCUCCGAGUUCCCAUGCAGAUAAGUUUAAAGAAAAUUUUAUGAACCAUAAGAGAGAAUCAAGUUCACAAGGAAAUGCAAAGGGCAUCCCAAAACUAGCCUAAACUCUAGAAGUAAGUAGCUUUGCUGGAUUAGGUAUUCUGAAUUAGCUCAAAAGCUAGCCACUAAUGUCUAUUGCUAUUGGUUGAAGAUGGCCUGGGGUUUGGGGUUUAUUGUCAAUGGAGUCAGACCAAUCCGACUUCAGCAUGAUAAAAAGCUCGAUGAGUUUAAUUUUUUAUUGAGCUGGGUUGAGUUUAAGCCUAAAUAUUAUGUCCGAAUUAAAUAUGAACCGAAUUUAGACUUGAAAUCUGAUAUAGGUCCGACUCGUUAAUCUGUACCUAUAUAUAUAAUACUGAUAAGUGCAUUUGUUGUAUGUUUUUAGUAUAUUUUAUUAAUUAGUUUUGGUGGUGUGUUUUAUUUACUUUUAUAGCUAAUUAAUUAGGAUUCUAGUGAAAAUAUACAUUUUAUGAUUUAAGUAUGAACAAUUGCAUUUCUAUGAAUUUUAAUGGUAAAAACUUCAUGUUUUUGUAGGUUUAAUGAUUCAAUCAUCAAAUGGAGUGAAUUGAGAAGAUAAUUGGAUGGUUUUUUAUGAUUUGAAGUGGUUUUAAAGAUAAUAUGAAGUGCAAGAGAUGAAAUGCAAUUAAGGCAAUUUUUCAGCUUUGAUACCUGUUGGUAUUUCGGCUAUAUCUUGAACUACAAGUAUCAAAUUGAGGUGAUUCUUAUGCUAUUUUGAGGCUAACACAUAGCUCUAUAUUUGUUAUGGAAACAUCGAAAUCCAGUUCAUGAGUUUUCCAAGUCAAAAUAUAGUCGGUCAUUUCUGUUGUCGAAAGCUGAAACAGGAUUCUGACUAGUUAAGAGUAUUUUGGUAAUUUUUCAGUCUACAGAGCUCUAAAUUGGAUGAUUCUUUAGUCAUUGGAAAGCUAACUCAAAGGGUUACAACUUUUAUGUUUUGUACAAGACCUAAUUCAGCCUCCAACAUUGAGAAAAUAUCGGUUGAAAUUGGUACCCAAAUAGAGUAAGGAUGAACACUGACCAAAAACGAGUUAGGUCGCGUUUUCAAGGCUGCAUAUUCUUGUUUUGCGGCUGCAACUUGCUUUGCAACUUGUGCUCUGUUCAUACAAGUUUUUUGACCAACUUUUUUGCAAGAAAUCCGACUGGAGAUGUGCAAGCAAGUCAGGAAUUUUGUAAAAAUAACUUUUGAGCGUUUCAAGAGCCAACUUUGCCAACCAGAAACAACUCAUUUGUGGCUUGAAUCUCUCUAUAAAUAGAGGUAUUGGAGAACAUUUUGAUAACUUUGGAAAGCUAGAGAAACUUCACAAAAAUGUAGUCUUCACUAGUUUUUCUUAGUUCAUUAGUAUAGUAUAGUUAGUGUAGUUUAUCCUUCUUGUAUUUAUAGUUAGAUUUAGAUGAAGAUUUGAGAAACAAAGAUGGGGAGAUGUAUCUCAUGUGACAAGGGUGACUUCUCUCCUAUCACUUUCUCUUUUGUAUUUAAGUUCAUAUUUAACUAUAAUACAAGUUUGGAUCUUUUUCUUCAUGUUUAGUUAAAGUUUAUGUUUAAGUUAUGGAUGAACUUGUUAUAUCUUGUUAGUGAUAUUUACUUGGUUAUUUAAUGAUAUUAUUUUGAGCAAGUUAUUUAUCACUUUUGCUUUUCUAAUCAUGAUUAACCGACCAUUAAUUAUGAUAAUCUUAAGGAGUUAAGUUUGUAAUGAAAAUUGGGAUUUAAUACUAGUUCAACGAAGUGAUAAACUUAGAGAGUACACUCACGAGAGUAGAGGUGCAUCUUUGUAGUUUUAGUGACUUGUUUCAUGUAAUUUCAUAGAAGAAAUGAGUUUGUAGUUAAUUUCAUAACCAUGAGAGUAGGUAUGGUUUAAUUACAAUUAUAGUUGAUUCACUACGAGAGUAGGUUUCACAUACAUUAGGAAAUUACACCAUAACUAGACAAGAUAAUAACAUUCACUUAAUCGGUAAUUUUAUUUGCAAGAGUAGUGAGGAAUUCCAUACCUCUAGGAGUUUUAUAUUGCUAUUUUUAUUAAUUUUAUUUCAUGUUUGUAAUGUAGAUUUAAUAUUUUGUACUUAUGAUAGUCUAAAUAAUAAAGGAAUUUGAAAAACAUCGAUAAUUGACAUUCUUCCCUGCGGAUUCAACCCUUAAUACCCUAUAUUCACUUUCGUCUCGUAUACUUGCGAAAAAUUGCAUGUGGGGUAUUUAGAAAUUUAUAAAUGUAAAACUUGACUGUGGAUGAGUUAAUUGUUAUAUAUAUCCCGCGCUUGUCAAAUAUAUUUAUACUUUGGUAUAUAUAAUUAUAUCAAAAUAAAUAUAUAAUUUCUAAAUACUAAUACUUAUAUGUCAAAAUAUAUCAAUAUAUAUUAGAAAUAUUAAAUACAGAAAAAAAACAUAUCAGAAGAUUCAGACAAAAGAAUGACGAAAGCCCUAAUCCCUCUGGUUUCUCCCCUGACCCACUGUCACAGCAGCCUCUACGUUUUCAAUCUCUACUCCACCUCCAUGAUUGGCCUCUCCAAUCUCUAAUCUCCAUCUCUACAAAAGCAUAUAAUGAUAGUUUCAAUUAUAAAGCAUGUAUUUUGUAUACUUUACCAGCUUAAUCUCUAUCUAAUUGAUCAGCAUCACUUUUUGGUCUAUUUUCUUCUUUCCUAUGGGUUUUUACAUGACUCAUGAGACAAAUCAAUUUGAUUAUUUCUAUUUGGAUUCAAAUGCUAUAUUUUCACUGUAAACAAAGGGAGUGGACGAAUAUUAGUAGGAGGAAAUUGAGAAGAAGGUUAUGGAGAAUUUCUAACUUUUGAAAAUGUAUUGACUAGUGAUCAUAUUUUAUUACUAUUUUUCAUGUGCUUUGAAUGAAUUAGAUAUAAUUGUUGUUGAAAAAUUCUUGAUUUAUGUAACUUUUAAUGGACUGUUACUAGUUCACAUACAUUUUUAAUAUUGUGGAUAUUAAAUUAAUUUUAUGACUUAAUAACUAUAGUAAUUAUAUUAAGAAAAUUAAGAAGUAAUAAGUGAAUUUUGGCUAAACCUGAAUUAGAUUCAAAAUUCGAAUGUUCUAUGAACCAAGUGUGAUUUUUACAUUUAUUAACUCAAAACUCAUGAUUUGAAACCCAAAAAGUGUUACUAAUUAGAUGAGUUUAAAUCUAGGCUUGUUAAAGUCAGACUCACAUGGUUCAAUUGACAGGUCUAGUUUCAAAACAAUAUUUAGUUGUUUACCUAAGAAUUAGUUGUUUUUACUAAAUUAUUGAUGAUGCAAAUGACUGGUCCCAAGAAAGAGAAGGGACCAUCCUUGCCUGGCGAAACGAUAAAAGAUAUCAUGAGCCUGUUUUUGACAAAGGAGAAGAAGAAGAGAGGAAAGAAAAGAAAAAAAAAAAAGAAAGAGAAAAAAAAAAUUUCCAUUUUAAAAAUUUUUCCUACAACUUUUACAUUAAGUUAUUGUCAAAUUUUAGGCAAAUACCCAAAAAAUUCAUUUGCCAAAUGGGGCAUUGUCUAGCUAGACAAUUCAUUAAGCUACGUUAUGCUCUUGAACUUGUAUCACAUUUUCACCUUGUACACUAAAUUUUAAUUUGAGAUAUUUUAUACUCUAAACUCUCAAUUUAGAUGCUUUACACCCUCAAUUUUUAGUUUCUUCCAUUUAAAUCCAAUCAAUGAAAACAUUAGUAAAAUUAACAAAAUGAAGAUUGGUAUAAAUUAAUGAUAAUGUAUCAUUUUGUUCUACCUGCAAUAUCCUGAUUUCUUUUGGUUACUUUCAACACAUUACCAUUGAUUUGUAUGGUUCUAAUUACUAAUAUUAUUAGUAAAAUUAAUGAGAUAAAAGAUAGUGUAAAUUAAUGACAAUGUAUCGUUUUAUUCUACCUGUGAUACCUUAGCUUUUUUUUACCACUUUCAACAAAUUUUCACUGAUUUGUAGGGCCUUCUAUACAGUUAAUUUUGCUAAUGUUAUCAUUGAUUAAACUUAGAUCUAAUAAACUUGAGAGUGUAGGAUGUAAAGUAUCUAAAAUUGAGAGUUUAGAAUACAAAAUGAAAAAAUGGUACUCGGUUGAAAGUGCAAAGUAUAGCAAGUACUUUAAUGAAACGUUGUCUUGAUGCACUUACUUUUUAACCUGCCUCAUAUAUAUAUAUAUAUAUAUAUAUAUCCCAUGUUUUUGGUAUAGCAAAUUAGCAAGCCAUCUCAUGCAGUAAGCAAUACCCAAAAGAGUGCUUAGUCGUCAGAUUACUUCCAACUUAAUUUUACUUCAUCCGAGAAUUUUUAGUCAUGGCAACAAAACCUGUAAAGCUUCUAGGUUUCUGGGAUAGCCCAUAUGUGGAUCGUGUUCAAUUUGCACUCAACCUCAAGUCCAUUGACCAUGAAUUCAUAGAAGAGAAUAUUCUGAACAAAAGCAAGCUCCUCCUUAGAUCCAAUCCUGUCCAGAAGAAAAUAGCAGUCCUUAUCCAUGGUGAUGAGCCUAUAUGUGAAUCUCUUAACAUUGUACAGUACAUUGAUGAGGUGUGGACAGAUGGUCCUUCUAUUCUUCCUUCUCAUCCCCGUGAUCGUGCUAUGUCCCGUUUUUGGGCUGCUUACAUUGAUGAAAAGGUACCUAAACAACUUCUCUACUCUAUAAUUAUUCCUGCAAUUUCAGUGAUAGGAGCAAGAAACCAAGAGUAAACUUCACUUAAAAUUACCUUCUCUAGGUUUUAAAUGCCAUAACUAAAACGCUUACUUUUCCAGUCAUUGAAAUUUUCGUGUUGAUAGAUUAUAGGGUAAAUUAUUAGUAACUUCCUUGUAGUUUUGGAUAUUGUCAUAUGAUCAUCCCUAACGUUUCAAAGUAUCUACAUAAUUCUCCUAGUGAUUUUAUAUAAAGUGGAAAGAGAACGAAAACACCUCUAGUUACAAUGGUUAACACCAAUGCACUCCAAAACAUGUGUAAUCAAACUAUUACAUCAACCUAAUACUCUAUAAUCCUCAAAGUGGUUAGACCGCCGUUCUGUUCAGAGAUAACACUAGCAUUUCAAUUAAUGACAUUACGGAGGUUGCUUCUCAUCAAAUUUUCGCUUCAUAUAAAGUCACAGGAAUGUUAGUUGAAUAUUUUGAAACGUUAGGAAAAUCAUGUGACAAUAUGUGAAACCAAUUAGAAUGUUAUUUUGCCUUCUUGUCCCCAAUCGAAUGGAAUUACCAGUUAAUUAGAAAUUCAUUUUCAUGCCUCAUCAUCAAAAUAUGUUGACUAAACCGGGUAGAAUAAGAAUGUUGCAGUGGCUUCCUUUGCUUUGGGAAAUAUACGAGGCCAAAGAGAAGGAGACAACCCUGCUAGAAAAAGUACGUGAAGGUCUAGUAUUGUUGGAGGCUGCUUUCGUAAAGUGUAGCAAAGGGAAAGCUUUCUUUGGUGGAGAUAGCAUAGGUUACCUGGAUAUAGCUCUAGGCUGCUGCUUGGGAGGGCUAAAAGGAAUUAGAAAAAUUGGCCUCUGUGAAACUGCUCGAUGAAACCAAGACACCAGCUCUUUUGGGGUGGGCUGAGACUUUCUGCUCAAACGAAGCUGCUAAGAAUGUUGUGCCAGAGCCUGAGAAGUUGAACAAAUGUCUCAAGGAGUUCCAAGCUCAGGCAGCAGCUGCAACCAAGUGAACAAAGAUGCAUAUGUUUCAUUUAUUAGUUUUGUGGCAAAGAAUUCUUGUUUAUCGUUUUUGUUUGUUAAUCCACAGCCAAAAAAAAAAUCCCUCGCUGCUUCUUAAAUUCCAUCCUCCCCUAUUAAUUUUUUUUUUUUUUUGAAAACUGCAGUAAUUUCUAUAAAACAAGUUUUGUGUAUGGGAGUCCUUUUAAUUGUGCAAGAGUGAUAUACUAAUAUGUUUGUUUCCAAAUUUCUUUCCUCAGGAUAACAAAGCCUCUACCUUGUGUGCUUUUCUUCCAUUUUUUCCUGUGACAAACUUCCUAGUGGGAAGCUCUAUUUGGGAUUUUGAUUCGGUCUUAUCAAACCCGUUUUUUAAAAUAGCAAGCAGGGAAAUUUAGAGCUGUUUCUACCUGAGAUGAGGACCACAAAAAAAAAAAAGUCUAGGAUUGUGGGCAUCAAUGGAUCCUAGGAGGAAAACCGUAUGCAUGGGAAACAAAUAAAUGUAAUCAAAUAAAAUGGUGGUUGAGCACACAGGGAACAGAUCAACGUCAGACUACUGGCACUGAAGAAAUGAAAGGCUUUUAAUAUUUUGUUAGACAACUGGCACCGGAGAAAAUAAAAGACUUUUAAUAUGGUAGUAAGACAACUGGCACUGGAGAAAUAAAAGACUUUUGAAAGCGUAAAGGAUUCCUCAAAAAAAGAAAAAAAGCGUAAAGAAUUAUUAGACGCUUACAUAGGAAAAAUUACAAAUGUAGGAUUUAAAUGGUAAAGGUUGUUAAGGUGAUGCAUUUUCAGCAAAGGUCUUGUGUUCGUAAUUUAUGAUUUCAGAGGUAUGUCUUGACUCGUAAUGCAUUCGAAGUCGAACCGCUUAUACUUUUUAUUACCAAAGAAAAAAGAAUAGCCUGGACAAAUUUCUUUCUUUCUUCUUUAAAAAAUUCAUCUUUAUUCAUGCUGGAUUAUAAAUUUCUUCUUUGUUUGUAUCGAGCAAAGAUUUGGGUAUGAAGUACUACUUUGGGUAAACAAUAAAAGUAAUUAAUUUUCAAAACGACUAUGGGUAUUAUAUUACACACUAAUAUGAAAGACUCAUGUUACACGUCCUCGUACAUUGACAUUUGUUCUUUUCAAGAGUUCAAAUUAAUUAGGGGUAUAAUUGUGAUAUUCAAAGAGAAUGGGUUUCAAUACAUCAGAGCGUGUAACCUACAUUAAAUGGAAGAAAAAUAUUCAAUUUAAUUUCCUCUAGUUUGAAAACCUACAUUAUAACUCCCUAUGGUUUUGACUAAAUUGAAAAUUAGACAGAAAGCAUUAAAUCAACGGUUGUGCGUGAAAUGUCAAUAUUGUCUCUACUAUACAUGAGAUGCUUCCAUUCAAUUUUCAAUUUAAUCGAAAUCAUAGGGAGUUAUAGUGUCAUUUUUCAAACUAGAGGGAGUUAAAUUGAAUAUUCAACAAACCAUAGGGAGUUCAUUUAUAUAAGGGCAAUAUUAACAUUUCACGUAUAACCGUUAGAUUGGAUGCUUUCCGUCCAAUUUUUAAUGUAGUUGAAACCACAAGAAGUUAUAGUAUAGGUUUUUAAACUAGAGGGAGUUAAAUUGAACAUUUAGCUAACCACAAGGAGUUUUUUGGUAUUUUACCCUAAUAAUAAUGAUUAGUGAGCUCAAAGAGUUCGUUAUAACAAAAAACUCACCAAUUUGGCAGUGCGCAGUAGCUCUUAUUUGACCAAGAAAAUAAUUAAUCCCUUGGAGGUUUGCUACCUUUGAGCAAUUUCACUUCUGUUCUUUUCAAGAUUCACCAUUUCCUUUGGAAACUAAGCCAAGAAAAAUGGAGAUUAUGAGAAAAAAAAUGAUCCAAUAAAACAUGGGCAGAGAAUUCUCUUUUCUCCUUUGUGAAAUAGCUCUAGGUGGUGAUUAACUAAAAAGUUCUUCUAACCUUUUUGUUUUUGGAUAAUAAAAAGUUUAGGUAGAUUCAGUUUCCCAUCCCAUCAUAGAUCAAAGCAUUGCCCCAGAAAUCAUAAAUCGCUUACACGAGUUCUCAUAUAUCGCUCACCAGCAUAGUGCUCACAUCAGAUUAGUAGUGAGAUUUAAAUACAUGAUCUUUUGUAAGAAAGUAAUCCAUGCUUACAAACUGAACUAACUUGUGUUACCUCCAACCUUUUAAUUAGACUUGGUUUGCUCCAAGUCAACAUAAUGCCUUCCAAAUCAUUCAUGUCCCAACUGCAAGAUGGGGCUCUCAUCUUUCGGUGCACCAAGUCAACAUAAUGCCCUCCAAAUCAUUCAUGCCCCAAAUCCAAGAAGGGGCUCUUAUCUUGGUAGCUUUGAUCAAGAGGAACGUUGCUUCAUCAUAGUUUAUGGGGUCUUUUGUCGGGUUUAAGAUUAUUUUGUGUAUAUUUAUUCAUGACCUCCCAUCCUUAGCCCAAAUAAUGAAGGGCGAAGCAAAGGACAACCACAAACUAUGACAAAAAUGCCUGGAUGAGUAAUGGAACAAAGUAUAUUAAAGAGACAUAUCUCUCUCAAGAUUAUUGUGUAUGGUGUCACAGAUCAAAUCCUCUUUUGGGAUUAUUUAAUGUUCAUGUGAUCAUAAUUUAGUAAUAUUACUAGCUACUCGUUACACACUACUAUUGUUUCGUGGUUGAGAAUUGAUGGUGGAUGUUCCCAAGGAUCAAACUUAAGGACUAUAUUAUCCGCCAUCUCUUAUAUAUAGAAAGCAUUUAGUUGAUAAUUAAGUCAACAACAUAAAGAGCUAGAGGGACAAGGGCAACCCCCAACUAUGACGGGUGAAUUCUUAGUUUAUGAUGGAAAAAAAAAAGAAUUCUACAACGAGGGCGAUUCUUGGAGUGUAUUCUGCAAAUAGGGGUCUUCGCAUUUGGGAAAUGCGAGCUCACUGAGCUCGCAUUCCUCGAAUGCGAGCUCGAAUUGGAGCUCGCAUUCACUGAGAGCCAAGACAAGGAGGAAAUCAUGCAAAUAUUGAAAAUACUUCAUGCAAGAUGGUUCGGCAGCAGGCUCGCGGCACAGCCUUUAUGGUGUCUGAUGUAGUUUCCUUUCAUCCGACUGCAACUAAUGACUUGAACAGUCUAACACUUAGACUAUAGUAAUAAAAAUUCUAAACAUUUUCCAUCUUUUAGCCGCAAAAAUCCUUAUGUUUAAGCACAAAACAAAUUAGAUGAAAGGAUCAUGCGAGCAUCAAAGAACAGUUUUUUCUUCAACAACAAUGCUUCUGCAAAUUUCGAUGCAGAAAAAUCAUGCAAAGCUUCAAACAAAACUAGUGAACCUAUCACCCCAAAUACCCCUUAACACUGAACACUUCAAAUGAAACCAGGGUUAUUGAUUAUAAACACAAAUCUCAGCAGAUCAGAACUUGCGGCCAAACAAAGACAACCAAACAGCAACUGAAGUAGAUAAAGUUUCAAAGCCGCAAGUCUGAACCAGCAAACUAGGAGUUAAACAUUAAAUUAGAGCUCGCAUUUGCGGAAUGCGAGCUCAAUAAGUAGAGCUCGCAUUUCGCGAAUGCGAGCUCUAUUCUAACCUCGCAUUCGUGAAAUGCGAGCUCUACUGAGCUCGCAUUUCACGAAUGCGAAGACCCCCCGGACGGAAUUCAUUACCAAAAUCACCUCUUUUGUAGAAUUUUUUUAAAAUUCAUCACAAAAUUAGAAAUUUCUCCAACUAUGACAAAAAGGGCCCCUAGAUGAGAGAUGAGCAGUCUUACAUUCACAUUCUUGGGCAUCUUUAUCCCAUCAGAAAUAGAAUAAUCAAGAGCUUCUGCUAUUGCUUCUAUACUUCUUUUCUCUUUCUUUUUCAUUCUCUUCAAAAGGUUGCUGGUAUGAUUCAACCAACCUUUAUAUAGAGUAACCCCACCAAGAAAUGUUCAAAACUAAUGCCCUAAAAGUCUCUGUGAAUUAUUCAAAGUUCUCAUGCAGAAAAGUGUAAUGAAAUUUUAAUGAAUCAUAUAAGAGUGGAAUGACAAACGUCCAAGUUCUUGAGGCACUUGAUCCCUACCAAAAUAGUAGGAAAGAAAAGAAAGGAGGUGCAAAGGAAUUGAAAAACUUGCCUAAACUCUAAAAAUAAGAUGGUCUGUUGGAUCAGGUACUUUAAAUUAGCUCAAAACCUAGCCAUGAUUAGCAAAAAUUGAUGGAGGGUUUCUUAACUUAACAAUAAUAUUUACCAAAGAAUUAGUUUUUAUUAGUUAACAAAAGUUUCUUAAUACUAUCCAAAAAUAUCUCCAGCUACAUUUUAUUACUGUUAUUCUUCUUAAGGCUAAAAAAAUUUCUACUCUUCCAAAACGCAACUAUAUAUGAGAUCAAUGUUUCUUAACCAAACGAAAAAAGGGCAUAUAAACUUGACCUUGUGUUAUUGCAAAUCCUAUCUGCAAGUUUUAGUUAGAAUGGUCGAAGCAAAAUAAACUCUUUCCCCUCUUUCUACCCAAAAAUAAUUUUUAAAUAUGGGAAAAGGAGUCUUUGAGUUUGUUUUCUCUCCUCUAAAUUAAUUUCCUAAUACUUCUUUUAUCAUUUCUAUUUUAUUUUUUUUUUACCUUCCUAUCCCUCUCCAUACCUUUCUCACAGUCAACUAGCAGGAUCCUUAUACUUCUUUUACUUAACAAUAAAAAAACAGAGCUCAAGAAAUGACCUAUGUUAUGGCAAAAUGUAUAAAAUGCAAAUCUUUCUUCAAUCAAAAUCCUUUCUAAUUUUAAGUAUAUACAAAUAUAUUGCAGAAAGAAAAGCUAAAAAAGCACUAAAUCAAGGGCGGGUUAGAUUAAAUGAAAAGGCAGGAGGAGUUGUAAAUAAGAGGUCUUGAAUUUAAAUCCUCUCACUUUUAAAAAAAAAAAAGAAGAAGCACUAAUUCAAUGUUUUUACUUUUUCCACAGGCUGAAUCAUGACAAGUUGUUGGGUAAUUAGCUCAAUGAAGGCUGUCCACAUGAAGCAAUAAAUAGAUCCUAAUAAUACCAUACCUAGAAGCUAUGUUUUCAGAACCGGACCGGAUAGCGACUCGGCCGAGGUCAGGGGUCAGGGGUCAAUGGGUUCGACCGGGGGUCGAUAGGGGUCGAACCGGAUGACGUCAUAAAUAAAAAUUAUUUUAAAAUUAAAAUGUUAUAUAUAUAAUAUCUAAUAAUAUAUUGAUAUUAAUAAAGGCAUAUUCAUAUAUAUUUGAUGUUUCAAAUAUAUUUAACAAGAAAAUACAAAGAAAUUAGAACAAUAAAGUAGCAAUUUAUAUUAAUUUAAUAAAUAUUAACAAGUUUAGAAUUAAAAUUAUGAAUUUAAUUGAAAAAUAACAUCAAAUUUUAGGACAAUAUUUAUAAAGUAUCAAAUAUUUGAGCUAUAUCAAUAAGUUUUAACAAUUUAGGGGGUCAAAACAUAAUAUUAAAAAGUUUGAAUUUUUUUAAAAAAAAUUACUGUUGAACCGGAAAAACCGGUUUUUUCCCGGUCAAACCCGGUCAAACCCGGUUUUUGACCGGCUUUGACCGGAUUUUAAAUUUCCGGUUUUCUAAUGUGACUCGGACCGGCUACCUGGCCGGUUAUAGUAUAUUUUGAGAUAUUUUUAGAAAAUAUUUUGGAAUAUUUAAGAGUAGAAGAGUUUUUAGAAUAUUUAUUGGAUAUUUUUUAGACAUUAAAAAAAAUUUUAGAUUACUUUUUAAAGUAUCUUCUAGAGUACUUUUUAAAAAUUUUAAUAAUAUUUAAAAAACUAAUUUUUGAAAAACUCUUGAAUCCAAACAGGAGUCAUUUCAGAGACAUCACGCCUUCUAUUGUAAAAAGCACACAACUCCUACACAGAAGAAAGUGGUCACCUUAUACAAAAUUUUGCUCAACUUAAAAUAUUUGACACUUUCAUUAAUGAACACUAAAAUGGAAGCUUAUCCUAUUUGUACUCACCAUGGAAAUUUCUGCAACAAACAAUCAUCAUGAGGCAUGUCAAAUCCAGUACAAUACCGGUCUGCAACUAAUUUCUCAACAAGAAUUCAUGGGCAAAGAAUGACAAUAAGUCAAGGAUGAAAUAUAACAAGAACAACCAGACUGAAAGUCACUACUCACAUCUUUUGAAAAGUUCCAAGUGUGUACACUUAUUUGUGGAACUGUGUACUCAAAUGCAGGCUAAGAUUUCACGUUUGUACAAGUAUUUGUAGAACUAAUUGUGUAUUCAGUACACCAUAAAAUUCACUUAUCUACAACUAUUUGUCAAAAUAAUUAUAUUCUCCCAUCUAUCAUAUAUGCCUGAAUCCAGAGGCAUCUCAUAAACUAAUAACAUAGUAUCCACAUGCUAUCUCAUACAAACCAAAAUAAGCCAUCAUGAAAAGCUAAAAAUGUAUGAAUAAAUCAGGAGAGAGUCAUAUAUGCAAUAGUAGGUAUUAGCCCCAUAAUGUGAAUGUAAUCCAUGUCAUAUCAUCUGCAAUAUGCUUCAAGUAACUUGCCUGAACUAAGAUUGUAUUACAGUGCUUGUUUUCUCAUGUAUUUAGCAAGUUCUUGAUGUCUCAAUGGUUCCUACCAUAAAAUCCAUGAUAGCACACUUCAACAUAUUAUCAGUACAGAAACACAAUUUGAACACUUUAUUAUACUUGAAGACAAAGUGGAAAAUUAACAGUUGAAUUAGAUGUUUUAUUUGCCAGUAUGAGCUCAAAUUGAACAUGCUGUCCUUGUUUGAUCCGCUUAUGAAAAGAACUUUCUAAAAUAUUUCCAGGAUCAAAACUUAAAGUCAAGAUACAACAAAUACAAAGUGUUCAUGGUGUAUUUCUGAACAAAAAGUGAUUCGUUACUGUAUGUUCAUUUUGGAAUGCAAACAGGAGAGAAUAAAUUAUGUACACCUAUUGAUCAAGCGGAAUCCACUCUAGUUCUAGUUCUAUUUCCCCAGAUUCUACAUUCUGCAGCUUGAGUGAUACAGCUUGUUUCACCUUUCCGUCAAUUAUGUUUACAGUGCUAUCUUCUAUCAGAGCAUUGUCAUUUGAUUUCAGCCAUUUCCCAAUCUGCAUGUUUUGAAACAUCCCAGCAUCUCAAAUGCCAUUGCAGAGGUUAUCAUUGGCUGGAUAUCAAUUUCAGCUUCCCCCAUUAUGUCAUCAGCAGAAAAUGUAUCAUGAUCAUACACUUGCUGCAGUCACAAAGCAGAAAAAAAAUGUAAGUAAAAAAUAAUGGAAUGAACAAAUGACAAGAUAAAGCGAAAAACCCUUGCUGGAAGAAUUAAGACACCAGAGACCAAUUCCUUAUCACAACUUUCCUAUUUUUAUUCGAUUUAAUGACCCUAUUUAAACACAGUUUUUCGCUGCUCACUCAUCCUUUAACACAACCACACUAAUUUCAUUAUUUUUCACUUUUGACCUGGAUAAACAAUUGAAGUUAUUCUUACCGCUUAAAUGGAAAUUAUAAAAACUAACACUCAGAUGUCAUCAGCAAAUGUAAUAAGGCUUCUUUGCACAAGUUGUAUGGGAAGUGUCAUAAAGAUAAAGCAACUAAUGGCAGAAAAGUUUAUUUACAUACAAAUGGCAGAGAAAUUUAUUUACACACUUAGAACAUCAGCUUAAGAGCGGGAAUACAUACUAUUUUUAAAGAAUAAGCACGUGGAAGUAUAAAAAUGUACAUCAUCUGCCUGUUCACAUACAUUCCACCUCAUCGAACAAUAAUAACAAUAGACAUAAUGGCGGCAAAACAUGGGCAACAAGUAUGGUCUAGUGGCACAUGGACUUUGAGAAGGAAUUAUAACUCCAUUGUCAACAAAUUCUGCCUGAUAUGCAUCCCUUUCUAUCAAACUCCAGAACAAAUGUCCCACUUUCAGAAUGAACUGAAUUGGAAACAACUUCAAUGUACAUGUACAAUGAUUCAUGAGUUUGAGAGAAUAAGAGCAUUGAAAAAACAAUCAUGUGACGCACGCAUGACUAGUAACUUGAAGAACAAUGACAGACAGCUUGAAGGAAAUUAAGCCACCUUACUACAGACCUUUCCCAGAAAUAUAAGCAGCACAAAACAGCAAGAAACAAAAGUAAAUAAAGUAAUUUAUGAUAUUUGAAAUAUAUAUGGAGUUGAAAGAAGAUUUAUAGGAAUUUUGUAAAUAAAGUAAAUUUAUGAUAUUUGUAUACCAUUUGAAGCUGUACAGUAGAAAAAAGGUAUAACAAUGAGGGAGGGAGGGAGCGGGAGAGAGAGAGAGAGAGGCAAGCAUAAGUAUUACCAUCUUUACAGCUCCAUAAUUUUGAGGAACAGAAAGCAUGAGUUCCUCAUUCCAAACUGGAUUCAAGUUGCUCUUUACAACAGCUGUUUGAGCCUUCUAUUAACCAAAAGACAAAAUUGAAACGGUAAAAGAAUACCCUUAAGAUCUGAGGUGAUAAGUGCAUUAUCAAUCACAGAAAACAUUGGGAGGAAAAGAAAAAAAGAAAAAAGCAUUUAGCAUCUGACUUUUUCAGAAAUCGAACAUACACUGUAUUCUAAAUGAAAAUAUAGUAAAGAACCAUCGCUUUUAUUUCCUUCCAAAAAUAUAUGUAUACAAGUAAGAAAUUGGCACCAUCAUAUUCAUCAAGUAGCAAGGAAUAAACAAGAUUGUCUGAUCCAGACAAGUUGCAACAUUAAGUACAACACAUUCUGUGAUAUCAUAAUGAAAUGGGAUAAACUACUGCAUGAUCAUACAUUGAAUAGUCUGGAAACACUCACAAGCUUUAACAUGAUAUUCUUCAGUCACAAAAAUCCAAAAGGAACAGAGAGCAACCAACCUGUUGUCCAAGAGUCAGGACAACAUAUGGAUCACUNNNNNNNNNNNNNNNNNNNNNNNNNNNNNNNNNNNNNNNNNNNNNNNNNNNNNNNNNNNNNNNNNNNNNNNNNNNNNNNNNNNNNNNNNNNNNNNNNNNNNNNNNNNNNNNNNNNNNNNNNNNNNNNNNNNNNNNNNNNNNNNNNNNNNNNNNNNNNNNNNNNNNNNNNNNNNNNNNNNNNNNNNNNNNNNNNNNNNNNNNNNNNNNNNNNNNNNNNNNNNNNNNNNNNNNNNNNNNNNNNNNNNNNNNNNNNNNNNNNNNNNNNNNNNNNNNNNNNNNNNNNNNNNNNNNNNNNNNNNNNNNNNNNNNNNNNNNNNNNNNNNNNNNNNNNNNNNNNNNNNNNNNNNNNNNNNNNNNNNNNNNNNNNNNNNNNNNNNNNNNNNNNNNNNNNNNNNNNNNNNNNNNNNNNNNNNNNNNNNNNNNNNNNNNNNNNNNNNNNNNNNNNNNNNNNNNNNNNNNNNNNNNNNNNNNNNNNNNNNNNNNNNNNNNNNNNNNNNNNNNNNNNNNNNNNNNNNNNNNNNNNNNNNNNNNNNNNNNNNNNNNNNNNNNNNNNNNNNNNNNNNNNNNNNNNNNNNNNNNNNNNNNNNNNNNNNNNNNNNNNNNNNNNNNNNNNNNNNNNNNNNNNNNNNNNNNNNNNNNNNNNNNNNNNNNNNNNNNNNNNNNNNNNNNNNNNNNNNNNNNNNNNNNNNNNNNNNNNNNNNNNNNNNNNNNNNNNNNNNNNNNNNNNNNNNNNNNNNNNNNNNNNNNNNNNNNNNNNNNNNNNNNNNNNNNNNNNNNNNNNNNNNNNNNNNNNNNNNNNNNNNNNNNNNNNNNNNNNNNNNNNNNNNNNNNNNNNNNNNNNNNNNNNNNNNNNNNNNNNNNNNNNNNNNNNNNNNNNNNNNNNNNNNNNNNNNNNNNNNNNNNNNNNNNNNNNNNNNNNNNNNNNNNNNNNNNNNNNNNNNNNNNNNNNNNNNNNNNNNNNNNNNNNNNNNNNNNNNNNNNNNNNNNNNNNNNNNNNNNNUUCAUGUGGUUCUUUAUACAGCAGAAAGAGCUUGGAGCCAUGCUAUGGAAAAGAAAACGCUGCCAGAUGGUCCAAAUGCACGUCAGCGUGGCUAUCUGAUUGGUAGGCUGCGAAAAGCAGUCAAAUGGGCUACUUUGUUUCAAGACUUGUGUUCCAUUAAGGGAGAUUCUAGGACAUCUUUGGAAGCAGAGGUGUGCUGAUUAAUUCAUCAUUUUGCACUGCUGCUGUCCCUGUAUACAAAUAAAGCUAUUUUCGGUCAAAAUACAAUAAGAAUAUGCAAAUUAAGGUUCUAUUGGUAAAUAUUAGUUAUAAUCAUACAAAAAGAGAAGAUAGCCCACAAGUUGGGCCCAAUUACAUACAUGUGUUUAUACUAUUAUUAUUAAGCAAAAUCAAAUAUAUAUAUAUAUAUGUGUGUGUGUGUGUUUAAAAAAUGUAUUCACACACAUAAUUAGUGAGAAAUGAAAAAUUCAUUUUUUGAAAUGUGAGGGAUGGAGAAAUUCAUUUUGUGUAAUGUGAGGGAUGAAAAAAAUCAUUUUAUAAAAUAUGAGGGACGAAAAAAUUUAUUUUAUAAAAUGUGGAGGACUAUAGAUGAGAUUAUGUAAAAUAUAAUUUGACAAAUUUACCCUUAAAAAAUGAUCAUGUGCCUUGCACAUGAUGGAUUCCGGCCAAAAAAUGAUCGAAAACCUAGUUAGGGACUAAAUUUGUCCGAUGUGAAUAUGUAAGGGAUAUAAAAUUACACUUUUAAAAGUGAGGGACGAAAAAAGUUAUUUUACAAAAUGUAAGGGACGUUUUGGACGAUUUUCCCUAAAUAAAAUGAAGAAACUAGUUGUGGAUACUAAAUUCAUAUAAAUGAUGGACGAAAUUAGUAAGCUAUGAUAAAUUUAACAAUGACCCCUAGGCUUUAAGUCUGUUGUCCACGUACCCAUAAACAAUUUGAAUUACACAUUAGACUCCAGUACUUGUCAUAAUCCAUUAAACAGUAGACAACGCAGAGGAGACUAGGAUUUUUAUGUCGAGACCAAACAGGCUUCAUUUACGUUCACUCAGCGACUAAACCAGAAAACCCCGCCGCCGGCAGUGUGCCACAAGCCAGGGGCAUUUUGGACAUCUUCAGAAUCUUUCAAGCCACCUACAUUCAAGCUGUCGGGCUAAUUCCGAUAAAGACGACGCCAAAUUUAAGAUCUGACGGAGAUUUCACAUUAACGAUAUGGCCAAAGAGAACAACUCCUCCGCUAUGGAUGUGGACAACCAGAAUUCGGAAUCCGUUGAUCAGAUUAAUAGCCCUAGGUUCUCUAUCAAUGGUAAUUUACUCUCCCAUAAAGCUCUAGACAGCUAAUUUUGAGGUGAUAAUUUAGUUUUUUUUUUUUGGUGAAUUUACAGUUUUGCAGCUCUUGAAAUCCGCUCAGAUGCAGCAUGGAUUGCGGUUUGGCGAUUACGCUCGUUACCGGUAUAACCUACGCUUGUACACUUAUGGUAUAUGUUUAUGAGUAAUUUGGUACGAUGAAGUUCCGGGAAGUAGGUUUAAUUUUUGUAAGAAAUGCCGUUUGAUAUUGUUUUUACCAGUAUAUAAGCGUAAGUGUGCUCUAUAUAGGUUUAUGAGGGAAUUUAUGACAUUGAUCAUUAGAGGUGGCAGGGUUAAAUUUGUGAAAAAUGUGGUGUGAUAGAGUUGUACUAUUGAGGGAAUGUGAAAUUGACCAGUUUUUGCAAAUUUUUUAGGAGGUACUGUACUGCUCGGCUCAGGAGAUUGUACAAGUCGUUGAAAUUCACGCAUGGCCGUGGUAAAUAUAGUAAAAGGGCGAUUACAGCUUCUAUGGUCACUGAAGUGAGGUAAUAGAUUGCCAAGACCAAUGGUUGAAUUUGAUUGACAUUACAGUUGGUAAAUGUUUUAAUUUCGCUUUUGCUAUUUGAAGAACAAAUAUGCUGUUUUGUCUCUCAUUAAUAAUUUCUUAAUGGUCGUUAAUCUAUCCUGAUUCUGCGUGGUGGUUGGGACACUGUAGGUAUCUUCAUGUGGUUCUUUAUACAGCAGAAAGAGCUUGGAGCCAUGCUAUGGAAAAGAAAACGCUGCCAGAUGGUCCAAAUGCACGUCAGCGUGGCUAUCUGAUUGGUAGGCUGCGAAAAGCAGUCAAAUGGGCUACUUUGUUUCAAGACUUGUGUUCCAUUAAGGGAGAUUCUAGGACAUCUUUGGAAGCAGAGGUGUGCUGAUUAAUUCAUCAUUUUGCACUGCUGCUGUGCCCUGUAUACAAAUAAAGCUAUUUUCGGUCAAAAUACAAUAAGAAUAUGCAAAUUAAGGUUCUAUUGGUAAAUAUUAGUUAUAAUCAUACAAAAAGAGAAGAUAGCCCACAAGUUGGGCCCAAUUACAUACAUGUGUUUAUACUAUUAUUAUUAAGCAAAAUCAAAUAUAUAUAUAUAUAUGUGUGUGUGUGUGUGUUUAAAAAAAUGUAUUCACACACAUAAUUAGUGAGAAAUGAAAAAUUCAUUUUUUGAAAUGUGAGGGAUGGAGAAAUUCAUUUUGUGUAAUGUGAGGGAUGAAAAAAAUCAUUUUAUAAAAUAUGAGGGACGAAAAAAUUUAUUUUAUAAAAUGUGGAGGACUAUAGAUGAGAUUAUGUAAAAUAUAAUUUGACAAAUUUACCCUUAAAAAAUGAUCAUGUGCCUUGCACAUGAUGGAUUCCGGCCAAAAAAUGAUCGAAAACCUAGUUAGGGACUAAAUUUGUCCGAUGUGAAUAUGUAAGGGAUAUAAAAUUACACUUUUAAAAGUGAGGGACGAAAAAAGUUAUUUUACAAAAUGUAAGGGACGUUUUGGACGAUUUUCCCUAAAUAAAAUGAAGAAACUAGUUGUGGAUACUAAAUUCAUAUAAAUGAUGGACGAAAUUAGUAAGCUAUGAUAAAUUUAACAAUGACCCCUAGGCUUUAAGUCUGUUGUCCACGUACCCAUAAACAAUUUGAAUUACACAUUAGACUCCAGUACUUGUCAUAAUCCAUUAAACAGUAGACAACGCAGAGGAGACUAGGAUUUUUAUGUCGAGACCAAACAGGCUUCAUUUACGUUCACUCAGCGACUAAACCAGAAAACCCCGCCGCCGGCAGUGUGCCACAAGCCAGGGGCAUUUUGGACAUCUUCAGAAUCUUUCAAGCCACCUACAUUCAAGCUGUCGGGCUAAUUCCGAUAAAGACGACGCCAAAUUUAAGAUCUGACGGAGAUUUCACAUUAACGAUAUGGCCAAAGAGAACAACUCCUCCGCUAUGGAUGUGGACAACCAGAAUUCGGAAUCCGUUGAUCAGAUUAAUAGCCCUAGGUUCUCUAUCAAUGGUAAUUUACUCUCCCAUAAAGCUCUAGACAGCUAAUUUUGAGGUGAUAAUUUAGUUUUUUUUUUUGGUGAAUUUACAGUUUUGCAGCUCUUGAAAUCCGCUCAGAUGCAGCAUGGAUUGCGGUUUGGCGAUUACGCUCGUUACCGGUAUAACCUACGCUUGUACACUUAUGGUAUAUGUUUAUGAGUAAUUUGGUACGAUGAAGUUCCGGGAAGUAGGUUUAAUUUUUGUAAGAAAUGCCGUUUGAUAUUGUUUUUACCAGUAUAUAAGCGUAAGUGUGCUCUAUAUAGGUUUAUGAGGGAAUUUAUGACAUUGAUCAUUAGAGGUGGCAGGGUUAAAUUUGUGAAAAAUGUGGUGUGAUAGAGUUGUACUAUUGAGGGAAUGUGAAAUUGACCAGUUUUUGCAAAUUUUUUAGGAGGUACUGUACUGCUCGGCUCAGGAGAUUGUACAAGUCGUUGAAAUUCACGCAUGGCCGUGGUAAAUAUAGUAAAAGGGCGAUUACAGCUUCUAUGGUCACUGAAGUGAGGUAAUAGAUUGCCAAGACCAAUGGUUGAAUUUGAUUGACAUUACAGUUGGUAAAUGUUUUAAUUUCGCUUUUGCUAUUUGAAGAACAAAUAUGCUGUUUUGUCUCUCAUUAAUAAUUUCUUAAUGGUCGUUAAUCUAUCCUGAUUCUGCGUGGUGGUUGGGGACACUGUAGGUAUCUUCAUGUGGUUCUUUAUACAGCAGAAAGAGCUUGGAGCCAUGCUAUGGAAAAGAAAACGCUGCCAGAUGGUCCAAAUGCACGUCAGCGUGGCUAUCUGAUUGGUAGGCUGCGAAAAGCAGUCAAAUGGGCUACUUUGUUUCAAGACUUGUGUUCCAUUAAGGGAGAUUCUAGGACAUCUUUGGAAGCAGAGGUGUGCUGAUUAAUUCAUCAUUUUGCACUGCUGCUGUCCCUGUAUACAAAUAAAGCUAUUUUCGGUCAAAAUACAAUAAGAAUAUGCAAAUUAAGGUUCUAUUGGUAAAUAUUAGUUAUAAUCAUACAAAAAGAGAAGAUAGCCCACAAGUUGGGCCCAAUUACAUACAUGUGUUUAUACUAUUAUUAUUAAGCAAAAUCAAAUAGAUAUAUAUGUGUGUGUGUGUGUGUGUUUAAAAAAAUGUAUUCACACACAUAAUUAGUGAGAAAUGAAAAAUUCAUUUUUUGAAAUGUGAGGGAUGGAGAAAUUCAUUUUGUGUAAUGUGAGGGAUGAAAAAAAUCAUUUUAUAAAAUAUGAGGGACGAAAAAAUUUAUUUUAUAAAAUGUGGAGGACUAUAGAUGAGAUUAUGUAAAAUAUAAUUUGACAAAUUUACCCUUAAAAAAUGAUCAUGUGCCUUGCACAUGAUGGAUUCCGGCCAAAAAAUGAUCGAAAACCUAGUUAGGGACUAAAUUUGUCCGAUGUGAAUAUGUAAGGGAUAUAAAAUUACACUUUUAAAAGUGAGGGACGAAAAAAGUUAUUUUACAAAAUGUAAGGGACGUUUUGGACGAUUUUCCCUAAAUAAAAUGAAGAAACUAGUUGUGGAUACUAAAUUCAUAUAAAUGAUGGACGAAAUUAGUAAGCUAUGAUAAAUUUAACAAUGACCCCUAGGCUUUAAGUCUGUUGUCCACGUACCCAUAAACAAUUUGAAUUACACAUUAGACUCCAGUACUUGUCAUAAUCCAUUAAACAGUAGACAACGCAGAGGAGACUAGGAUUUUUAUGUCGAGACCAAACAGGCUUCAUUUACGUUCACUCAGCGACUAAACCAGAAAACCCGCCGCCGCAGGUGUGCCACAAGCCAGGGGCAUUUUGGACAUCUUCAGAAUCUUUCAAGCCACCUACAUUCAAGCUGUCGGGCUAAUUCCGAUAAAGACGACGCCAAAUUUAAGAUCUGACGGAGAUUUCACAUUAACGAUAUGGCCAAAGAGAACAACUCCUCCGCUAUGGAUGUGGACAACCAGAAUUCGGAAUCCGUUGAUCAGAUUAAUAGCCCUAGGUUCUCUAUCAAUGGUAAUUUACUCUCCCAUAAAGCUCUAGACAGCUAAUUUUGAGGUGAUAAUUUAGUUUUUUUUUUUGGUGAAUUUACAGUUUUGCAGCUCUUGAAAUCCGCUCAGAUGCAGCAUGGAUUGCGGUUUGGCGAUUACGCUCGUUACCGGUAUAACCUACGCUUGUACACUUAUGGUAUAUGUUUAUGAGUAAUUUGGUACGAUGAAGUUCCGGGAAGUAGGUUUAAUUUUUGUAAGAAAUGCCGUUUGAUAUUUUUUUACCAGUAUAUAAGCGUAAGUGUGCUCUAUAUAGGUUUAUGAGGGAAUUUAUGACAUUGAUCAUUAGAGGUGGCAGGGUUAAAUUUGUGAAAAAUGUGGUGUGAUAGAGUUGUACUAUUGAGGGAAUGUGAAAUUGACCAGUUUUUGCAAAUUUUUUAGGAGGUACUGUACUGCUCGGCUCAGGAGAUUGUACAAGUCGUUGAAAUUCACGCAUGGCCGUGGUAAAUAUAGUAAAAGGGCGAUUACAGCUUCUAUGGUCACUGAAGUGAGGUAAUAGAUUGCCAAGACCAAUGGUUGAAUUUGAUUGACAUUACAGUUGGUAAAUGUUUUAAUUUCGCUUUUGCUAUUUGAAGAACAAAUAUGCUGUUUUGUCUCUCAUUAAUAAUUUCUUAAUGGUCGUUAAUCUAUCCUGAUUCUGCGUGGUGGUUGGGGACACUGUAGGUAUCUUCAUGUGGUUCUUUAUACAGCAGAAAGAGCUUGGAGCCAUGCUAUGGAAAAGAAAACGCUGCCAGAUGGUCCAAAUGCACGUCAGCGUGGCUAUCUGAUUGGUAGGCUGCGAAAAGCAGUCAAAUGGGCUACUUUGUUUCAAGACUUGUGUUCCAUUAAGGGAGAUUCUAGGACAUCUUUGGAAGCAGAGGUGUGCUGAUUAAUUCAUCAUUUUGCACUGCUGUGCCCUGUAUACAAAUAAAGCUAUUUUCGGUCAAAAUACAAUAAGAAUAUGCAAAUUAAGGUUCUAUUGGUAAAUAUUAGUUAUAAUCAUACAAAAAGAGAAGAUAGCCCACAAGUUGGGCCCAAUUACAUACAUGUGUUUAUACUAUUAUUAUUAAGCAAAAUCAAAUAUAUAUAUAUAUAUAUAUAUAUGUGUGUGUGUGUGUUUAAAAAAAUGUAUUCACACACAUAAUUAGUGAGAAAUGAAAAAUUCAUUUUUUGAAAUGUGAGGGAUGGAGAAAUUCAUUUUGUGUAAUGUGAGGGAUGAAAAAAAUCAUUUUAUAAAAUAUGAGGGACGAAAAAAUUUAUUUUAUAAAAUGUGGAGGACUAUAGAUGAGAUUAUGUAAAAUAUAAUUUGACAAAUUUACCCUUAAAAAAUGAUCAUGUGCCUUGCACAUGAUGGAUUCCGGCCAAAAAAUGAUCGAAAACCUAGUUAGGGACUAAAUUUGUCCGAUGUGAAUAUGUAAGGGAUAUAAAAUUACACUUUUAAAAGUGAGGGACGAAAAAAGUUAUUUUACAAAAUGUAAGGGACGUUUUGGACGAUUUUCCCUAAAUAAAAUGAAGAAACUAGUUGUGGAUACUAAAUUCAUAUAAAUGAUGGACGAAAUUAGUAAGCUAUGAUAAAUUUAACAAUGACCCCUAGGCUUUAAGUCUGUUGUCCACGUACCCAUAAACAAUUUGAAUUACACAUUAGACUCCAGUACUUGUCAUAAUCCAUUAAACAGUAGACAACGCAGAGGAGACUAGGAUUUUUAUGUCGAGACCAAACAGGCUUCAUUUACGUUCACUCAGCGACUAAACCAGAAAACCCCGCG